RNAcentral lists this long non-coding RNA (100068 nucleotides) under Panicum hallii. RNAcentral's name for it is "long non-coding RNA (PHAL_LNC000920)". Lineage: Eukaryota; Viridiplantae; Streptophyta; Magnoliopsida; Poales; Poaceae. The record is from RNAcentral.
CGGUGCACUAACCACGCUGCGUGCUCCGGCAACCCGGAGACGGUGAUCAUCACCGACAUGAACUACUACCCGGUCGCCAAGUACCACUUCGACCUCAGCGGCACGGCCUUCGGCGCCAUGGCCAAGCCCGGCCGCAGCGACGAGCUCCUCCAUGCCGGCAUCAUCGACAUCCAGUUCAAGAGGUGGGUACCAUGCAUUGCAAUGCUCGUUUGCACAGAGCCGCGGAGCAUAAUCAUUAGCUCGACCGUCGAGCUUGCCUGUUUCUGUGGAGCCUUGUACUUUAUUUGCUCAACCGAUUUUAACGACUAUAGCCGGUUUUAAAUGGGGCUGGGGCCCACAUAGAUUCGCAGACAUACUGUAUUAUUCUAGUACUUCCAAUCCACUCCUAAUUUGGCGUCUGCAUGCACUGUGGAUCGACAAAGGUCUUCUGAUUUCUAAAGCCUAAUCCAAACGUCUCACAUGGCUUGUUCCUGCUGCAGGGUGCCCUGCAACUACCCCGGGCAGAAGGUGACGUUCCACGUCGAGGAGGGCUCGAACGCCGUCUACCUGGCGGUGCUCGUCGAGUUCGAGGACGGCGAUGGCGACGUGGUGCAGGUGGACCUGAUGGAGGCCAACUCCGGGUCGUGGGCGCCGAUGCGCGAGUCCUGGGGAUCCAUCUGGAGGAUGGACUCCAACCACCGGCUGCAGGCGCCCUUCUCGCUGCGCAUCACCAACGAGUCCGGCAAGCAGCUGGUGGCCAGCAACGUCAUCCCGGCCGACUGGGUGCCCAACACCUACUACCGCUCCAUCAUCCAGUACUAGCGGCCCAUGCCCAUCACCUGGUGCUGCAUGCCCACAAUAAUUCGCUCAUUGAUUUUUGAUUAUUCGUCUGGUGCUGUUUCGUUGUUGCAUUGGAUUGAGGUGCCUUAAUUAACUAGUUCGUAGGUGAGAUAUCAGGUGUCCGGCUGUGCUGGCACUGGCAGUAGUAGGAGUUGUCUGUGUCUGUAAGAGAUUGACGAGUGGGAAAUAGAGGAGGCAAGCUUGUAAUUGUGCUUUCCCGCCCACUGGUAACGGUGUGAGAUCAAGGAUUUAAGAUAUAUAAACACUGUUUUUGUGUACCAAAAAGCAAUCACACCUCCGGGACUUCGUUCAGUUGUAUGAAACCGCUAGACCUCGCUGGCGAUGGCCAUUGCAGCACGAAGAGUUUUGUUCGUCGUUGAGAUUCUUGUUCCUCCUCGGAUGUUCCUGAAUCCUGCUGUCAUCACUGGGAGGUGGUGGCCAGCUGCCCAGCGCUUAAGGCUGCUGGGAUGUUGAGGCAGGGCAUCGCCGGCGAAGCCUGGCCGAAGAUGCAUGAUCAGCAGGCGGAGCUGACAGUGGCAAGAAAAUGCAUGCCAUGGCAAGGCCUGGUUGACACGGCAGGGGCUGGCGAGACGGGAGGAGGCUGUGCAGCGUGGCGGGUGAGCGCCGAGAUGAAGAUAAUAACAUGGGACAGGGUGAAGACAGGCAGACAGCUAGAGGCGGAAGAUGAUCUCAGAACACUUGGAUUGAGAUCCGCUGGUGGAGAAGCACCGACUAUGUAAAAGUCAAUUUUCAAGCGCUUGGUCAUUAGCAUUAUGUCCCUUAACUAAUUAUUCUCUUGGUUCUGUAGUGAUUAUACAUCCGGACUGUAGAACUUUACCAGUUAUACUUAUAUAAUCCCUCCAGUCGCAAAUAAUCGACCCGUUUUGGACGUAGGUAUGGUCCCCAAAACAUAAAUUUGAUUGGUACUUUUCGACGUUGUGUAUUUAUGAAACAUAGCUAAAGUAAUGCUUUUGUGAAACUAAUUUUCAAGACAAAUCGACACUAUUACUUUAAAAUAUCUGUACUCAACACAACGAAAUUAGCAUGUAAAUAGAGUUUGAAAUGGCUGAGUGCAUGCCGUCUAAAAUAUCGUGUAUUAUUCGCGACUGGAUGUAAGUGUACUAUCAUUGAUAUCCAAGUCCCUAUUUGAAACGUGAGAACCAUCUUGAUUCCUAAGGAAACUGAAAUUUGUUUUCUGCGAAAUUCUUUUGUCCCGAAUAAUCCUCACAGGAUUGGUCUGUGGGUCCUGCGAAACUCUCAUAUCCCAAAUAGGUUUCUUUUUUCCUUUGCAUUUCUUGGAUCUUCCAUUAUUCAGUCCAAUCCCGAAGAAUGCGCUAGAGGAAUCUGAUUCUGACUUUGCAACCAGCAGCAAUUUUGCUUUGGAAAGAUUUCAGGGUCAGAAGAUAAACAAGAUUUGGAUGUUCAGGAGGGGCAGCGUUUUAGUGCAGACGUUCCGCCUUUCUGAAUUGUAAAGCGAAAAGAACACUUGGAGCGACAAUCUGAUGGCUGCGAGCGCAUAGCAAAGGUUUCUUUCCUGUCUCCUGCCUGAUGAGGCCUUUUGCUUAUGGUACUCCAUCCAUUCCAACAAGAUACGGCGAUCCUGGAAAGGAACGGCAUCAUUAUUCAGGCGCCGGCCAAACUGCCAAAGCAAGCAGUACAACGAACGAGGUAUGAGUACUUAACGACCAGUGCGUUGGUUCAACGCAAAGGACGCUCAUUCUAAAACGAGGUAUGAGUAUCAGAGAAUCAUCACUCGUCGCUUUUCACCACUGUGGGAGCCGGCCAAGUCAACCUUUAGAGUGAGCUAGACUGAAUUGUCGCCGUAAUUACUGGCGUCAAACUCUCACCUCAGUCACUUGCAAUGACCGCACUAAAUCAAGGAGAGCUACAGGGCUACAUGAGCUUCAUUCUAACUAGUAGUGGGUGUUUGACAAGAUUGCCCUGCUGAAUUGUGGCAUCAGCAACUAGGUUUCCUGAAAAAAAGGGCCGACUAAUGCUGCUCGAGCUGCUGAUAAGUGAUAAGCAUCAUGGCGCUUGGUGGACGACAGAAACAGUGUCGCUCUGUGUCUUCCAGCGGUUCAGCCGUCGACAGCAUGCAUUUCUUUUUCCGAUGCAUAAAGAGAAGACCGGACCGAGAGAUCGAGAAGGGAGCGCCUCGAACCAUCCGUUUUAUGUUCGGCCGUCCAAACAGUAUCUCCGGAACGGAAAGAGACGAGGUAACUGACGCACGGCGAAUUUCCAGCGCGCAUGUGCGCGCGCGGGGAAUCGGAUGCCGACGGGCCGACGGCUCCGCUGCAUGCUUGCUCGCAUGUGAGGUGCGGGCCGCCGCCCGGGCCCGUGUGCCGUCGUCCAACGAACCAGCGGCCGGCAAGCGGAACGCAGCGAUCACCACUAGUUCCACUACCCGCACCAGAUUUCCGGAGCCCGCGCCGUCGCCACGCCACGCCUACCGUUGCCGCGCGCGCGGCCGGGUCGCGUGCUGCUCCGAGCCCUGAGGUUCUGAGCUCUCGCUUUCGGGUUUCAGCGCUCACCGUCUCCCCCGCGCGGCCCGGCCGGUCCCCCGGGGUCUCGUCGGCUCCGUGGCCACUGGCCCGUGGCGUCUCGCAGUUGCGGGCGGACGGGCGACUUCUGGAGCCGCGGCCCUGCGGGGAUGUCUUCGGUUGCGCGCGCACGGCGGCAUGGGUUCCUCGUCAUCAUCCUGCGUACGCUUCACGACUCACGAGAGUGUUCCGCGGCGACGCUAUCGCGCACGUAUCAUAAGCAGCGCAGCCCUGCUCCGUACUUCGUCUACGAUUGAUGGGAGAUUGUAGUGUGCGCGCGGUCAGCAGGAACGGUUCUGAAUUUCAGGUUUCGACCAGCUUCCUGACAUGCUGUAGCCUUGUACUAGCUAGGUACCCGCAGAGAUGGAUGAGUUAAUUACCCGUCACAACUCAACGUGCAAACAGCCCAGAUUGCUGCCUAUUUUUCAGAGGGAAAAAUCUGGUUUACACUCUUUCAACUAUCGAAACCGGAUAAGAGAGGUCGUACAACUAUUAAAACUGGACAAAUUUGAUCCUUAGGAGGGUUUAGAAAGUGGCUUUGUAUUUUUUAAAAAAAUAAAAAAAAUUCUAAUUAGAUCUAAAAACUCAAAACUAAUUCAUUUUAAAUAAAAAAUAUAAAACUAGUAAAUUUUUUUUAAAAAAUAUAACUUAUCUAUUAUUGCUCUAUUUCUCUAUUUGAAUCUUAUUUAUUCAAAAAUAAUAACUACAAGCAACCAAAUACUAUGAAUAUAAAAAAAUAGAUCGAUAAGUAUAGUGCCAAUAGAUAGGUUACAUUUUUAGAAAAAUUUUAACACCCAUUUCGUAUUUUUUGAUUUAAAAUGAAUUAUUUAUGAAUUUUUUAGUUUAAAUUUAAAUAUUUUUAACUUUCACAAAAUGGAAACUAUCUUCGAAACCGCCAUAAGGGCCAAAUUUACUCGGAUUUCGACAGUUGGAUGGCCUCUUUUAUCCAAUUUUAUAGUUUAAAAUUAAAAAUCGGAUUUUUACGAUAGUUUAAUAGUCUAAACCGGACUAGGCUGAUUCCAGGGACACUCGCCGCUUUCGGCUUUCUUGCGUCCGCAGGUGGACGAAAUGUUUGAACAGCCUAGUAAACGCGCGAGCGAAACCGGUUGGGCGCGCGUGCUAGGCUCACAGUACCAGGCCACUUGCUCAAUGAUCUUCGAUCAGGAAACGCGCGCCACGCACGCGAGGCCGCAUAUGUCACGCGUGAGCGAAAAGGAACCAACACCAAGUUGCGCAAGUUCGAUCCUGCACGCAGCAUCACAUGCCGGUUUGGACUUUGGAAGUGGCGGAAGAUCGUGCCAGAGAGUAGCCCAGUACAACACGGUAUGGACCAUCAACCUGUGACUUUGCACCGCUAGCAAUUUUGAGAGUCGUAAGUCUAUAAAUUCACAGAUGAAAUAGCUACUAGCGCCCCAACUGAUCAAUCAAAUCCCUUCCUAGCUCACUUUUUUUUAUUUUCUAACACAAUACGCGUAAACAUUAAAAUAUAUAUGUUACAAUAUUUAUGUCGAAAUGUAAUAUAUAUUCAUAAACAUUAAAUGUAUUGCUGUUAUAACUUCUAUUUGACUCAUUAAUGGAACACUUUUUCAUGAAUUCCAUCAAACUGAUAACCUCGCUACAUAUUAUAUGCAUUUCUAGUUUGCAUGGUGGCGCAUGUACUUUGCAUAUGCUUUUCAUAAUUUUCUAGAAAAAGGAAAUAUCUCCGACCUUUGCAACCAGACUCAACCAAGUUUUACAUCAUUCUCAGCAUAUAAGUUGAUCAUAAAUAAUAUGGAAAUGACUACACAAAAUGAAAGCUUUCAUAUAUAUUAGUAAUAACAUAAGUAUGCACACAAUUUGGCUGCAAAAUCAGGUUACUUUUUAAUGAAAAUAGGGGUAAUUUAACUGCAGAGUUUUAUUUUCCACAUUUUUCUAUUUUUAGAAAGUUAUAAAGAAAAUCUGAGCAGAAAUACCUUGAGUAUCACUAAAAGAAAAAAAUAGAUGUGAACACGCAUGCUAAGUUAGACUCAAACAAGAGUGGAUAGGUUUUGCCACAAGAAAAGAGAAAGUCUCAUGGUGCUAUUGAAAAGAUCAUAACACCUUUCAAACAUUUUCUAAUUUUUUAAAUGCAAAAACUCUUUUAGCCUUGGCGACAUUACCAUAUCAGUGCCAUGUCCCCCAAACCACUCUAGAUUUGAGCCAGGGUUGAAAAGUGAAUGGCUUUAAUAGUUUAGGGCUGAAAAGUAAAUGAUUUUAUAGUUGAAGCGAGGUUGUAGAACAAAUUGAUUAUUUGGUUCACAUGUCCUACAAAUCUUAGGGCGGUUUCUCCACUCACUUCACAAGGUAUCUCAACUACCAACGAUAUCCUAAGCAUCGAUAUUAUACUCACCAUAUCGUUGUAACUUGACUAUAUCUCAUCAACAUGGCAUAUAGUAUCACUUUGCUUACAGGGAACUAAAACGGAUUAGGUACCUAUCUUCCAGCGCAGCUUCCUACGAUUAACCGAUUCUGUACACAGAAGAAUCGUUACAAAUUAAUGAUGGCGUUGGUAGAGAACUGCGCAUUUCUAAAUCUGAAGAGAAAAGAGUAUCAAAAUUUCACAAGAAACACAGGUACGUAGGUCCUUUUCAUACUUACUGUACGUAACAUGCGACUAUGAGAUAACUGCCAAGGAGCCGUUGCUUUUUUAAAAUAGUGCAGGCACGACCCGUGUAGCCUCCAUUCCUCCCAUGAUUUGCUCCGGAGCCAUGUGACCCCUACCAAAGGGCGUCGGGUGCAACGACCGUUGAUGGCGAUCGCCGCAGGCGCGCUGCUGCGUUUGCUUCGAUUCUUUUACUUUCCCGCCUAUAAAUACCCCGGCAAGCAUGGUGCUCCUCAUCCCCGACCAUCGAAACACAGAGCUUCUUGUCUGACCAGCGCUAGCAACUAAUUACGAGCUAGUAGCUAGUAAGACAACGACGAUGGCGUCCAUGAUCGCCGGCUCGUCCAAGGUGGUGGUUGCACUGAUCUUCUCCCUCCUUGUCUCGUAUGGCUCGUGCGCUAGGCCGCCGCCGGUGAACCUUAACGCCUCUGCCUUCACCGCCGACUCCAACUGGGAGGCUGCCAGGGCCACCUGGUACGGCGCGCCCACCGGCGCCGGCCCCGACGACGAUGGUACGCGUAUACAUGUAUAUGGAUCACCGAUGGUCGCCGGCGCCUGGCGCCUGGCGAUCUUGCCGUGUUUAUGAACGACCUAUAAACUUAAGCUUGCAUCCAUUCGCUGUGCGUGCAGGUGGCGCCUGCGGGUUCAAGAACGUCAACCUGCCGCCGUUCUCGUCCAUGACGUCGUGCGGCAACGAGCCCCUGUUCAAGGACGGCAAGGGCUGCGGCUCCUGCUACCAGGUACUCCUAUAUAUAUUAUGACUUGGUCAGAGAUACUAUUUCCAGGACGGCACGUUUGUGCUGUCGUCGUCUGCCCUCGUGGAAACGGAAAUGGAGAUUAGACUGAGAGAAAAACUAGAAUUAGGCACAGUUUUGCCGCACCCUCCAUUUGCUGCUGACCUUUAAUUUUCCAGAUUCGAUGCACUAACCACGCUGCGUGCUCCGGCAACCCGGAGACGGUGAUCAUCACCGACAUGAACUACUACCCGGUGUCCAAGUACCACUUCGACCUCAGCGGCACGGCGUUCGGCGCCAUGGCCAAGCCCGGCCGCAACGACGAGCUCCGCCACGCCGGCAUCAUCGACAUCCAGUUCAAGAGGUCGGUAACACACGCAGCGCUUAUUUCAUGGAAUCACAGACCGACCAAAUAAUCUGUAGUAGGCCCUGCACGAACAGAAUCAUAUCUUGACCGUCUAGCUACUACUUUGCCGUGGAGCCCUUGUACUUUUGCCCAACCAAGUUUGACGACAACGAUCGGUUCAAGCAGAUUCGCACAAAUAGUAGUACUACUUCCACUUCACAAUCAAUUUGGCGUUUGUGCAUCAUGCCUGUUGAUCACAAGUUAAGCAUAAUCCAAAUCCAAACGUAUCACAUGGCUAAUGGCUUGUUCCUGCUGCAGGGUGCCCUGCGACUACCCCGGGCAGAAGGUGACCUUCCACGUGGAGGAGGGCUCGAACCCUGUCUACUUCGCGGUGCUCGUCGAGUUCGAGGACGGCGACGGCGACGCUGUGCAGGUGGACCUCAUGGAGGCCAGCUCCGGGUCGUGGACGCCGAUGCGCGAGUCCUGGGGAUCCAUCUGGAGGCUGGACUCGAACCACCGGCUGCAGGCGCCCUUCUCGCUGCGCAUCACCAACGAGUCCGGCAAGCAGCUGGUGGCCAGCAACGUCAUCCCGGCCAACUGGGUGCCCAACACCUACUACCGCUCCAUCGUCCAGUACUAGCAACCAAUGGCGAUCGUCUCUGCUGCUGCUGCUGGGCACGGCAAUGGAUACGAUGGUUCGGCAUCAUUAUUGGCUCGAUUAGCUUGGUACUGUAUCGUUUACAUGGGAUUGAUGUGCCUUAGUUAUUGAUUAAUUAGGUGGUGUUGUGUGCGUGAGUGUGCCGGAGAUUUGACGACUGGGAAAUGGAGGAUGGAGGCAAAGUUUGCAUGUGCUUUCCCGCCCAUUGUCAAUGCUUGUACCAGUGUGAUCAAGAUUAUAAAUUAUUAACAGUAUUUUGAAUGUUAUAUAGUAUAAGUAUACGCAUGCUUUUAUCUUGUUUCCAGUACCACUUUCUCAGCAUAACUAUUAACACUGUUUUGUGUGCAAUUUGGUACUGUAUAGUUGUUCAGCCAAAGGCUGGGGAGUUUAUCAUAUUUUCUGUGAAUUUCUAAAGGCCCUAUUUAAACGUGAUAGUUGUCUCGACACCUGAGGGAAUCAAAAUAUUUCUUAUGAAAUUCAUGAAUAACAUACAAGCCUCUCAUUACUUUUUAUUUAGUUUAGAUGCACUAAAGGAGUUGAGAGAAAAGGCACCAUUAGUGUAGUGGACUAGUGAUAGAAUCGUGGGUACAUGACUCCACCGACUAGGACUCAAAUCCGGAUGUUCAUCUGUUUGUAUGUUUAUAUGACUUCAGUAACUUCAGUACCUGUUUGCAUGCCUGACGAAGGCUGCGGACGGAGGUUGUACCUUAAAUUCGUCUGAAAAAGAAAACUAGAGGAGUUGAAAAUGACUUGCUAACCCACAACGGUGGUACCUGCUGUGUAAAGACUCGUGACUUCUUCCGUCAAAACACACCCAAAAACAAGACUUGUGACUUCCGAGUCAGACAAUUAAGAUUUGGACGUUCAGACGGGCUGCGUUUCAUUUCAGCAAUCCUAAGGCCUGUCUCCAACGGGAGACUCUAAACCGUUCUCUAUCCUAUAUAUAGAGAAGAUUCUGUUCUCUGUAUGCUCCAGCAGCAUUCUCUAAACGAUUCUCUAAAAUAGAGAACGCUACAGAUUUCCUCUAUAUAUAGAGAUUCUCUCUUCUCUUCUCUAUUUUUUCUUUACGUUUUAAACACUGGAUUAAAUAAAAAUAAAAUAUGUCCAUAGCAUUUGAGGUAUGAUAAAUACGUACGUAUAAAAAUUUGGAAUAAAAUACGUUUCUAAUAUAGAGUUUAAUGUAUAGAGAACGAGAUUUAGAGAACGUUGUUAGAGAGAAAUGAGAUAUAGAGGAGACAAUCUUAUAGAGAAAUCUGUAAAUGAUGGAUAUACAGAACGAUACAAAGAACGACGGUUGGAGAUAGCCUAACCGACGGUACGGAUCUGCUUGCGGCUGACCUAGUACGUACCACCUGUACCUUUUAUGAACUCUAGCGCUGCUAGCUAGUCUUCUGCCCUUUUUCUGAUGGCACUCCACUCCUGCAGAUUUGGCAAUCCGGGAAAGGAACGCCAUCAUAAUUCCUGCAACGGCCAAAUCAGUACUAAUUAAUUACAGUAGUGACUAGCUAGUAGUGCGUUGGUUGAACGCAAAGGAUGCUAAUCCUCCAUCACAGGUCUCUUUCAGCCCAAAGCCGGCCCUUUAACUUCAUUUCCCCCCGUAACAAAAGUAGUAGUAUAAUCUACCAUGGGACACAAACGAUGCGUCCUUUUCCACUAUUGAUGAGAGCCAGGCAGCCGGCCGGCGAAGUCGCCGCCUGCCGCAUAAAGUGGCCGGCCGGCCUGGACUGGAUUCUUGCCGUAAUUACUGGGGUCAAACUGUGCCCCUCCGGUCACUUCCAAUGGCCGCACCAAAUUAAGGGAAUCUGCUGGUAACAGGGUGCAGAUGCAGACACUUCGUCCUCCUUUAGGCGUCUGGUUAGCCUUGCUGCAUCACGGCAUGCAGGUUCUUGGUAGCUUGCAGGUGUUCAACAAAGAUCACUGUACUAAACACAGGCGUCAGCAUAUAGGUUUUAGGUUCGUGGAGAAAAUGGAAAAUUCUCCUGAAAUCUACAAAAGGAAAAAAACAAUGUGCUGUAUCCAGUAGUUGAGAUGUUGAAAAGUUUUAUUUUUCGGGUUGCAUAACGAGAUAUACUUCAUUCGUUUCAAAAUGUAGAUCGUUUUUCUAAAGAUACGUACCUUUUUCUACACAUCUACAUGUACGUUAUGUAGAUAUAGAGAAAAAUUAUAUAUCUAAAUUUGAUAAAGUGAUCUAUAAUUUGAAACGGAGGUAACGGUGCAUAAAACGCAUAACUACGAGCUACCCCAAUUAACCAUUUCGUUUUGGGCGUGCCGAAACAGUUAGCCCGCCGGAAAGUAACAGGCCACGGUGGGGGCUCCAGGCAGCAUGUGAGAUGCGGACCAUGGCCCAUGGCGAAUGAGAACUCAGCCAGUGCCCGGCCCGGGCUGUCAACUUCCGACCGGGGCCUCCGCACUCAACUUGGGCCUAGCUGAGCUUUCAGGCGAUCCUUGUGAUUUGUGAAGCUAGGCCUUGUGCGCGGAAGCACCGCGGCACGGGCCUAUGCUUGCCGUGGCACGCGGGCCGAGCGGCUCGCGUUGUCCAGUUACUUACUUGAGUAAAUUAGUUUCUUGAUCCUAACAAAAAUUCGGUUUAGUUUCUUAACCUUUUUCGAUUGAACUGGCUUAUUUGAUCUAAAAAUAAAUUUUAUUUUAGUUCUUGGCCCUUGCUUAUUUGAUCUAAAAAUAAAUUUUAUUUAAGUUCUUGGCCCUUGCUUAUUUGAUCUAAAAAUAAAUUUUAUUUUAGUUCUUGGCACUUCCAUUAGUUUGACAAGUUAACGAUGUUAAAAGCAACGUGAAAUAACUCUUUUACCCCUGGCGUUAAAUGAAACGCUACAACAGCGUAUAGUAAAGUCGUACAAGAAUUUUAGGCUGCCUAUUAUCAUUAAUGAAAAAAUAGGUUAUAAUUUUUUCUACUAAAAUAAGUUAUAAUCUUUUCUUGGCGAUAAUAUGCAGCCUAAAAUGUUUGUAUGAUUUUAUUGUACGCUGUUGUAGUGUUCCAUUUGAUGCUAGGGGUAAAAGAGUUAUUUCACGUUGCUUUUAACAUUUUUAGCUUGUCAAACUAAUGGAAGGGCCAAGAAAAAAAUUCAUUUUCAGACCAAAUAAGAAGUUUAAUUGAAAAGGGAUCAAGAAACUAAGCCGAACUUUUAUUGGGGCCAAACUAAUUCACUCUUACUCUAUAGUAUGCAUAUGGCAUGUCGUCUCAACAACAAUAAAAAAAAGAUACGGAAUUCCUAACUGACACUCGAAUAAAAAUUUUGUUUCGUGUCUCAGUUGAUUUCUUCUGUUCUAAUCUUUUCUUCACCCGUGCAUCCUCUUCUGCGUCCCAGUUUUGAAGCUGACCGGCCUGCCCCCCACCACAUACCGAGGAUACUACGAGCCGUUUCGCUGGGUUUCAACCAGCUCCGACUCCAUUUAUGGUGUGUUUGGUUGGGGAGCGAGCUGGAGCGGAGCCGCUCCGCUCCCCUUUUCUGCACGUUUGUUUGGAAGCAACGAAGAGUGGAGUGGCUCCGGUGCGGAAUAUUCGCGUGAGAUGCGGAACGAGACCGCUCGCCCGAAACGACCGGACGCGAGCGCUCUCGUUUGCUGCCUCCUCCCCCCCCCCCCCCCCCGCUGGCGGCAUCCACGGCCGCUACCGAGGAGCCCAGGCGGCGCCGCCGCCCGCCCCGCCCCCCCCCCCCCCGGAAGGAGCCCAGGGCCCUCGCCGCCCCCCGCCGCGGACGGGAUCCAAGCGCCCAUGGCCGGAAGGAGCCCAGGCGGCCAGGCGCCCGCGGCCGCUCCCCCGCCGGAAGGAGCCCAGGGCCGCCGCCGCACCCCCCCCUCCCGCCGCGGACGGGAUCCAGGCGCCCGCGGCCGCUCCCCGCCCAGGCGGCCAGGCGCCGCCGGCCCCACCGCUCGCCGGCUACGUUGAAUGGCAUGGUUCUCCAACCAAACGCGGAACGGAAUGGUUCUGCUCCACCGCGCUCUCCAACCAAACAAAAAAUGAAGUGGUUCUGUUCCGCUUACCAAACGUAGAACGGAACGGUUCCAUUCUCAGAAAUUGGAAUGGAGCCGUUCCAUUUAAGUUGGCUCCCCAACCAAACGGACCCUUAAUGCAUGUACUGUAAAGCACGGUUUAUAUACCGUUUAUUGAAAUCCAUUUUCUCUCUUCUUACCCUUACUCUUACAGAAUCACAAGGGGCUAGUGGAGCCACAAAUUAUGGCUCCUCCGGAUCCAGCUUCUGUAAUGCUAUAGUACUUCUACACUAGUGGAGCAGCAGUCGGCUGAAGUCCAGCCAAACGGACCCUACGGUGGGGAGAGCCGGCCCAGUUAUUUUCAGCCUGGCACUUAGCCUUUUCUUCAGUAGCCUGGACCAUUUAACAGUCAAGUCAUGUUAAAAAAAAAGAAUACAAACAACAUGCAGGUUUACGUUCAUCGGAUCCAAAAAAAUUCGUUAUGUGACACUUCAACCCGAUGUUGCUUUUCUAUAGUUAAAUACUUGUCUCUACAGUGUGAUUUUUUUAUUUGAUGUAUUUAUAUAUACCAUAUAUAUAUAUAUUUUGGCUCAGAUCAAAUCGUACUUUUUUGUAUAUUUCCUCUUCUAGCAUUAACAUAUUUUUUAUUCGGCUGAUUCUAUUCCUUGUUUAUGUCAACUUUAAUAUUAAAGUUGAUUUUGUUUUGCAGUGUGACAUUUCUUUGGAUCAGACCAAAUUAAUGGAAAAACUUAUAAUGUUUUGUGAAUCCAUGGACCAUGUUAUAAACAGAUGCAGUACUCACGUACAUGCACGCGCACUCUCACUUCUCAUCCCUAUAAAUACACCACAUAAUCUGAUCCUUGUAAGCAUCUUCAAAAGAUUCAACGGACGUAUCGGGAGAUUGAAGAAGUUACCACAUUCACGUGCACUUCGCUGUCAAUAGGUACGCCACCACCCGCUAAAAGUAUAGCGUCAUUAAUUCUUAAAAUAAAUCAUUUAAAAUAUGAUUCAACUCAGAUGGAUAGGUUUCACCACAAUAAAUCUUGAUAGCUACUUAGGCUCAGUUUAUAAGUCCAAUGUAUGUUCCAAUACUUUCAAUUUUUAUUUUUGUAUAUUCUUUAUAACGUUUGGAAAGAAACUCCUCUGAUCUGUAUAUGACGAAUUUGUUGUCUAUCCAUGGGAGGCGUAUUUUUUUAAAAAAAUGAUUUGUAGCUAAAUUUUUAGCUCGUUUCCACCACGCAAAUCAGUAGAUAAAAUGGAGUGAUUUUUAUCUUCUCGUCACUCAAAUUUUUGUAGCUGCCAGUGACACGUGGCGUUGUUCUACUGGCUUCAAAAAUUGACUGACGGUAUUAUAUCUUUUUACUCGAUUGUUAGGGAGUCGUUCCCAGAAAGAUAUGUAUGGCAUGGCAUCUUGCUGCUUGGUGGAGGGUAAGAGGGAUGUGUAGCACUUUAUUAGCUGGCCAAAUGUAUGAUGACCAUGGCUGGCCCAUGGCGAAGGACAGCUAGUGGUCUAGGCGAGGGUGUCGAGCAACAACGGUUAUCCUGGUGGCAGGUUGUAGUGGUGGACACAAUGACGAGGAUGGGAAGGAGGACGGGAGAGGGGUUGUGUCACAACGACUGCUUCACGCUAUCUACUCUACAUUUCUUCAGCAAGCAGGAUUCCAUGCGGGGCUUGAGUAGAAUGGCAGCUAAAACUUUCCAUAAAACUUGUUCUGCGAGAAGCAGUUUAGUAUCUUCUACAGAUGCAAGCAGCCAGUCAAUCGGACGCACGUUUCGAGGGCUCCUGGCCUUGCGCGACUCUCGCUUUGUCCAGAUAAAUUGAAGUGCGAUUCCAUGCUUCCGUUCUGGGUCAACCCGAGUUUCGCUGCCCGUUUCCCGGGUGGUGCUUCGUGCUAGCUACUCCGUAGUUGCAUUGCUUCCGUUCAGUUUGCCGUGGACGAGAAAUUCUUGAACGACCAACUGAGCACGGGCCGCGCCGUGCAACUGUGCAAGUGCCAGCCUUAUCGAUCAGCACGACGGUCAGAGGAACACAAAAGGAUGGACGCCAAGGCAUAUGUCAUGCGUGAGGAAAAGGGAGGCAACCACUACUUAAAAAACAAUUUGCAGCAACAUCCCGAUUUUUUCGGAGACGGAUCAAAAUAUAAUCCGUUCUUACAAAAUGAGCGGGGUUACUGUAGCAGCAGACCCGCCUCUGGAAUUGCAUAUUUAGAGCCUCUGGAAUUGCAUAUUUAGAGGUGGGUGACACCAUCACCCGCCCCUGAAAAUAAGCCCCAUCUUUAGGGGCGGGUCAUGGCGCCACCCGCCCCUAAAGAUGAGAUUUCCAGGAUCAGGUGUCACUAUCCUCCGCCUCUAAAAAUGAGGCUCAUUUCCAGGGGCGGGUGACGCCCCCACCCGCCCCUACAAAUAUUUUUCACAUUGGUUACAAAAAUUCAAUUAAAUCAGAAAAAAUAGCAAACCACAUAAUGCUAUUGUGCCCUGUAGAACUAGAAAAAAAAUAUGCCAAGUAUAUUUCAGAAUAUAUAAUUCUUAAGAGCGUGAAAAUCAGUAAAUAUAACUUGAAUUGUAUGAGAUAGCAAGUGUUGGAGAAUUCUACAUUGUUGUUGCAACACUCUUAACCAUUCUUUACACUGAAAUAUAGUUAUCAUAUUUUUUUCUAGUUCUAUAGGUGACAAUAGCGUUAGGGUAAAAAUUUCACCUUUUUGCAUGUGUUUUGCUAUAUUUUUUAAAUUAAUUGAAUUUUUAGUAUAAAAUUGAAAAGAUUUCUAGGGGUAGGUGUGAAAUGAACCGGAUUCCCGAAUCGAGGAAUCCGACUCCCUGUAUCAUCGUGAUAGUCCCUGGAUCAAGCGCUAUCACAUACAGAACUCAUUUCAAGCAUGAUAUCACAGUCAUACUCACUAAGAGGUCAACCACGGGUUUAAUUAUUACAUAAAUCCAGAGGAUCUGUAGUACGGAAUUUAUUACAAGCCUUUCGGCUAAAUCGAACAAGCAGAAGGCGCAUAGCGGUAGCUAGGUCUUCGGGUGUCCUCCAUCUUCGGGAUCCACCUCCACAGGCGACUUGAGCGUAGCUCGGGCCUCAGUCGUACCAUCCGUCGUCGUUGGGGUCAAAUUCCGGAUCGGAUCCUGCAUCGUACCAGGCUAUCCCCAAAGAAUGGGAUAGGUUCACGUCACCAUCCGUAUGCAAGCUUUAUGUGGUCUAUACUACGGAUAUAACAGAAUUCAAGGGUAAAGCUGGGGGUUUCCCUAUGCAUGCAAUAUAAUAUAUAUAAGAAUACACAUCUCCUUUCAUUCCUGACUCGGGCCCUUCCGGCAUUCCGGACUCCCGGUCACACACACCUUCCAACACCACCAAGUCGAUGCGAGGACUCCCUCUCCUCGCAUCUCAACUGCCCCCUGACAGGACAAUAUUCUAGAGGGAGGUAGAGAUCAUGAGUAACACUAACUAAUAAGAGCAACAGAGGAGUAGGGAUGUCCAUAACCGAGGACGCGGCUAUACGUAUAGUUUUCACCCUGCAGGGGUUGUACACCUGGACCCACUCGAAUCGACACUAGACGGAGAUCAGCCGACUAGUAUACGAAACACCGGUCUACGAAACGGAAAUAGGAGCCACGGCACCAUCCGGCUUUCCCGGGUCUUGGGCGCAUCCUCCCGCGAGAGGUCGCCCCAGGACUGUGAAGCCUCCCAUGCGUCUCGGGGAACGUGAGGUCAGCACCUCCUUCCCCUGCACCGAUACUCGAUCCUCCUACCGGCUUGGUACCGCGCUUGCUAAGUCCGGACCGGGCCCACCCGCAUAAUGGGUAAGUGGUGUGCACGCUUACAAAGUCCCACAAGUCAUGGUUACUCUCACCCGGUCCUUAUCUGCCGGAGCGGGCAUCUUCGUCAAAGGCGUAUCCACCACGGUGGUCCGCAACCGCACCCAUAACGGGUGCCUCACACACCUCAACACGUAAACAAAACUGUACCCGCCACAGGUACUCCGUAGGGUGUGCCAAGAUACACACCCCAAGCCCUCGAUCCACGAUCGAGUUAGGUCGCCCACUCCCGGCUAAACCCUAAUCAUCAACUCCUAAUGGGAUCCACUUCACGCACGCCAAGACUAUCCAACCAUAUCCCACACAUACACAUUCAAGGGUUUACAAGGCAUUUCAUAUAAUAAACGAAUAAGAUAGGUUGACAAGGAGUAUGGUUCGUAAAGAGGCCAUGCAGGUUUAUCUCGAUAUACAUAUAUACACAUACAGCAAAAGCAUAUCUACAAGCAAAUGCCUAAUAGGGAUUCAAAUCGUAGAUGGGCGUGAACCUGGCGUCUCCUCGAAGUCUUCCUGAGCCUCCGGGUAGUCCUGGUCGUCGGUCAGCUCCUCGCGGACGGGUCCUAUUCGUAAAUACGAGUAAGAGUAGGGACCAAAGUGCAAAAGUUCAUAGAAAGGUUGCAAAUAAGAUUCAAAUCACCACAAUACCUAUUCUAACAGGUGGCUCAUGAUUUUAGAAGAAUUAUGAAACUGGUUUCAUAAUUUUCAGAGGUCCGGAUAAUUUAUUAUGAAUUUUCUAAGGAAAAACCUAUUUCUGAAAUUAAUAAAAGAUUUUCAGAAAAGAAGGCCUGGAAACAGGGACACGUGGCAGCACCAGGGCGUGCCACGUGGCAUGCUGAUGUCAGCAUGACGUCAGCAGAGGGGGCCCCGGGUGAUGACGUCAGCAGCGGGCCCUGCUGACGUCAGCGUUGACCGGUCAACGUUGACCGGUCAACGGUCAACGGUCAGGGCUGGGUCAGCGGUCAAGGGGCCCACUGGUCAGCCUCAGCACGAGGCUGACAGACGGGGCCCACGGGUCAGGUCAGAACAGGGAAAAGAAAAAGGGAGUUCGGUCUGGGUUGGUUUUGGGCCAAAAGGAAGUUGGGCCGGCUCGAGGCCCGGCUAAGCUCGGCUAGGCUCGGAUUCAACGCAGGCCGGUUCCUUCCUCCGUGGGCUGGGCCUUCUCUUUCCUUCCUCCUCUUCUCUUCUGGCUGGGCUGGCGCUUCACCUUCUCCUCCUCGCGGGCCGGCGGCGUCGUUUUCUUUCUUCUCACUGACAGGGCGGGCCCAGGCGUCAGCGUCCGCGGGAUCCGGUGUGGCGGCCCGGAUCCGGUGCAGCGGUGCAGGUGCGUGUGUGCGUGUGUGUGGCGCCCGAGGGCGCGUGCGGUGCGAGCUCCCGGAGGGUGCUCGGGGGAAUGCCCCAGUGACAUGGCCGCGACGCGAACGCGACGUCGCGGUCGCGUCGCGGGGGUGAUCGCGCACGGCAUGGCCGUGGCGUGGGUGUGGCGAGGCUGGGCCAAGGCAAUGGCAGCAGCACGGCUUGGGCCCGUGCUGGGGGUGCGCACGCACGCGCGCGGUGCCUGGCUGCCCAGGACCGCGGCGCGGCCGUGCCGUGCGCGGAGCACCGGCGACCCGGGCCCGCGGCACGACGCGGCGGCGAGGGGGCGACGGCGGCGGCGGGGACAAGGGCGGCGCGUCGGGCUCCUGCAGGAAACAAACGGCACGGCGGCCGGAGGGAAGGGAGUCCUAGGGUUUCCCUACAGAGGGUUCAUCGGCGGCGCUAAGCUCACGCCGGGAGCACGGGAAAAGAAGGGACGGCGGCGGUGAUCCUCACCGGAGGGGCUGAAGGGGAACGGGCUGGUGCGGUGGCGGGUCGAGGCCGGCGGGUCGUAGCCGUGCAGGGAGAUCCGCGGCGUCGAUGUCGUCGUACGGGUCGCCGGCUCGGUGAAGCUCCGGCGUGGCGUCGUCCUCCUCCUCACGCGGCUCUGGCGGUGUCGGUGGCGUCGUCCUCGGGCUCCUCCGCGCGCGGCUCUUCUCCUUCUCCUCCUCCGCUCCUCUCUCUUCUCCUCGGGCUACGGCGGCGGGAAGGAAGCUAGGGUUUCUAGGGUUUGGGCGAAGCGGCCUCGGGUUUAUAGGGGGGGCGCUAGGGUCCGGGGCGGCUGCGGCCGAGGGUCCUCGGCGGCCGGGCCGGGACGCGUGGCGCCCCUGCGGUGGCUGCGGCGCGGGGUAGGGUCUCGGGCUCGCGGCGCGGGCUGUCGGGAAAAGGGCGCGCGGCGGUUGCAUUGCCCUGUCGUGGAGCGGAGACAGGAGCGCGCGGGGGUGACGCAGGCGAGCGCGGGCGCGGGGAAAAAGGGGGCGGCCGUUUCGCUAUCCUGUCGCGAGGCGGGCGACGCGGCGGAGGCGAGCGGGAGCCGGGAGCGGGGUCGCGGGCGUCGGGAGGAAGGGGAAAGCUGACGGGUGGGUCCCGCCCGUCAGCUGCCCCGAGAGGAAAGGAGGCGGAUCGUCGCGCGGGCUGCGGAGAUGGGCUGGGCCGGCUUGCGCGCGUGAGAAAGAAGAGAGAAGGCAGAUGGGCUCUGGUCGCGUGGGUAAUGGGCUGGUGGCCCGGUAGGGUAUUUUAAAGAGUAAGGUUUGGAUUUGAAUUUGAUUGCCCUUUUUCAAAUUCAAAUCCCACACAAUUUAAUCCAACAAAUCCGAAAUUCGAAGCAAAUAAGAUGCAAUAACCGUUCAACCCAAGUCCAUUCACAAAAAAUUUUUGAAAUCCACAAAUUUUGUUAAACAAUUCCUAUAAUUUCUAACAUGGAAUGUUACAAGGUGACCCCCCACCCGCCCUUAGAAAUAAUUUGUAGUGGCGGAUGGGAGGGGUCACCACCCCUGAAAAUAUAUUUAUAGGGGUGGGUGGGGGGUCACUCGCACCUGGAAAUCCCUGCUUUAUAUAUACUGAACCGGCCGAGGACUUAGCAAAAUUUUCAUUUCGCGCGGACGAGGGUGUUACGCUGCCAAAAUUUUCGCUUCCCCGCCGGGCCUCCACUCCUCUCCGUUGCCUCGUCAUCGACCUCCCUCGGCCUACCGCCCACGCGCUUCCCUCGGCCCGCCGCCCGCGCGCCUCCCUCGACCCGCCACCCGCGCGCCUACCUCGGCCCACCGCCACGCACCUCUGGAUCCAGCCUGCCGCCGCGCGCCUCUAGAUCUGCGGCCCCCUCGGCGGGCGCCACUCCUGCACUCGUCGGCGGCCCAUCCCUCCCUCGCCAGCGCCCCUCUCCUCCCCUCCACGCCCUUCCUCGGCAGCAGGUGAGUUCUUGAUUUUUUCCUUUUGAAUUAGUUAACAAAUUACUUAGUAAAUUAGUUAAUGUAUAAGUGAAAAAAAUAUGAUUAUAUGUGGUUUGUAAUAUAUGAAAGUGAAUGUGACAUGUGAAUUUGUAGUGAAAUUUCCUUUUAUUUUGCCAUUAUAGUUAACUUUAUUUAGUGAAUGAGUAUUAUUCAUAUAAAUGAGGAAUAGUGAAUGAAAUUUUAAUUGAAUAUAUGAGGAAUAUGAGUGUAAUUAGUGAAUUUUCAUGUGGAUGCAUUGUCAUUUUGAAAAUGUGAGAUAGUGAAUUAGUGGAUGUGAAUUAUUAAGAAUGUGAAAUAGUGCUGUUUUGAGAGUGUGAAAUAGUGAAUUAUUGUUUCUUGAAUAGGCAUAUGGCAAGUCGUGGCUUUGGUCAUGGUAGAUUGGGUCGUGCUAGUGUCGGUCGUGGCAGGGGGUAUCAGGAUUUUCCUUUGCUCGAGGCUCGCGCUCUUGGCAUCACUUUCAGCAGAGUCACAGGACUAGACCGAUCUGAUAUUGUCAAGCAACCGUACCAGCUCCAGGAAUAGUAAGAUCCAUCUUUUUAUUUUAUUAAGAAUGUUUGAUCCUUAUCAAUGUUAUAUUACCUCUAAUGCAGCAGAUCGAUGUGUUUACAUGGCUUGCCGAGGUAGUAAAUUGCCUAAGUGAUACACCUCCUCAGGUGGAAACCAUGGAACGCCGAGAGUUCAAGAAACUAACAAUCUUUUUCGAGAUACCUGCAAAAUGAGAUCUAGGUACUAUGAUUCCAAUAAUUACUAAUGGUAAAGAAUCACCUAUUCAGAUGACUUAUGAAAGAAGAGCCAUGGAAGGUUGCCUUUUAGAACUUUAGAGGUAUGAUUAUCUAAUUCCAGACUCGUCAUGGUUCAAAAUCAGAGCGCUUCAACAAAAUGAACGUGAUAUUUUUUGUUUCUGUGAUAGGCUUGCAAAAGAAAAUUAAAAUGACAUGGUACGUGAGUCCUUGUUAAUUUAAGAAAAAGUAUAUAUAUUUAUACUUUAUUUAAUUGUGCGAAGCAGUUUAUAAUAUUUGCCUUACAUCUCAGGAUAUGUUUGGUAACACCUUCACGGCGAUAAAUUUGAAGAUUAUUUUAUGUGAAGCCAUGGACAAGUUGGGUUAUCAUUGGUACGAGUCCGGGAUAUCCCGUACUAGGGAAGGCUUGUACCAGACUUCUAUUGAAGUUCGAUAUACCUUGUUUCAUGCUGCGGAACCAAUAUUCACCAUCUAUGACAAAGCACUUUCUCGUAUAUGUGAAGCAAAGGAAAGUGUACUUAUCCGUGCUUUGUUUUUAUUGACGAAAGCCUGGGGUACAAGAUUGGCGAUGUUCACUAUGUUAAGUACCCCUUGCUUGCGAAUAAGAUCCGUUAGAUGAUGUAAUAUAUGCGUGCAAUUGAACAUUUGCACGUUAAAUGUAAUAUGUAUCAACUUAUUGAAUAUUUCAAUCGCAUACAUUUUAAAUAUUUAGAUAUUUUCCUUUCCAAACUCUUGUGGCCAUGUAGUGUGAUAUGCUUGUAUAUGACAGAUUCUGAAAAUUUAAAUUAAAAUCAAUGAAUUAUUUGACGGUUAGGGUAUCUUCAGGGACAAGUCAUGCCCUGAUCCGCCCUGGAAACCCAUUUUAAGGCGGGCCAUGGGCUCACCCGCUCCUGAAAACCGAUUUCCAGAGGCGGAUCAUAGGCUCACCCGUCCCUAGAAGGAAAUCGAAGAAAAUUAGUUUUCAGGGGCGGAUUUGCAAACAGCUAUUUUAGCUGCAACAAACAGUGGCGGAUACCGUACCUGUCCAUAGAAAUGGAUUUUUACCGGUCCCUAAAAAUAUUUUCCGCAGUAGUCACGUUCUCGAUCUCCUGCUUGCGUGCAGCACAUCAUUAUUGGCAAUUUGCAAAUGAUGGCAAAGAUGGAGGAGGACUAAAGAUGGUAACUGUACGCGCAAGUGUGCAAAUCAGUGGUAGAGUACUGCUGCACAGCACAGAACGUGCGACAAGGCCCGUUCCGCCGGGUGCCGAACGUCUACGACGCUACGCAUUUUCGGCUUAUCGCCGAUGGACUCCGCAUGGAUAACGAAAAUAAAAGCGCCUGCCACCGGAUCUCCAUUGCCCGAUCUUGAGUGCAAUUCCUUGGUACUGCAAUAGGGAUCUGCCGGCCCCCCAUUUCUUCCUCGCCAUUGCCUUCUCCCGUGUUCCAAAAUACUAGAAUUGAAUGCUCCGAUCAAUAAACAAUCCUGAUCGGGUACUGAUCCAAGUUGACGAGAUGCCGCCGAUAUAAUCAUAAAAUACAUGGUGGCCGAUGAGCCGAACAUGCACGCUCAAGGAUUGAGGGUCAGAUGUUUAAAGGCGUCGAUGAGAAAGUCAGCUGCUGCAUGCGCAGUUGUGUCUCGCCGCAUGGCCUGCACAGUGCACAGCGAGUUCUCCAUUCACACUUGCAUGUGGAAGUUGUAACUACCGUAGCACUUGGAGACAAUACACAAAACACAUGUGUAUCAGGCCAUCAAUCGAAACGUUUAGACAAAUAAUCUAUUUUUUAUAAAGACAAACGAGCUAGUUCAUGCCUAUACGUACAGUGAAUUUGUCUAAUUAGCCUAGCUAGAACAAAAGACCGGCCGAUUUGCUGCAUGAUUGCUUCCAAUGAUACGGAGAUUACUGUCUAGGUGUAUCCGAUCCACCUGCCGUUUGGUUUUCAGUUGCUUGUGCUCCAACGAAUAUGCUGAUUCUUUACUAGCCCAGCACUUCCAGAUGUGCCAAUCCAAUCGAUCUGCGUCAGUCAGUUGGAUCGGACAGAUUUCGGUUAGUUUUGCCAUACUUAAUUUUGCAUCCCGAUGCGUGCCGUGGUCAAGGUCAACUGCUCGCAGCACGGCGCUCCUAGCCUCCUCCUACUAUCAGUGUAGGGCCCACCUUCACCGAUUCGUGGUGAGAGCCGCGCGCGAGAUCGAUCAUCGGCUGGCGGGGCCCCGCCGCACCGGCGUACGGCAGGGGAGCCGCCGAGCGUACGAUCCUAAACAUGCAUGUGGGUAACUGCCAAGAAACGCAUUUAUUUUCUAAUGGCAGAGUGGCACGCGGACCGAGGAUUCCGUUUCCACCAUGAUUAGCUCGAAGGAUACGGUGGCCAUGUGACCCUCAACAUCUAAACACGGCAUGACCGAUGUGGCGACGACUACCACCGACGCCCAACUGCUGAAGCUCCUCUGCCUUCGCUUAGCUGCUUGCCCGCCUAUAAGAACACCGGCAGUCUCGUCCCUUCCCAUCACCAAACAGGCAGAACACGCAGCACAUCCUGACAUCCAACAAGUACAUACCAGCAGCUUAGUAGAAGCUGAGAUCGAUAUAUAUGAUGGCCGCCCAGGCAGCUGCUGCACUCGUUGCUGGGCUCCUCGCCGUGCUUGUCGUCGCGCAUGGCGUUCGAGCACAGCCGGCGAACGACACCUCCUCCGCCGUCCGCCAACUCCUCGGCUCCGGCGGCGGCUGGCUCCCGGCCAAGGCCACCUGGUACGGCGCGCCCAACGGAGCCGGCCCCGACGACAACGGUAUGUACACGCGUUGCUGUUGCUGUCGUGUUUACAAGCUGGUUUCGCAUGCAUGCCAUCCGAGCAAUGCCGUGGCUGACAUUGUGUUGUGCGUCCGGUUCUGCUUCUGCAGGUGGCGCGUGUGGGUUCAAGGGCACCAACCAGUACCCCUUCAUGUCCAUGACGUCGUGCGGCAACGAGCCCCUGUUCCAGGACGGCCAGGGCUGCGGUGCAUGCUACGAGGUAACCACUGUUAAAUUACCCGUCCACUUGUCCGGAGCAUUUAAUUCUGAUCAUUCAAAUGUACUACUAUACUGCACCAGAUUUGUAGUAUAUCUUUUCCUCGAAGUUGACAAUCUUGCAUCGUUCAGUACGAGUCCUUGAACUCGUGAGGUCAACCUCAACAAGCAUAACGCAUCUUUUCACGUUCUGCUUAAACUUCAGAUAAAGUGCACCAGUAAGGACAACCCCGCCUGCUCCGGCCAGCCCAAGAGGGUGAUGAUCACGGACAUGAACUACUACCCGGUGGCCAAGUACCACUUCGACCUCAGCGGCACGGCCUUCGGCGCCCUUGCAAUGCCGGGCCUCAACGACAGGCUGCGCCAUGCGGGCAUCAUCAACAUCCAGUUCAGGAGGGUACCCUGCGACAACCGGGGGCUCACCGUCAACUUCCACGUGGAGCAGGGCUCCAACCCCGUCUACCUAGCGGUGCUGGUCCAGUACGCAAACAAGGCGGGAACCGUGCUGCAGAUGGACCUCCUCGAGUCCGGCUCGAGCUACUGGACACCGAUGCGGCGCUCUUGGGGCUCCGUCUGGCGGCUGGACUCCAACCACCCGUUGCGGGCGCCCUUCUCGCUGCGCAUCCGUGGCGAAUCUGGCCAGACGUUGGUGGCCAACAACGUCAUCCCGGCAAACUGGAGACCCAACACCGACUACCGCUCCUACGUCCAGUUUAGCUAAGCGACCGAUCACUUCGUAAACAUAUCCACGGUUCGGUUGUUGAUUUAUUUGGUGUCGUGUGAUUGCAAAUUCUUUUUGCAAUGGGUUUGACGAUUUUCAGUGACAUGUUGUCUUUUGUGCGUGUGCACUUGGGUCGCGUGUGAAAUGGAGGAGGCAAAGUGUUUUAUUCAUGUAUGCUCUCCCGCCCACCGACGAAAUUGUGUACUACAAGUAGUAUGUACUUGAUGAAUAGAGUGAUACAAUGUGUAACCAUUUUGCGGGGUAUAUCUUGUCAAGGGAUUAUUAUUAACUACUUUGUCAAUCACAUAUUUCUGAUUUUUCUAGUCGAUGCGGAUUCAGGCCAAAACACCUGCAAUGUAUGAGUUUGUUAGAACACUUACAAAUCGCAUUGCAUUGUUUCGUAUUAGUAGAUGUACUACGACCCACGCCAGUUAGUGGUAGUGGGACGUCUAGUCACAUGUUUGGUUUGAGGACUUGCCUCAUGUCCUUAUGUAUCUUUGUUACUUUUAAACCCUUAUGUAUCUAAUGUUUUAUUUUCCAUCAACUCGAUCAAUGCAAUGUUUUUAAAACUACCCUUUUGAUCAUGUUAGACCGUAUGACAUGACAAAGUACUAUAUCUAAUUUAUUUGGCGUGACCAAAAGGUCCAAUAUUAAAAAUAUCAUCUCAGAUGGGCUAUGCAUACAAUAUUAGAUAAAGAGGGUUAAAAUAAAAACCGUUGCGCUCGUUCUGGACGGGAUAGUACAUCAUGAGUUGUUCUUAUGGACUUUGGUGCAAUGAUGAUUUCAAUCUCCAUAUUUAUAUUAAUCAUGUGCGUAUAAAGAACGGGGUGGUGAUAAAAAUCAACUAAGUUUUGUUCCCUGGACCAAAUAAAAAUGUAAGGAAUGAGACAAUGAUAAUUGCCUCAUUUCUUAAACCAAACACUACAUGAGUGAUGCAUGCAUGAAAGCUUCAGCCACUAUGGUGGAUACUACACUACAGGAAAAUAAAUUCACUAUUAAGCUGCACCUAUCGUCAACAUAUUACAUAUUAAUAAAAUAGUAAAUGAUCUUAAAGCAAGAUGCCGGAUAGGUACAGUGCCACCUCAUCCAAGGAGACGGCUCCGCUGGCGACUCAGGGGGCCCUUUGCGCCGUCGCCGCCAAGCAUCCGCCCUUCCCCCUCUUCUCCUCACCGUUGCUCGAGCGGGGGGCCGGAAGCCUGGCGCCCGCAAGGAGGGCGGCGCGGGGUGACUCGUGAGGGCAGCAUGUGCGUGCCGUGCGGACCAAGGCACUCUACUGCCUGACACCGGCGGGGCUCCUCUUGUGACCAAGUCACCGGAUCCACCGUCCCCAUGGCCGGAUCCGUCACCCCAUGGGUGGAUCUGUGGCCAUGGUUGGAGGCGGCGCGCGGACGGCGCUGGCUAGGCGUCGUGGUGGGAGCCGAGGUCGAGCUGGCAGGCGACAGCGGAAUGGCGGUCGGGGCCCUACGGGGGGCGACGAAGCGGGCGGUGGCGUGCUGAGCGUCAUGGCGGACGGCGGCUGCGUGCAGAUGUGCGCAGGCUAGUUGCGGGUGCGUGCUGGCAUGCGCCGGCCAGGCAACGAGACAGCGCUAGCUUGCGGCAGCUGCAUGCGCCGGCCCGGCCAUGGGGUUCACCUGCGGCAGCUCGCCGGCUCCAGAUCUGAAGGUCACGGGUCCGAGCUAGGCUUGGCCGAAUCUAGUGGUGCGAGGUCCGGGAUGCUGCGCGCGUGUGGCGGCAAGGUUGGAGAUCCGCGCGGGGAGUACAGUGGCAACGGGUGCAGGACACAAGGAGGCACGGCGGCAGCGCCGCCCCUAGUGGUCUGCGAUGACUGUGGUCGUUGUCGGGUUGGGUGCGUGCAGUAGCUUGGGUUGGGUUGCUCCGGGCGAAAGCCUUUUGCCGGCAGCGAUGGCAGCGGCGUCUUCGGGCAUCGUUCUUCCCUUUGGGGGCGUCAUCUUGGAACCCCACCCCCACUGCAAGGGGGCUUUCUGGGUGAAAGCCCUCUGUCCAAAUCCAAAUCCUGAACGAUCGACGGCGGGGCCACUAGCAUGGUGCCCUCCUUGGAGGUGUCGUUUCUAAAUACCCAACACAGUUUGUGGCAAUACCGGUGAUGUCGAUGGCCAUGGGAGACUGCAGUUGGUGGUGGUGGCUGGUGCAGGAGGGAGAGUUGACGGGGGUUGUCAAGCUCACGUGGUGGCGUUCGCAGUUGUGGUGGCUGCCAGAAGUUGCCGCAUGCUUGUUGGGUUGGCUGCUUGUAGCGGACCGCGGCGGCUGGCGCUGCUUAGCGGCUAUCAGUGCGGCGCGGGACUGCUUCGGAAGAUGGCGCUUGUGGCAACAACAACGUGGGAUGACCAAGCUUGCAGCGAAUUGCGGUGGGUGGCUCAGCUACGGUGGAUGUACUCCGAUGCGGUACAUCGUCGGAAGACGGUGCAAGCGACAUCCUUAGCUCUCUGCCAUGGUAGCGGCAGCCAUGCACAUGAGUUUAUCAAUGAGACAAAGUCUACCGGCGGUGGUGGCUUGGCGGUUUGAUGGGGAUCUUUGAAGUGGGGCGGCAUUGCACCAUUCUGAUGGCGACAAAAGGAACGGAUCCGUGACAUGGGGUGCUGAGGCGGUCGUAGCAAGACCCCCGCAUGCGGUGUUUCUUCGAGGCGACAAGAGCGAGGUGGAGUCCAAUGACGGAUGUGGUGAGGCCCCGCGCGUUGUGGUGUUAACUGCGAGGCAGCCUGCGACAGGUUUGGAUCUGGUGUUAUCACUCUGUCGGGUGGUUAGUGGUGUUGCAGUGGCACUGCGGCGUUGGAUCCGUAUGGUGGUGGCCUCCUUGGUGCAAUGCUAUCUAUUUCUCUUGGUUCCCUAUCGAUGCGGAGCUACGCGUGGAGGCAACGACGACUGCAUGAGUGUGAGACUAUUGGGAAGUGCCGCGAAAUUGGCUUGGCGCUGCUGCGAGCGUGUGUCGCAGCGCGUUUCUGCUGCCAUUUGAGUGGAGUGGUGCAGCCGCGUUGAUUUCCCAAUCGAACUGGCCGGUUUUGAGUUGAGUUGAGGGCUUGCCCAUGUUGAUGUCCCAAUCCAACCGGGCGAGUCUUGUUUUUUUUCUUUUUUUCUUUUCCUAACUAUGGCCUCCUAGGACCAUAGUUUUGUAUUUUUUUUCUGCUAUAUCAAUAGAAACUCGUACUGCCUGCUAUAUUAAUAGAAACUCAUACUGUCUUGUGCGGUUGGUUCGGAAAAAAAAAUGCCGGAUAGGUACAAGCCUAAUAGGACAAAUUGCUUCAUGUCAUGGAUGUGGUACUCCCUUCAUGUCCAUCAAUAUAAGCCACAAACUUUUUGAAAAAACAUUCUUUAAAAUAAGGUUUGAUAUUUAGUUUCUCUUGCAAUUUGUUGUUAACUUUUUAUUUGCAAUAAGAUCAACACCAUCUUAAAAUUCUUUGAAUAUUUCAAAGAAUCUUUGAUUCAAAGUUACUAUCUAAAUCAAAAUACGAUAGGUAGUUCUAAAACAACAGGGCACCUAGUGUGACCCAUUUGGGCUGAAAUCAGCAGCCUAGUAAAACCGAUGGUACCCCUUAUCUAUGUUUUUGGUUGGGUUGGAUUGGAUCGUACUUUGAUUUUGACUGGAUUUGAGUGAUGCGGGCUAAAUUUUUUUGUAGUUUGUUCUACCGUUAUCUAGGUCGUGGCCCGAUUCAUGAAUUUGCAGCUCAGUUUACUUGAUCCGUAACUUUUUAUGGUCAGUUAUGGAUUUUUGAAAAAAAAUUCUCCUCCAAUUCCUCCAAACUGAUAGAUUCAUUUUUUUUUCGAUAAGCUCUUCCUUUGAUUCCCAAAAAAAAUCAUUCCGGAUUGCAGUGAUUGGGGUUGAGGGGUGAGGAGAGAGCCCGAGAGCGGAGAGGUUCGCGUGCACCAGCAUAGGGCGCAGGUGAGACGGAAGGAUGUUGUGUUGUUUAGUUAACGGUGACAGAAUGGGGAUAACAAUUAGUGAGUAGUGAUAGCUUAAACUGCUGAUACAAUAGAGGUAAAAAAUAAUAAAAACAAAAUAAGCCUCUCUCCAGCCUCUUACAUUUACUUAGUUGCCUCCGUUCAUAAAGGAGAGAGGUGAGAAGUCUAAGUUUUUCCUUAAGCCAAACAUCUUUAACUCCGACCAGAAUUUAGAAAAAUGCAUCAACAUAUAUUAUAUAAAAUUUAAUUUAUUAAAAUCUACCAUAAACAUGUGUUACUAAUGCAUUUAUUUGAUAUUACUAAUAUAAAAUUUCUAUAGAGUUAGUCAAAGUCAGAGAACUUUAACUUAGAAUAAAACUAAAACCUUUGCAGGAGUACACACACAGGAGUGCACUCUUAGGGCAUUUUUAUAAGAUCCACUCACGCUCGACAAAAACCCAAAAAGGAUUCAUAUGCUCUGCAGUUUACAGAGACUUCUCCUUUCACAUUUGCACGUGGAAGCUGUAGCUGCAGAAGCACUUUAAAACAUAGACAUAUAUAUACACAUGCAUAUAUGAAACCAUCAAUCGAAAAUUUUAUGCAAAUAUUCGAUCUCUUAUCAAGUCUCAGAUGAAUUUAUACCGAUGCAUAGAGUGGAUUCGCCUACCCUAGAACGAUAGACCGAUCGAUAUGAUGCAUGAUUGCUUCCAACGAUACGGAGAUUAGUGGCUAGACGUAUCUUGAUCCAUACCUGCCUCCCGGUUUUCAGUUGCUUGUGCCCAGCACUUCAGAUGUCAAUCUAAUCUGAUCUACAGGUGGAUCGGAAAGAUUUCGGUUAGCUUGCCAUACUUAAUCUGCAUCCAGAUGCGUGCUCUAGUCAGGGUCAACCGUGAUCCCAGGGCCAGGCAGCACGGCAUCGCCACGAGUGGCCGUCCCUCACCGACUCGUGGUCCCGUCCAUCGUUGGAUCCCUACCCAACGGUUCACAUUCUCGGACGGUUUCUCGAGAGGAAGUUGGUGGUCCGCUGAUGGCUGCGCGCGAUCAGUUGGGAAUCACAUUGGCAGAAUGGCAGGCACCGCCGCACCGGCGUACGGUAGGAGAGCCGAGCGUACGACGGAUCCCCUAACAUGCACCAUGCAUGUGGGUAACUGCCAAGAACCAAUUUUAUUUUGUAUAAUGGCAGACUGGCUCGCGGACCGAGUACUCCAUUUCCACCAUGAUUAGCUCGAUGGGUACGGUGGCCAUGUGACCCUGCACCGCCAAACACGGCAACGUCCGAUGUGGCGACGACUACCGAUGCUGCCCAGCUGCUCGAUCAAACUCCUCUCUUUGCCCAGCCCAUCCAGCUGCUUAAUUGCCCGCCUAUAAGAACACCGGCAGCUAGCCUCGUUCCUUCCCAUCACCAGAGCACAACACAGAUCGAGCAAGUACAUUAGUACGGAGUAGUAGGCUAGUAGCUUACAAAGCUGAUCAGAUCGAUGGCAGCUGCCCUCGUUGUUGGGCUCCUCGCCGUGCUUGUCGCGCAUGGCGCCCGCGCGCAGCCAGCGAACCACACCUCCUCCGCCGUCCGCCAACUCCGCGGCUCCGGCGGCGGCUGGCUCCCGGCCAAGGCCACCUGGUACGGCGCGCCCAACGGCGCCGGCCCCGACGACAACGGUAUGUACACGCGUUGCUGUCGUGUUUACAAGCUGGUUUCGCAUGCAUGCCAUCCGAGCAAUGCCGUGGCUGACAUUGUGUUGUGCAUCCGGUUCUUCUUCUGCAGGUGGCGCGUGUGGGUUCAAGGGCACCAACCAGUACCCCUUCAUGUCCAUGACGUCGUGCGGCAACCAGCCCCUGUUCAAGGACGGCCAGGGCUGCGGCGCAUGCUACGAGGUAAUUACGGUUAAAUUACUCGUCCACUUUGUCCUGAUCAUUUAAUCCUGAUCGGUCAAACGUAUAAACCUAUUAGUAUAAACCAGAGUAGUAGGAGCAGCCAGGACUAGUAGAUUUUUUCCUCGAGGUUAACGACAUUGUUGAGUACUCCACAGACCCCACUAGGAGAGUAGUUGAAUUCGUGCGGUCAAACUCAACAUGCCUAGCGCAUCUUUUCACGUUCUGCUUAAACUUCAGGUAAAGUGCACCAGUAAGAACAACCCCGCCUGCUCCGGCCAGCCCAAGCGGGUGAUGAUCACGGACAUGAACUACUACCCGGUGGCCAAGUACCACUUCGACCUCAGCGGCACCGCGUUCGGCGCCCUGGCGAGGCCGGGCCUCAACGACAAGCUCCGCCACGCCGGCAUCAUCGACAUCCAGUUCCGGAGGGUGCCCUGCGACCACCGGGGGCUCACCAUCAACUUCCACGUGGAGCAGGGCUCCAACCCCGUCUACCUCGCGGUGCUGGUCGAGUACGCCAACAAGGCAGGGACCGUGCUGCAGAUGGACCUCCGCGAGUCCGGCUCGCGCUACUGGACCCCGAUGCGGCGCUCCUGGGGCUCCGUCUGGCGCCUGGACUCCAACCACCCGCUGAGGGCGCCCUUCUCGCUGCGCAUCCGCGGCGAGCCCCGCAAGCCGCUCGUGGCCUACAACGUCAUCCCGGCCAACUGGAGGCCCAACACCGACUACCGCUCCUACGUCCAGUUCAACUGAGCGCAUGACGAUGAUCAUUCUGUAGGCAUACAUUGCUGGUUCGGUUGUUGAUUUAUUUGUCUUUAAUUUGUGCGGGCACUUGGGAGGCGUGGGAAAUGGAGGAGGCAAAGUGUUUUAUACAUAUGUGCUCUCCCGCCCACCGCCCAAAGUGUGUGCAAGUACAACUGGUGUGCGUCCGAUUACUAGAGUGAUAUACUGUAGUGUGUAACCAAAUCACGAGGUUAUGCAUCGUCAAUGGAUUUAUUAAUAACUACUUUGCCGAUCACAUGUUUCUGAUUAUUCUACCAGAUGUGGAUCCGCUGCGCACUUGCAAUCUAUGAGCUUUUCAGAUCACAGUAGAAACUGCAUUGCAUUGUCUAUAUUUGUAGAGGUACUGUGACACAUGCUGGUUAGUGGUGUGGAACAUAUAUUCAAGUGUUUGGCUUGAGGACUAACCUCAUCUUCUUGUGUCUUUCUUUUUUAUCUUUUGCCCAAUCAUACCUAAUGAUUUAUUUUUAAUCUGCUCUAAGGUAAUAUUUUUAAAAGUAACACUUUUGGUCAUACUAGACCGCAUGACCCGACAAAAUACUCUAUGCUUGCUAGGGAAAUACUCUAGUUCAUCAGUUAAUUAGGAGACCAUGCACCCUUCGCCGUGCUUAGGAACAGAUGGAUGGAUCAGCCGCGUGCUUCGAUGUGUCAGCUGACGGAGAGCUGCGAGUAGGCAAGCUGCGGGUACGGCGACCGCGGCGGCAGGCUGCUGACUAACAAACAUGGUCCCGUUAGGUUAUUAUUACGAUUUUGGUGAUUAUGUGAUAAUAUGGUCAAUGGGAGUAAUAAGUUUGUGAGCUCAAGUUUGUAGGAUUUCUAGAUCUCAUGGAUGGAGUCCAAUCCAUAUACAAGAUCAUCCAAAUCGUAGUUAAGAUACCCAAGUUGCAGUGAAAAUGCAGAGACGAAUUGGACAAGGUGCAGCAUGAAUGAAUACAUGUGUCGGUUAAACCCAUGGCAUAAUAUUUGAACCGAACGGUGCAUUAGUGUUGGCAACGGCGAUCAGGUGCAGAAAAACUUAGUAGCACCGGUUGAACCGACGACGUGGAUAGUAUGCGUCCGUGUAAUGCCAAAUUGCUCUGGUGAUAUGCACAAAAGCUCCAGAAUAUUUUGGGCAAAAUGUGUUUCAGCAUCGGUUGAUCUGACGGUUAAAAAGAAGGCGUCGGUGGAGUUCAUGAGAAGCUACCCACACUCUAAAGAAGUUCUCUAAGUCACCCAAAACUCAUUGAUCACGUACUUAGGUUUUGCACAAGCUUUGAGAGUGUUAGGUUUAGCACAAGCUUUAAGAGUGUUAGGUUUAGCACAAGCUCUGAGAAUGUUAGGGUUAGGAUUAGCUCUAGAGAGUGAGAGAGCAGGACGUUGCUGCCUUGUGUGCUGGUUCUCAAGUGAACCACAAGUUGUAUCUCAGAGUGACGGCCCUUUGGAGUCUUGGUGGCUCGCCGGCAAGUCAUCGACUCUCCGGCUCAGUGUGGAGUGGUGAUGAUGGCUUUGUGCGUGGGACGUGAAGGCCCCAUUCCUUCAUGAAGAAGCUCAUUAGUGGAAACGACAUCGAGGUGACCGGGGAUUUGGCGAGAGCCUUGAUGGCUAAGCCUUAGUGGCGAGUUAAGAAGAGACCCGGAAGAUACUCGGUGACCGGAAAGCAAUACUCUUAGUGAGUGCUUCAACAACAUGCACUAGGGGUGGACUUGUGCCUACCGAUACCACGGGAUAAAUCUUCGUGUUGAGAGUUUGCUUCCCAUCAUCCCCUUCUUCUAAGCUUGUACAUUUCUUAUUGUAAUCUUGUGUGCCUUUAAUGUAGUAUCUUGCUAGAAUUGGCUAUAGGUUGUAAAACUCUUUAGGAUGAGGUUUUUACACUAGUUGAACUCUAGUUGCACAAAUAAAUAAUAUAUUUUUGCUAACUAGUUUGAGUCAUAGGUUAAGAUUUUAGAAUUGCCUAAUUCACCCCUCCUUCUUUUAGUCUACGAGCACCGAUUCCUUUCAUCCUCCUCCUCCCAGAAGAAGUCCGCGCCCCCGCUCGCCACCGUCGGCGCCAUGACCACGCCAUCCCAACCGCAACUAGCGGCGGCUUCCUGCACCCGCUCCCUCCUCACCUCCUUGAUGACCAUGCACUCGGUGCCCUGUUCUUGCAGCGCCCGCUCUGGCGACCUCGCUUUCUUGUUACCAGCGGCAGCGGCGGACGCUCUGGCGACCUCGCUUUCUUGUUACCAGCGGCAGCGGCGGCGGGAGAGAAAGGAGCGGCAGCAGGAGGCGGCAGCCGCCAUCGGGCGGCAGUGCCGACAGCGACCUCGUUGGGGAAGUUGAGGAUGGCCUUGGAGCUGCAGAGGCGGAACGCAGCGUGAUCGUAGGCACGAGCGGCCUCCACGGCGGUGUCGUAGGUGCCCAGCCACACGCUCACGCCCUCCUGCACUGGGUCCCAGAUCUCCGCCACGUACUUGCCCCACGGCCGCUGCUGCACACCACGGUACCGUCGAAAGUCGUCCUCCUCGGCUUCCGGGCAGUAGUCCUUAGAGCUGAUGACGUCAUUGUGGUCGUGGCGGUUGUCGAGGAGGUGGGCGCGGAUGAGGUCGAGGUGUUUGUGCGGCAACAACGCUUCUUUUUUAUCUUUUACCAAAUCAUACCUAAUGUUUUCUUUUGCGAAAAAUCCGGUUUACGCCCUCGAAUUGUCGCGGAAGAAUUAUCGCAGAAGUCCGAUUUUCAAUGUUCAACUACAAAACCGGAUAACAUAGACGUCCAACUGUCGAAACCGGGCAAAUUUGGCUCUUAGAGUGGUUUUCAAUGUAGUUUUAUAUUUUUUAAAAUUAAAAAAAUUCUAAUUAGAUCUAAAAAUAAAAACUAAUUCAUUUUAAGUCAGAAAAAUAUGAAACUAGUAUAAAAUUUUUUCUAAAAAUGUAACCUAUCUAUUAUAGAUCUAUUUGAAUCUGAUUUAUUCAAAAAUAAUAGGCCUAACUAUAAGCAACCAAAUACUAUGAAUAUGAAAAAAUUGGAUCUGAAUAACUGAUAGGUACAGUGCCAAUGGAUAUGUUACAUUUUUAGGAAACUUUUGGUACCUAUUUCGUAUUUUUAUAUUUAAAACGAAUUACUUAUAAUUUUUUAGUUCAAAAUUUGAAUAUUUUUAAUUUUGAUAAAAUGAAAACCACCUUCGAAACCACCCAAAGGGCCAAAUCCGUCCAGUUUUGAUAGUUGGAUGGCCUAUAUUAUCCGAUUUUGUAGUUGAAGGUUAAAAAUCGGAUUUUUGUGAUAGUUUCAAAGUGUAAACCAGACUUUUUCCUUUUAUUUUUAAUCUGCUCUAAGGAAAUAUUUUUAAAAUUAACACUUUUGGUCAUGCUAAGAUGCAAGACGUAACAAAAUACUCUACCUAAUGUUUUUGGCGUGACAAAGAAUACAGUUUUAAACAUAUUGUCCUAGACGGGUUAAAAAUAAAAAGAAUUGCUCUCAUUAUGGACGGAUAAUACAUCAUGAGUUGAUCUUAUGGAUUUUUGUUCUAUGAUAAUCUCAAUCUCCAUUUUAAUCAUGUGCGAGGAAUGGAGUGGUGAUAAACCAACUUAUUUCAUUCCUUAGACCAAAAUAAUGUACGUACACAUGAUGAUGGGGUGAUGGACCACCUCACUCUUUUAAACCAAACACUACAUAAGUGAUGCAUAAAGUCUUUAGCCAGUAUGGUGGAUACUCUACUGAAAUUUACUAUUAAGCUGCACAUAUGGUACCCGCAUUAAUUAUCAAAUUGAUAAAUGAUCUUCAGCAAGAGGCUGGGACAGGUACAAGGCCCAAUGGUACUCCCUUCAUGUCCAUCAAUAUAAGCCAUACUUUUAAAAUAAGGUUUGAUAUUUAGUUUCACUUGCAAUGUUUUGCUAUUUUCUAUAAUAUCGAAAUCAUCUUAAGAUUCUUUGAAUAUUAAUCUUUGAUCGAAAGUUCUUUCUCAAAUCAAAAUACGCCUUGUAGUUCCAUAAAACAAUAGGACAGCUAGCGUGGGCCGAAAUCGGCAGCCCAACAAACGGGUGGUACCCUUCAGCUUUGUUUUUGGGUUGAGUUGGGCCGUUCUUUGAUGUGGACUUAAUUUUUCUUACUGUGUUGUACCGUUAUCAGGGCCGUGCCCUGGUUCAUGAAUUUGCAGACUAAAUAAGGGGUAUCCUCCUCUCUCUCUCUCCAAAAAAAAAGAUAGCCAUCUAUCAUUCUAGCUUAGUAAAAAAAAGUUUAGGGUCUAUUUUGUUGAGCUGUGGCUGUGAAAAAAACUAUUGUGAGCUGUGAUCUACGAAAAAGCUGCUGUGAGAUGGGAGUUGUAAGAAAUAUAAAAGCUGUUUGGUUCAAACAACCGUGAAGCCGUGACUUCUGUACAAAAUAUCUAUAAUGCCCCUAUGUAUGCAAAAUGAUCGUAAAAGUCUGCAUUAUUCACUAAUUCACAUAUAAAUGAUCAUAUUUGAAAGUAUAAUAUAAUUAUUGUUAAGUUUUGCAUCCACCAUUAACAUAUGAUCCACAUAAGUAUAAAGAUAGUAGAACAAAAGAUAUAAAAAGAUAUAUGAUUCAUAUGGCCUCUUUAAUACUUUUUAAUACUUGGGAUUGGGUUGGUUGGAGGCGUCGAUGAUGCUUCAAUGCUUGUGGAGAUCUUCUCUGCUGCAGUUUCUAUCUUCGAACAAGUGUUCUUAUACAGUUUAUAAAAUGAGCUUUGCUCUUCCUUCUCCUCAAUAGCACUAGUGUAGUCUUUGCAUUCCUUUUUCUUGGUUUUGAAUUCUUCAAAGAAGACAACUUCACAUUCUCAUAAUCUAAAUUUUUUUGAAUCUCAGCCACAUCAUCACCACUUGAUUCAUCCGAGAAUAUAUCUCCAGGACAUGAUGCACUAGCACCGCUAACAUGUGUCUUAUCAAACAACAGGUGCAGAUCAUCUAGGUACUUCGGUUCUUAUUUCUUGAAUCUCACAUGUUUGCAUUUGAUGCCUUUGCUAGGAUCAUUGUAUCUCUAAAAAUAAAUGAUAAACUUGGCAAGUUAGAACAUAUAAGGAUGGAAAAAUGAAUGUAAAAAAUAAUGAACUUAAUUGAAAUACUUAUAGUUCAGUCCAUAAUCAUCGGAGCAUUCAACAGUUUGUUUUGUCUCAUUCGAACCGAGCUCACUGGCACAAUACUUGAACUCUAUAAACAAUAUAUAUUCUUUUUUCAUAUUGUCCAACUUGUUCUUCAGUUGUUUAUUUGUCUACUUCAGAGAAGUUUUUUCUUCAUAUUUAGCUCUAAGAUUUUGCCAACCAUCACUAGUGAGAAGACCCAUUGGCCUAUUCGCAGCUACUAUCUCUCCUUAUUAGCCAUUCUUGAAGCAAGGAAAAAAUAUUUUAUUCACAUUGCUCACUAAAAAUAAUUCUCAAUUCCAAAUAAUCUGAACAAUGAUCACACUAUUUUUGAAUGCAUCACUUCUAUAUGCAAAUAAACAGAACUGUAUCCCAAUAAACACCAAAGAGUGGCAGAAGCUUUUCUAGUAAAAUAAUAGGUAAUUGGUCCAUUUUCUCAGUAGCUCUGGAUAGUAUCGUAGUUUUUACUACAUUACUACAUUACUGGUUCAACUACUUUAAUGGACAGGCAAUAGGUUCAAAACCACAAUGUGAAAUUAGAGAGAGACAAUCUAAUUUUUUCAGAUAUGGAGAACUAAUCACAACUAGUAAAACAAAUCCUUUUUCACACAUGGAGAUAACAAUGAAGUAAAGCAAAGAAAAAAAUGGAAGGGAGAAGGAGACCAUACCUGCUGUUGGCGCUGGAAGAGGAGGCGGCGUUCCUGCGCAGGGGGGGGGGUUUGGGAGGAGCUGCGUGGGGGCGUUAAGAGAGGGGCGCUGGUCAGAGGGAGGCAAGGAGGCGAGCGCUGGUCGGAGGGAGAUGGAUUGUCGGGCGCUGGCCGGAGGUGGCGGGUCGCCGGGCGCUGGAGGGAAAUGGGUUGCUAUGCGCAGGAGCAGGGGGCGAGUCGCCGGACGCAGGCGGGAGACGGGUUGCCGAAGCGCCGCAGCUCCGGGGAUGGCGCAAACUCUAGCGUCGCCGCCGCGAGACCUGCCACGCACGUGCAGAGCGGCGCGAGUUUUUUUUCACGAGGAAAAACAACGGGAGAGGAGGGGAGGGGGAGAAAAAAAGAAACGAAACGGUAUGUUCAUAACCGGUGGCAUGGUGGGCAAUUUCGAGCAAAAACUACCCCCACGGUCACAAAAUGCAGGGGGGAGCUGCUGUGAAAAUUGUACCAUGAAAAAUCUGACUUUUUUCAAAGCACCUAGGAGAAAGUUUUCCCUUUGGUUGGUUUUUGGAUUUUUUGAAAAGCAAAAGCAGGUUGGAAGCCCAACAUCAUUUGAUGGUCAAUUAUGGAUUUUAAAAAUAAAAUGACCAAUAUUCAAGAAGCAUUUAUUCUACAAAGAGUUCUUUCUUCUGCCUUAGAAAAUCAUCACUUCUCGCUUCAAGCAAAUCAACCAAAUCAGCAUGAGAAAAGAUAGGUGAAAAGCUCUCAAUUCAAUUCAAACUUGUAUUUAGCUAGAUAGAGUAAUUUAUCAUAAACAAAGAUUAAGAGAUUCUAUGAUUAGCAGAGCUCAUGAACUAAAAUUUAAAAUAUGGUAAUCUAACAAUUUUCCUAGCUAUUUCACACUAUGCGCAAUACAAUAAUAGAUUAGCUGGAGAUGUUAUGAGGCUCAAAUUAUGUUCUAAUCCACAUUAAACAAAUUAGGGUAAAAUCGAGUUUACAACCUUUAACUAUCACAAAAGUCCAAUUUUCAACUUUCAACUAAAAGACCAAAUAAUAGUUGCCAUCCAACAGUUGAAACUGGGCAAAUUUGGCCCCUAGCAGGUUUUAAAGGUGGUUUUUCAUUAUGUGAAGAUUAAAAAAUAUAUUUAAUCUUAAAAAUUAUAAAAAUUAAUUUAAAUUAGAAAAAUACGGAACCAAUAUAAAUAUAUUUCUAAAAAUGAAGCCUAUCUAUUGGUACUCUGCUUGUCAAUUAUUUUGAUCCAAUUUAUUUCUAUUUUAAGUAUUUUUUGUUUAUAGUUAUGCUUUUUAUUUUUGUAAUAAAUAAGAUCCAAACAGAGCUCUACUAGAUAGGUUAAUUUUUAGAAAACUUUUGGUAUCAUUUCGUAUUUUCUAUAACUGGGUUAUUUCAAAAUUUUAAAACAAACUAUAUUUUUUCUAUUUUUAAAUAAAAAACCACCUUUGAGACUAGCCAAGGGGCUUAAUUUGCCUUGUGUCAAUAGUUGGACAAUCGUUGUUAUCCGAUUUCUUGUUGAGGGUUGAAAAUUGAACUAUUGUGCUAGUUUAAGGGUGAAAAUUGAAAUUUUUCCCAACAAAUUAACACACAUGUCCUAUAGCUGCCACUAGUUUAUCAUGAAAAAAUAGGAGUUGCUAACUACUCAACAAUAUAUUUUUUUCAUAUGGUAAAUCUUGACCAUCAAACUUGAUCUAACGACUUCCACCUCUCUUUCUCCUCCUGCAGCAAGUCUUCUCCACCCGACGCACUCUUUGCUUCCAACUAACUUGAUCAUGUUCCUCGCCAUGAGCUCACAUUGUCCCUCUUUCUCUAUUCAUUUCAUUUUGCCACUCCACCCUAACAAUGCCUUAACCACACCCACAUGUGAUUCCCUUAUGCGAAGUACACUACUUUCAAAGCCCUCUACUCUGCCGGCGUUCGUAUGGCCGAUAGUGAGAUUCAUCAUUUUUUAAAUGCUUGAAGCAUAUGAGGUGUGUAAUCAAUACAAUAUUGAUUCAAACAACACUAAUGUAGAGCGACAAACGUGCAGCCCUCAAAUUCAAGUUAGGAAAUAGAAAAACCUACGUGAGGUUGUUAAUCUCAAGAGUCCAAUAGAGGAUCAAACAAAACAACCACCUAGAAAAAUGUCAUCUAACGCUGAGACACAUAUGUUAGUUCUCUUUUUAUUUAAGUGAAUGCUAGAGCUCUUGAUGUAAUUUAGAUGAAAAUGAUAAGUCAUUCUGUUUCGCCACUAUUCCAUCUAAAUCCAGACUCAUAACUCAGUUGAUUAGUGGAAUAUGACUACUCGUAUUUUAUUUGACUAUUUAUUUAGCGACAGAAGAAGUGCACAUCAACAACAAGGUGCUUCCUAUCUCUCAAACGUGCUCAUAGCGUUACAAUAUUAGUACAAAUGUUCAUACGAGGUGAAUUUGUGUGUAUGAUGUGAGCAUCUUCUGAAUUGAAAAAAAGUUAAAAAUGAACUUAUGUUAUAAACACUCUCUGAUUUGUUUUUUGUCCAAUUUACAGAAAGAUAGGAAACAUAAAAGAUGAAAAAGUUCUUCAGCCAAACAACAAAACCCACCCAGAACCCCAUUUUUAAUCGAAAAGAAAAUUUUGUGUGUGUGUGGGGGGGGGAGGGGGAUCAACAACAGCCCACACGACUGAGUAGGAGUUCUUCCAGAUCCAGCCCUUGGCUCGCCGUACACCAAACCAGACCAGAUCUCAACGUGCUCCCUCUCAGAUCCCAAUUCCCAAAUGCCCACGCAGUCGUAGCUACACCCCGACCGGCCGACCCCGCGCGCUCGCUCGGAUCCAUGGGCGGGCUCAGGGCAGCGUCGCCGUCGGGCGCGGGUGCCGAAGCCGACGCGGGGGUGGGAUCGGGCCCCGAGGCGCCACGCCUGGCGAUGGCGUGCGUGCUGGCUUCCGAGGUCGCCACGGUGCUCGCCGUCAUGCGCCGCAACGUCCGCUGGGCGGGCGUCCGCUACGGCGGCGGCGACGGCGGCGCGGGCGACGACGAGCACCUCGACCACCCGCUUGUCGCGGGGCUCAAGGCCCUCCGCCGCCGCGCCGCCGCGUGGGGCCACGGCCGCUGGGCGGGCGUAGAGCCGCUCCUCUACCUCCGCCCCUUCCUUGACGUCGUCCGCUCCGACGAGACCGGGGCGCCCAUCACGGGCGCUGCGCUCUCGUCCCUGCACAAGAUCCUUACCCUCGACCUCGUUGGGCCCGGCGCGCCCGGCGUCGCCGAGGCCAUGGGCGCCGUCGUCGACGCCGUCACGGCCUGCCGCUUCGAGGUCACCGACCCGGCGUCCGAGGAGGCCGUCCUGGCACGAGUCCUGCAGGUGCUGCUCGCCUGCGUGCGCGGCCGCGCGGCGCCGGCGCUGGCCAACCGCCACGUCUGCGCGAUCGUCAGUACCUGCUUCCGCGUCGUGCAGCAGGCUGGGACCAAGGGGGAGCUGCUGCAGCGUGUCUCCCGCCAGACAAUGCAGGAGGUUAUCCGUUCUGUCUUCGCCCGUCUGCAGGACAUUGAUACCACCGUGUUUUCCGACGAGCAGGUAUGAUUCGAGCAUUGUUAUUGUCAUUACUAUGUUUGCUAUGCUCAUGAGCAUGGAAAAUGUUGCAAUACCAUUCCUCCCUCCACCUAACAACUUUACUUACUAUGCUUAUGUGCACUGGUCCUAACUCGGAUGUAUAAACAAGUGAAAUGAUUCUAGGAUUAUUUUAUCUUAAUAGUUUAACUAAUUGUUUUCAUCCUAGCAAUAUUACCACUUUGCACAUACUGAAAGUCUGUCAGACUGACACUAAGAUCCACUCUUGCCUUUGCCAAUCACCUGUAACUGUAAGAUAUGCGUCAUGUUAGUUGGAAACAAGCUUUGUUAGUAGAAACUUGGAAGGCUCAUAUGUUCCUAUACCACAUGAAGUGUAAUAAUGUACUGUUAGCAUUUCCUCCGCAGGCAAGUGGUUGCAAUAACCAAGGUUUGGGUGCUGAGGAGACGGAGAAUGGGAAGAGUGAUUUUGUGUGUUUGAACAGCUCUGGUGAUGAGGUGGGGGAUGGAUCUGGAGUUGUGCAAGACAAAGCCAUGAUGGAGCCAUUGGGAGUUCCUUGUAUGGUGGAGAUAUUGCAAUUCUUGUGCUCCCUCUUGAACAUAGCAGAAGACAUUGAUGUGAACCCAAAGAUGAAUCCAAUUGACUUUGAUGAGGAUGUACCACUCUUUGCUCUGGGGUUGAUUAAUUCAGCUAUUGAGUUGUCGGCUUCCUCUAUACACAGACAUAAAAAGCUGAUGGAUUUUGUACAGGAUGAAUUGUUCCGCAAUCUGAUGCAUUUUGGCUUGUCAAUGAGCCCCUUGAUCCUGUCGACAGUGUGCAGCAUUGUUUUCACUCUCUUUUACCAUCUGCGCCAUGAACUUAAGCUGCAAAUAGAGGCUUUCUUCUCAUGUGUGAUCCUAAGAUUAGCACAGAGUAGAUAUGGUGCAAGUUAUCAGCAGCAAGAAGUUGCCCUGGAGGCUCUAGUGGAUUUUUGCCGGCAAAAAGAGUUUAUGGCUGAGAUGUAUGCGAACAUGGAUUGUGAUUUGCAGUGCUCAAAUAUUUUUGAAGAGCUAGCUAACCUUCUGUCUAAGAGUGCAUUUCCUGUGAACAGUCCUUUGUCGGCCUUAAAUGUGCUUGCUUUGGAUGGUUUGGUUGCUGUCAUUCGGGCAAUGGCCGAGCGGAGUGAUGGUGCACCUCAACAUCAUGAGCAAACAGUGCCAGAAAUAAGUGAAUAUUUUCCUUUCUGGCAGUUGAAGUGUGAGAGCAGUAAUGAUCCUGAUCAGUGGGUUAAAUUUGUUCACCAGCAAAAAAGCAUCAAGAGAAAGCUUAUGGUUGGUGUUGAACAUUUCAAUAGGGAUAAAAAGAAGGGUUUUGAGUACCUGCAAGGUGUUCAUCUUUUGCCCAGAAAACUUGAUCCACACAAUGUUGCUCUAUUCUUCCGGUACACGCCUGGGUUGGACAAGAAUCUUCUUGGGGACUACCUGGGUAAUCACGAUGAGUUCUCUAUUAGGGUUCUUCAUGAAUUUGCUAGAACCUUUGACUUCAAGGAGAUGAAUUUGGAUGCUGCCCUAAGGCUAUUCUUGGAAACUUUCCGGCUGCCUGGUGAGUCGCAGAAAAUACAGAGAAUUCUUGAGGCCUUUUCUGAGCGAUAUUAUGAACAGUCACCCCAAAUGUUUGUCAACAGAGAUGCAGCUCUUGUGCUAUCAUAUUCUGUAAUCAUGCUCAAUACCGAUCAACAUAAUGUGAGGGUUAAGAAGAAAAUGACAGAGGAAGACUUUAUUAGAAACAAUCGCCGCAUAAAUGGAGGAAAUGAUCUUCCAAGGGAGUUCUUGUCGGAGCUUUAUUAUUCUAUUUGCCGUAAUGAAAUCAGAACCAUUCCUGAGCAAGGAGCUGGUUGUUCUGAGAUGUCUUUCAGUCGUUGGGUUGAUCUGAUGUGGAGGUCUAGGAGAACAUCAAUGUAUAUUGCCUGUGAUUCCUACCCUUUUCUUGAUCAUGAAAUGUUCUCUGUCAUGGCUGGACCGACAGUUGCUGCUAUUUCUGUGGUCUUUGACAAUGUUGAGCAUGAGGAAGUUCUUACAGGAUGCAUUGAUGGUUUUCUGUCGGUGGCGAAACUGGCUGCAUUCUAUCAUCAUGAUGAUGUGCUGAAUGAUCUUGUUGUGGCACUGUGCAAGUUCACCACUUUGAUGAGCAGUUCCUACAUUGACGAUCCUUUAACAGCUUUUGGGGAGGAUACCAAGGCUAGAAUGGCAACAGAGGCUGUUUUCACUAUAGCAACUACUUAUGGUGAUCAUGUACGCAGUGGGUGGAGGAACAUAGUAGAUUGCAUUUUAAGAUUGCAUAGGAUAGGCCUUCUUCCUGGUCGCCUCACUGGUGAUACAUCUGAUGAUCAGGAAUCCACUUCAGAUUCGUUGCCCAGCAAGCUUGCUUCUUCAUCUGCUCCUCCUCAAGUUUUGCCCAUUAGCACUCCUCGGAAAAGUUAUGGACUGAUGGGGAGGUUCAGCCAACUACUGUACUUAGAUGCUGAAGAACCAAUGUCCCAGCCAACUGAGGAGCAACUAGCUGCACAGAGGAAUGCUUCAGAGACUGUGAAGAAGUGCCAAAUAGGUACCAUCUUCACUGAGAGCAAAUUCUUGCAAGCUGAUUCGCUGUCAAAUCUGGCAAGAGCCCUCAUUCAGGCAGCAGGCCGACCUCAGAAGAUCACCAGCACACUUGAUGAUGAAGGCGUAUCUGUCUUCUGCUUAGAGCUUCUAAUUACUGUCACAUUAAACAACAGAGACAGGAUUGUUCUUUUGUGGCAGGAUGUUUAUGAGCACAUAACCCAUAUCGUCCAGUCCACAGUGAUGCCCUGCAAUCUAGUAGAGAAGGCUGUUUUUGGUCUCUUGCACAUCUGUCAGAGGUUGCUUCCUUAUAAGGCGAACCUGGUAGAUGAUUUACUAAGGUCAUUGCAGCUGAUUUUGAAACUUGAUGCCCGUGUAGCUGAUGCCUACUGUGAGAACAUUACCUUGGAAGUAACACGUCUUGUCAAGGCGAAUGCGACCCAUAUUAAAUCCCAGAUGGGCUGGAGAACUAUUAUUUCCUUGCUCUGCAUCACUGCGCGCCAUCCUGACGCUUCUGAUGCAGGGUUUGAAGCUCUGGUUUUUAUCAUGUCCGAGGGAGCACAUCUGUCACCUGCCAACUUCAUCCUCUCAGUGGAGGCCUCGAGGCAGUUUGCAGAAUCUCGGCUCGGGUCUGCUGAAAGAUCUAUCCAUGCUUUAAACCUAAUGGCAGAUUCUGUGAACUGCCUUACGCGGUGGUCACGAGAGGUUAGAGAAGCUGGUGGAGACGCAGACAGGAUAUUGGAAGGAAUUGCAGAGAUGUGGCUGCGGCUAGUGCAGGCUCUACGAAAGGUGUGCACGGAUCAAAGGGAAGAAGUGAGGAACCAUGCGUUGUUAUCGUUGCACAGAUGCUUAGUAGUUGAUGGAAUAUUAGUUUCAUCUUCAACAUGGUUGAUGGCAUUUGAUAUUGUUUUCCAGUUGCUUGAUGAAUUGUUGGAGAUUGCUCAGAGUUACUCACCAAAGGAUUUUAGAAACAUGGAAGUGUCUCUCUUGCAUGCUGUAAAACUGUUAUGCAAGGUGUUUUUGCAGUCACUUAAAGACCUCUCAGCGCAGGGCAGUUUUGGUAAGCUGUGGUUGGAAGUCCUUGACAUGAUAGAGAAGUUCAUGAAAGUCAAAGUGAGAGGGAGGAGGACUGAGAAGUUACAAGAGGCUAUCCCAGAGCUACUCAAGAACAUACUGAUGGUGAUGAAAGCGAGUGGGGUCCUGUCAAAGACAAGCACCGGUGAAAACAGUUUGUGGGAAGCAACAUGGCUGCAAGUUAACAAGAUUGCACCCUCACUACAAUCAGAAAUUUUUCCUGAUAAUGAGGUUGAAAGCACAACUGGUGAAGAAAACAAAUUGGAUACUCCAGCGCAAUCUGACCAAAGCGCUGAUCAAUAGGGUAUUACACAUUCUCCCAUACAAUCAAGUUAGUUGAGCUGCAGCUGGAUCUUUCAAGGCAGGAUUACCUUUCAAUUUUUUUGUUCCAAAGUUAUACACAAAUGCAUGGCAGUGCUGUCAGGGGACAUUAGGGAGAGUAAGCUGGUAUAUUGUAAUUUUCUUAGUUAUAUAUAUUAUUUUGUUACUGACAAGGUUGUUGCUUUUGGGCUUUAUUGUUGCAACUCCGAAGUUGUAUGAUAUGUAUAUCGUUGCACUGAUAUGUGUUAACCUUGGGGGAAUCGAUGAUUUUGGCUGUUUAUUAUUAUGAUCACUCUGCACCUUUGUACUGUGAAAGAUUGCUUAUAGCAGUAGAUCUGAGGGUUUUCCGUUGCUAUCAUCUGAUCUUCUAGAACUUUCAAUAUUGACGUGGUUUUUAGCUAUUGCAUACAAGUAAUUAUGCUGGUCUAUAUGAAUCUAUUCACCUGUGAAUGUGAAAAGGCUCGAUAGAGAUGCCCUUGUAUUCCUUUAGAGGCCAGGCAGCAAGAACAAGCAGCUGAGAGCAUGCAAGGCUUCGUUACCCCUACUUUAUUCUUGUUUCAUUUCUAAUCGUACUCAUGUUUAAUAUGCUCAAUAUAGGCAUGCUGCACUGUUGUUGAAAUAUGCAAGCAUGUUAUUAUUUUUUUUGUCCUUACUGAAAUUCUACUUAUUUGCAGAUUGAAAUUUCAGAGUGGUUAGACAGAACAAACAGAUCCAGUUUGCAAACUGAAGGAUAUAUCAGACCUUUUUGGGUUCAAUUUCCAGAAACUGGAAUAGUCUGUAUUGAAUUUGUAGAAAGUUUUGCAGAUCGGAAAUGUGGUUUUUAUUUAUUUAAGAUACGAAAAUUCAUCCUUUCGUAAGUGAAUUAGAAGUACUUUGUUUUGGUUCCUCAUGGUUCUGCAGAUUCAAGCUUGUUUACAUUCUUCGGAAUAUUAGAAUCCUGCCUUGACCCUGGAACAUGAAAAGAGAAAUGUGCAUGAUCUAAUUGCAAAGCUUUCUUUAGAUGUUCACCUAAAGGUAACAUCUGGCACAGUUUCAUGUAAACCUGCAGAUAUGUGCAUGACACAGCAAACUCCUUUCCUCAAAAAACGAAGAGGAACUAAAGUAGUUCUCUUAAAAAAAGAGAGGAACUACUAUGCUAAAUCAUUCUGGAUUGCUUAUUUGUUGCGGUCUGCUGAUAUGUGUUAUGAAUGCAUUCUUAGCACUCGGAAGAAACAAGAACUUGAAUGAGAUGUUGGUUUCGACAACAUUAUGCCUACAGUUUUUACUAUUGAUCCUAGAAAUACAUCUGCUGGUAAAGUUUUUAUUAGUUCAGUAUUUGAAGGGUGAAAGUUGUUCUUUGGUUCACUGUGGUUCAGUUGUGGGCGCAAUUUUCCGUGUCUAUGAAUUGAAUGACUAAUUACCUAUUUGUUGCAAUCUGAUUCAUGUGAAUCCUUAGGAAACAUAGAGCUUCUUAUCUCGAAGUAGCUUUGUUAAGCCAUAUAAGCUGGCAAAAUCAGAAACUUUUGUUGGCCAAGGAUGCAUCAAGGUACGUAUGUUACACAGACGUGCAAUUGAAUUUGACAUUCAACACACAUUCAAUCAUGCCUGCUUUCCUGUCAGGACACUGGAAGAUGCACAUACCUCUUUAUUCAGAAAAGUUAUUCAGUGAUGACUUAGCUGACAGUGAUGCUAAUUUUUCUGUUGGGCUCGCAUGUCAUGCGCCCAGAGAUUCUGACAAUGAAGUAUCAGAACCUGUGGUUAAAAAUUCAUUUUCUCAACCAGAUCCUUGCACCGUUAUAAUGAUAUUCCAUUUCACGUGCUAAUGUACAUAGUUACAUUACAAUUAUGAAACUGCUAUCAUAUAGUGACUAGCGCAUUAAGUUCAGCCUGACUGUAAUGUACAUCCAUGCAAUGCUACAAGCUUGCCUUGCUUUCUUGAUUGCCGUUUUAAUUCUUUGUAAGUUGGCUUGUUACUAAUAUUUCUGUAAAUCUAGUUUCAUGGACAGACACCAGUCAGUUUAUAGUUGCAUCUAUAUUAUACUGUGCCCAUGCACCAAUAUAUUAGUUGCUCCCUCAACAGAGACUACAACCGUGUUCGUAACUGCAUACUCUCUCUGGUUUGAAGCAGCUGGCUGUGAUGGAUGGGUAAUCAUCUGCACAUUUAGCGUUUGUGCUCUUCAGGUGCAAGCGACUGGUGCAUGCAUUGACCCUUUGGUUGGGUCACACGCUCUGUGUAGGUGAGCUCCCACUCCCUAGUCCCUAUGUAGGCAUUCACCUGGAUUUUGUUUGCAUGUUCUGGUUCCACUCCAUGUUAGCCCUGUUUUGUUUGCAGGUGCAGGGUCUGUCUUAUUGGUACCAGGACAGCAGAGCUCCUUUUCUGGAGGAAUUGCAUGCUGGGCAGUAUAGAAGCCUGUGAUGCCUCCCAUUUGUGAUUUAUGGGCGUGUUCCCAGUUCCCAGAACACGAUGAUUGAUGAAGUAAGCAAGCAUCUAUACAUCUCGAGAGUUGGCGGCGAUUGUAUCUCAGAAGGCAACACCGAAGAGCCUUACAAGUACAACGCUGGCAGAUUGAAAACCCAGCUGGGGAUGCAUUCUAGGUCAGCGACUUUAGUUUUCUUCCCACCCAGAACAAGUGAAACUUGCACCCCGGCUCCCAGCAGACAAUGAUGCGACGGAAGUGGAGAGGGUGUGGUCAAAAUCAGCAUACCGUCUAUGCAGUCUGGUUCUGGUGUGUCUUGGAGUGGAGCACGGCAUGCCCUGUCCUGCUUGGGAAUAACUUGGGAUGCGACGCUCAAUUUAGUGGCAGUUCAAUUCGUAAUUUCAGAAUCCACUUAUAUGUUUGUAUAUAAAAAGUGCGUGGUGAACCCAUGAACCUAUGCCCGUGCAGUAAAAUUAAGCGCAUGUGCUUGAGCUGCUAGCUCAAAAUUGGUGCUGUGCUUACACUAACUUCAACUCCGUAUUGCCUUGAAGGCAGAUGCUCUUGGUUGUUUCCUUGCAUUCCUUCCAGGAGUCCCUGAAGCCAUUUGACUUGCAGUAUGCGAUAGGGUCGUACCGCGGUUCUUGUACUAAGAUAAGCUGGGCUGCAACGAAGUGCAUGGUGAGAAAGGAUUCAAGGAGGCCAUGGCAUGUGACGUUUGCGUAAUCACGAGGCUAUUGCCUCGUCAUUGGAUUGACUUUGGGUACGCACUGCACGGUUGCGCCCAGCCACCCUCCCACCUUUACGUUGACUGGCGCGCGCGCGGCAGGCCGGCCGGCCACAUCUUUUGGCUGCGUCUGCAGCCGGGUCCCCGUGCCCCGUGCCCCGGCCUCGCGGUCGCGUGCGGCCGGGUGACUUGGGGGGCGUUUCGCUUGCGGGCGCGCGCACGCACGGCGGCACGGGCCGCACGCUUGCUGCGUUACGCCAGCCGCCGCCGCCGCGCCGCGCCUGCGGACAACGGUGAUCCUCCUCCGCGCCGCGACGCUAGCUACCAGGCUGCACGCGACAUCAUAAGCGGAACAGUUUCUUGCCACGGUGUAGGAUCGUGUGGGGAUCGUUUUAGCAGGACCCGAUUUGCAAGUCACCUGGAACAUUUCCAAUCCAAGAAUUUGAAGAGGCUGAAGAAAUGGUACUACAUGCAAUUAUUUUGCUGUAUACAUACUGUAGCCACCAUUAUUGCAUUGCGCAUUCUUUUAUUUUGGCCGGUAAACCACUGCGCAUUCUUUUUUUUUUCAAGACAAAAACACCACUGCGCAUUCUUAGUGGCCACUAGCUUAAGAUGGUCAGGGUCAGAUGUACAAGACGUCGACGAGAAGCCUGGCGCGCAGUCUUGUUUUCCGCGUCCGCAUGACAUGCAGUUUCACGGCGUCCCCUCGGUUCACACGACGUCUCCGUAAGUUCGUUGCACGUAACUACCGCCAUGGUUUGUGUGGCCAGCACAACCGUAAAGGAACAAUAAUACGGCUAUGGUGGUUGCUUCCCAUGACCCAAAGGUCGGGUGGAUAACGUCCAGGUCGUGGCAUCGACCUGCCGGCCGUCCGGUUUUCACUUGCUUCUGUCCGAUUUUUCCCUUUUCCUAGGCUUCGCAAGAAUGGGGUAUAUCAGAGAAGUGUCGAAUUCAGAUGCAACAAUACAAAUUUGUCCCUUUUUCCGAGAGAAACAACACUGCUAAGUAUACAAUCGUACUUCCUUUAUUAGAUAAUAAUAAAGAAACGCUCCGGACUCAGCACCGCAAGAUGCAUGUAGCCCUGAGAUAGAUUCCUGCUCUGCCAAUCAUCGGCAGACCGUCAUGGGUGUACGGUCCGAGCGUACUACACGUCCGUAGCAAGCCACAUAACCGCCACGAUCUGAUCGCAUUUUGUAGCGGCGGGGUCGCGAGCCGCGCACUCCAUUUCGCCCGGUGGCCAUGUGACCUUGCACCUCCCACACGGCACGUCCCCGUCUUGCUCGACGAGGCCGCCGGCGACUGACGAUCUUGAUGCUGAUUCGCCCAGCCCCCGGCUUUCGCCCCCUCCGCCUAUAAAUGCACCGGCGAUGUCGUCCAUCUCCGAUCCAUCAACCGAACGCAGGCACAACAUACGAGCACUGCUAAUCCCUGAGCUGGUAAUACGAUCGAGCUGAGAUGAUGCCAGCCGCCGUGAUCGUCUCCUCAUCCAAGGUGGCUGCUGCGGCACUCGCCGUCGCGCUGUUCGCCGUGCUUGCCUCGUACGCCGAGGCCGCGAAGCCCGGCGGCGGCUGGCUCCCCGCCAAGGCCACCUGGUACGGCGCGCCCAACGGUGCCGGCCCCGACGACAACGGUAUGCACGAGCAAAGCGUGCCCGGCCGCGCACCUGUCGUUUUUCCGCCGUCCCAAUGUCAAUGUGCGAGUGUCUGACGUGUCCUGUCUGCAGGCGGCGCGUGCGGGUUCAAGCACACCAACCAGUACCCCUACAUGUCCAUGACGUCGUGCGGGAACGAGCCCCUGUUCAAGGACGGCAAGGGCUGCGGCGCGUGCUACCAGGUACUACUGUGUGUAGAUAGGUCAAAGCACCGGGUGCGGCAGGCACGUCUUCUCACGCCCUGAUGUCCGAUUUUGAACCCCAGAUACGGUGCCUGAACAGCACCCACGACGCGUGCUCCGGCCGGGCGAAGCGCGUGAUCAUAACGGACAUGAACUACUACCCGGUGUCCAAGUACCACUUCGACCUCAGCGGCACAGCGUUCGGCGCCAUGGCCAAGACGGGGCUCAACGACAAGCUCCGGCACGCCGGCAUCCUGGACAUCCAGUUCCGGCGGGUGCCCUGCAACUACAAGGGCCUGACCGUCAACUUCCGCGUCCAGGUGGGGUCCAACCCCAACUACUUCGCCGUGCUGGUGCAGUACGCCGGCAAGGACGGCGCCGUGGUGCAGGUCGACCUCAUGGAGACCGACGGCGCCACGGGGCGGCCGACGGGGGCGUGGACGCCGAUGCGCGUGUCGUGGGGCGCCGUGUGGCGGCUGGACACCAGCCGCCCGCUGCGGGCGCCCUUCUCGCUGCGCAUCCGCAGCGACUCCGGCAAGACGCUGGUGGCCGACAACGUCAUCCCGGCGGACUGGAAGCCCAUGACCGACUACCCAUCCUCCGUCCAGUUCCCCUGAAACCGCAGCCGCAUGGUGCAAGCGAAUUAAUCGUCCCUGAUUGAAGCAUUGUUGUUCGUCAGAUACCCCGAUCCAUUGUUUAGUGUUGUCAUCGUAUAGUACGUACGUGUCUUGGGAGAUUUGGAGGAGGCAACGUGAUCUCCCCGCCCACGAUCGCAACUUUGAAAUAUACCAUGCUGUGUGUGUGUAAUGUAAUAGACAUACCAUAUACUACUGUACGUGUCAAGUUGGGAGUUCAAGAAAAAUAUUGUCAAGUUGGCAAACGCGCGUGCACACAUGAUGAUCCUCUCCUUCGCACGUGCAAUCAGCAUUCGUACGGUCGUACCCGUUACCGACUUCUUACUGGUCCACAUGCGCCGCCGGCCGUUCUCCUCCGCCGCCGCCGCCGGUCCGGCGGCGGGCGGCUCAUGGCGCCCGCUUCCCCUUCGUUAAAUAAAAGUUGCCGCUCGGCCGCCGGCCCGUACUGCGCUGCGCUUCCGGCGGCCUCCCCGGCCUGGCCUCGCGUCUCGUUUGCUCCGUGGGCCGUGGCGUCGUGCGGUGCGGGCGGCAUGGGCUACUUGCGCAUGAACGGGCGGCACAGCUGCGAACGCUGCACCUGCACGCGAGCAAUGCCGCGGCUACCGGGCGUCCGGGCUACGGGCGGCGGCACCCUCUGCUUGCGAUGUUACCAGCAGGUUGCACGCAUCACAAGCAGAGCAAUUGUGGCCGUAAUCAAAAGCGUAACGACGUAUCCAACAAUGACAAGUCUGCUAGCUACAAGAAAUCUACAUUAUACUUUUGCUUAGUACAUGGUUACGUGACAAAUUAGAGAGAUGAAAGCUACAUAGCUCCUCUCGUGUGGUUCUCUCUGUGUUACGGCGUUCUUUUCUUCUGUGUUUCCGCGUUCAUCGAUUGCAGACCGUUACAGUGAUUUUCUGAAAAAAAGUAAAGAAUGCUGGCUGACUUUAUCAAUUUGCAGGCCGCCAGCAUUUUUAUCAGUUCCAUGAUGCAACGCUGAAAUCAUCAAACUUGACAAGAUUCAGAUCUUUGGGUCUAUAGUGGACAAUAGUUGAUUGCGUGUAAAGUUCAUUGUGGCCCGAUUAAUUUAAGUGCAUUUAAAGGCAAAAAGAAAAUUUACAAACUUGAACGGUUCUUUUUUUUUUUGGUGAACCGAAAUGGAGAUUCACUAACUCAAAGAAAGGGUUACAGUCAGUCAUCACGCGCUAGGCGUGUUACAAAGUCAGGGGGAUGUGUCAGCCAUACAGCGGUCGACAUCUCUCUGAAAGCACUAAUAUUUUGUUUUAUUUUUGAAAAGCUUGCGGGAGCACCGCAGUGUCAUUUAAGAAGGAGAGAAGCAAAGUUCCGAGUUUUUACAGACUUGAUUUACAUAAAUAAAAAGAUCUCAAGCACUCUAGAAAGUAGAUUAAACAUUAAACAACGAUAACUCAGGUCUUCCGCAGGCCAAAGUCCUGCAAUGCGCCUCGGCUUUGCUCUCCUGGAAAACCUCCACAGGUGACAAGAUCUUGUUGUCAAAAACACGCUUGUUUCUCGCCUUCCAAAUAUUCCACGCACAAUAUAUCAUCAGAGCUGCCUUGAGUCGACAUUUUUUCUUAGGUAGAUUAGCUAAACCUUUCUCCCACCAAUUCAUCACUUCUAGUCCUUGUCCUGGUGCCUGAACCAACUGCUGCGUCCAGUUCUCCAUCUUGUCCCAUACUUGUCUAGCAAAAGUGCAGUGAAGUAUCAAAUGUGCAGUUGUCUCGGGUUCUUGAUUGCACAGGGGGCAGAUUGGGUUGCAGGGCCAGUGUCUAGCUAUCAUCUUGUCUGCAGUGAGUAUCUUACACUGAAUCAAGAGCCAUGCAAAGAAUUUGUGCUUCCCUUCUGCCUCUGCCUGCCAAAUAUGUUCUCCUCGGAACAAUCUGUAAGAGCCAAGAAACUGUGCAUUGUAAGCUGAUUUCGCUGUGUAAACCCCAUCUGUCGUCCAUCGCCAACAGAUACUAUCUUGCUCAUCAUUCAGUUGUACUUCUUGCACCAAAUCCCAAAGUUCCACAAAGCUGGACAUCUCACUAACUGAUUGCAUUCUCCAUAAUCCUCUAGUUCAAUUCUGAUUUUGAAGUUCCUCCUUCACCAUUUGUUUUUCCUCCAUGCCAACCUGAACAGCUCUGGAAAACGAUCCAUAGGUGCCUGCCCAUUCAUCCAAGUUGAUUGCCAGAAACUAGCCUUCUCACCAUUGCCAAGCGUGACCACCGUACUUGAAACAACUGCCUGUCAAUUGCAUCAACCGGUGGUUCAGUCCCUACCCAAUGGCGUUCUGGAGUUGUCCAUUGGUACCAAAGCCAUCGUAACCGCAGAGCCCUACUAAACAAAUCAAGAUCAAGGAUACCCAGUCCUCCAAACUUUUUUGGUCUCAUAGUUUUACCCCACUUCACUAGACAGUGUCCACCAUUUACCUCUGCCACACCUUUCCAGAGGAAACUUCUUCUGAGCUUAUCCAUUUUUUUCGCUGCCCAUUUUGGCAACUUGAAAACUUUCAAGAAAUAAGUAGGUAGAGAGGAAAGCACCGAGUUAACUAAUCGUAACCUCCCAGCCUUAUUCAGCAACCUUCCUUUCCAUGCAGCCAAUUUCCCCCCCAUCUUAUCUAUCAAAGGCUGUAUAUCGACCCUUCUGAUUGCCCUUGCAUGUAGUGGUAACCCCAAAUAUUUGCAAGGGAAGGAGCCAACAGGGCACUGAAACGCCUCCAUUAUAUGCUGCAGAUCAAGCCCCUCACAGCGUAUAGGAUAAACUGCACUUUUUUCAGUGUUGGUGACUAAGCCAGAAGCUCUUCCAAAAGCUGCCAAAAUGUUCUUUGCCACUUGCACUUCUCCCCCCACCGGAUUUAGAAAAAUUGCAGCAGCAUCUGCAAACAAACUUAUUCUAAUUUUUGCAUGUCUAUUGCAAAUAGGUGUCAGCAUGCCUUGCUCAGUAGCUUUGUUCAACAUCAGAUGCAUUGGUUCCAUGGCUAAAAUAAAAGGUAUAGGAGAUAAAGGAUCUCCUUGUCGCAGGCCCAACUUGUGUUUGAACCAUUUCCCUCUCACCCCAUUAAGAAGCACUGUUGAUGAUGAUUUCCCCAACAGAAUUGGCACCUAUGCUCUCCACCUAGCCCCAUAACCCAUCUGCUGCAACACCUCUUGUAAGUAGUCCCACCUGACAGUGUCGAACGCCUUUGCAAUGUCUUAGUUUAAGAAACAAAGUUGGCUUCCCUGCUCUGUGUAACUCCCUUAUCAGGUUUUGCGUGUACAAGAAGUUGUCGUGGAUACUCCUUUUUUUUAAUGAAGGCACUCUGUGCUCUAGACACCAAGCUGUCCAACUCAGCAGACAGUCUGCCAGCUAAAAUUUUAGAAAUUAGCUUUGUGAUGCUGUGAGAUAAGAUAAUGGGUCUAUAGUCUCCAACCAUGCUGGCAUCAUCGUUCUUUGGUAGAAGAACAAUAUGAGCAGUGUCUAGCAAAUUGAAAUGCUGGUCAUGUCUGGCAUAGUAGUUGAUAGCAGCUAGCACAUCUCCUUUAAUAGUUUCCCAACACGUUUUGUAGAACAGACCAAUGAAACCGUCCGGGCCAGGAGCCUUUUCUGAGGCCAAUUCUUGCACAACUGCCCUAACCUCCUCCUCUGUAAAUUCUUCCUCAAGUUGCUGCAGCUCUCUGCUAGGUAGUUGGAUCACAUCCCAAUCCACUGAAACUUCUCUAUUCUGCUGCAUCCCCAAUCUGUUACUAAAGUGCUGAAAAACGCAGUUUUCUUUUUUAUCAUGCGUGUGCAUAAUUCCUUCUGCCGUCUGAAGAUGUUUGAUGAAUUUUUUUCGUCGUCUUCCAUUUGCUUGCAAAUAAAACAGCUUACUGUUUGCCUUACUUGCUCUGAUGCUGACCAAACGUGAUUGUUGCCUUGCCCGAAGCUUUUCCACUGCUGCCAUCCCCAGAAACCGUGCUUUCAGAUCUCUUCGCAACUGAAUUUCAACUGUGUUCAACUGCCUGUGCUCCUGCACAACAUCUAAGAUGACAAUUAACUGUCUUGCUGCGCAGAACAGAAGUUUGUUGUUUCCCAGAGACUUUUUUGCCCAUUGCCGUAAUGCCUUUGCAGUUCUGGAAAAUUUGAUAUGCAGCCUUAGAAAGGGGUUGAAGACAUUGACUUCCUGCCCCCAAGCUUGCUGUACGACAUCAUGAUAUCCUGGAACUUUCGACCAGAAGGAUUCAAACCGAAAUCCCCUAUAAUUGCACACAACUGAUGCCCCCACUAGCAGUAAGGGACUGUGAUCAGACACUGUUGACGAAAGAGCAUGUAGCAUAGAGGCUGGUAACAUGAGAUCCCACUCAAUUGUGCAAAAAGCACGGUCAAUUCUGGUUUGCGUAGUGUCAUUGGACCAAGUGUACUUCCUUCCUUUGAGUCCUAGUUCCUUGAGCUCCAAAAAAUUGACAGUGUUUCUGAAUUCUCCCAUCAGACGCCGGUUCAGGUUAUCAUUACUCUUAUCCUCUGCCUGCAGGAUUAGGUUAAAGUCUCCAAUUGCUAGCCAUUUGUCCCCCACAACUGUCUUCACAUCUCGUAAUUCCCUUAGGAAAUCAAUCUUGUCCCGAUCUCCUUGUGGUCCAUAGACCGCAGUUAGCCACCAUACUGACUCACACUGCGAUGAAGCAACACACACCGUUACCGAAUGUUGUCGGUGUUCAGAAUGCACGAUGGUAAAGUAAUCCUCGUCGACUGCAAUUACUGCUCCUCCACGAGUGCCCUGAGCGGGUAGAAAGGCAAACUGCUUGCUGAACCGAACCCCCAGCGUUUCACUGAUGUCCGCUGCCUGAAUCACCUCCAUCUUUGUCUCUUGCAGUGCUGCUAUUGUACAUAUGUAGUCUUGGGCUAGAUCUUUCACCACCUUCCUUCUUGCCUUAUUGAGUUAUUGUUCAAACAUCUCACGUUCCAGUUUAGCAACAAACACUUCUGCUCACUCAUUGGGAAACCAAAAGAACACACACCAACAGCACCUCUCCAGCAUGGAAGAAGGCGCCAAAAGGGAGACUCUCCCCAAAACACAAAAACAAACACCACACCAGGUACAGGCCAUGUCCACCACGAACAUGGAAACACAAACACACACACACACACACACACACACACACACACACACACACACACACACACACACACACACACACACACAACGCGGGCCUCACCCGCUUAAGCAUCAGCAUGAAUUCCGAUGGCACUGAGGCUGUCAGUGCCCUCCACAAUCUGUAGCCCGAACAUGUCCCUGUAGUUUGUUGCAGAGUCAUCCUGCAUGGGCGCGACGAACUGGGUUCUGAACUUUUCCUCCUUUGCUGGUUCCAUCACCUCUUUUUCCUCCAACAGUCCGCAUUUCUUCAUAAGCAGUGCCGUUGCUUGCUGCUCCAUGGACAAGGCAGACUUGGGUUUGUUUGCUAGACGAGUGCUCCUUCUAUCUUUCUGCACGCUCGACUCCACCUCUUUGGCUUUCGUCGCCGGUGUCUGAAGAAGACUCUUCGCAAUUCUCUUCGUGUACAGCAAAUGUUCCUCCCCCCAAUAGCAUCAGCAACUUCCUCCGGCUGCUCCUGGGGAGCUACCGGCCCAUCGCUCACUGCUACUUGAUCCGGCCCAUCAUUGUGCGCAUUGGGAGGGAAAAGUUCCCUCGGCCCAGUAAGAUCGCGCACCACCGGCCCACUGGCUACGGACAGGCUCACAGACCCAUCCAACCAUUCAGCCACCUCAGCUCCGACCACAACGUGCCCUGCGCUGUUGUGAUCCACUUGCUCCCCAAGGGCUGCCCCCUCUGGCCCUCUGUGGGCCCUUGCUUUUGAAAAACUUCUGUUGACCCUUGUUGAGGAAGCAUCGGUCUCCCAUCUGCCUCGUCUCUCAUCGGGUCUCCCAUCUGCCUCGUCUCUGCAAGCACUAUGCAUGUGCCAAAUAAUGCAUGUACAACUCUAUUCUGAUCUCUAUUACAAUGUCUAAUCUCCACCUCACGAACUUGAACGAUUUGAAAACUGUCGAAAAAUUAAUUGUACUAAGUCAUAUGGAAUAAAGCAUCGACCUCGUUCACAAGAAUUUUAGAGGAUUUCUAACAUGAGAUUUCUCCCAUCUCACAUAACAAUUACAUGUGUCUAUCUCGAAUACCCGUGUUUUGUAUGAUUUCCAUCCAAACGGGUUGCUCUAUUUUUUUUAUCCAUAAUUCUGUUCAUUGCAUCUGCAUACCUACCAAAAUCCUGCGAUUUUUUCUACUAGGUAAAUAUGUCCGUGCGUUGCUACAGAAUGAGACUGUAUAAAUAUCAUGGAGUGGAUCAUGUAGUUAAUUUGUAGAGCUCUACAUGACCAAGUCGUGGAUAUAUGGCUGGUCUGAGUCAUAUACGGAUCAAGGUCCAUAUUAAUGAUAGAAGUUGAAUCAAACCAAAAAUUAAGAUAAAAACAUUACAUACUUUAAAAAUAGAUAAAAAUUACUAUGUUUUUGCCACUCCCAUGCUCCAAGGAGUCUCUAAUAGGUUAAUAGCAACCAAGGCCAGUAUCUAACACAGCAUAAAAAAAAGUCAGCUCAGAGUUGUGCCUCGCAUGAUCUAAGGCUAGUUCAUAUAGGCUUUUCAAUCACAUUUGCAGCAGCUGUACGUCGUUGUAACUACCGUAUCACAUUUCUUAAAUGGACAACCAUACGCGAACGGGCAUAUGUACCCGUAGACUAUUCCAAUAUAUAUGUUUAUUAUUAGGUCGGUAAACUUGGUACGUGGUGGCACAUCUUCUCUGUUAGUUCGUUGCACGCAUGUCGGACGGACACACCGAAUAACACGGCACCACGUCGAGUGCGAGGAUGAGCGCAAGACUAUCGGCAUGCUGAAUUUCUCAUCCCUUCUGCCGAGAGCUACUCACUCGCCUGCGGCCUGCCUAUAAAUUCCUCGGCCAUGUCGUCUCCUCCGACAAAAUCGAGCCAAAAGCAGAGGAGAUCAAGCUGGGAUCCAUGGCCGCUGUGAUGAUCUCCUUCAAGGCUAUUGCACUGGUGGCAGCACUCCUCCUCCCCGUUCUGGGCGCUCACGCCGAGCCGAGCUACAAUAACGUCACCUCCGCCCGCAGGGAGCUGUACUACUCCGCCGGCUCCACCCCCAGCAGCACCUGGCGGCCUGCCAGGGCCACCUGGUACGGUCGCCCCAACGGCGCCGGCCCUGACAACAACGGUAUGUGCCGGAGCUAAUGCUGCCUUGUUGUGCGUCUGAGACUGUCCUGGCGGUCGCGAUGCUGAUCGAUCGAUACGAUCUGCAGGUGGCGGGUGUGGGUACAGCAACACCAACCAGUACCCGUUCAACUCCAUGACGUCGUGCGGCAACCAGCCCCUGUUCUUGGACGGCAAGGGCUGCGGCGCAUGCUACCAGGUACGAGCAUGAGCAUGAGCAUUCUAAGCAAUGUCACAAUGCAUGAUAAUAUGCAUCGAUCUUCUUCACGUACGUUCUGAACUUCUGAUUGCUCUGCCUAUAUGCUUCAGAUAAGGUGCACCAGCAAGAACAACCCUGCCUGCUCCGGCGAGCCCAAGACGGUGAUCAUCACCGACGUGAACUACGACACCAAGGUCGCCCCCUACCACUUCGACCUCAGCGGCACGGCGUUCGGAGCCAUGGCCAGGCCCGGCUACAACGACAAGCUCCGCAGCGCCGGCAUCCUGGACAUCCAGUUCCGGCGGGUGCCCUGCAGCUACAGGGGCCUGCCGGUGAGGUUCCACGUGAUGGGCGGCUGCAACCCCUUCUACUUCGCGGUCAUCGUGUACUACGCCGGCAGCGACGGCGCCGUGGUGCAGGUGGAGCUGAAGGAGGCCAACUCCAACACGUGGCGGCCGCUCUACGAGUCCUGGGGCGCCGUCUGGAGGAUCGACCCCGGCCACCCGCUCAAGGCGCCCCUCUCGCUGCGCGUCCGCAGCGACUCCGGCAAGGUCCUCGUCGCUAACAACGUCAUCCCGGUCAACUGGAGGGGCAACGCCGACUACCGCACCAUUGCCCAGUUCCGCUGAACGCUCGCCGGCGGCAAUAGAUCACUCACAAUCAUCUGCUCGGCCGGUUCAUUACUUUUUGUAUCGUCGUCGAUCAAUCAUGUGAUUGCGAAUUUGCAGUGGAUUUUUCUUUACUGUCUUUGCGAGGUUUCUUGUGAGAUUAUUGUUGCUCCUACUUGCGAUUUGGAGAAUUAUUCUAGGUAAGUCUUGAGAAAAUUCUUUGUGCACCAUUGAAACCUAUAACAAUCCCUUCAUUGACAUCCAAAAUUAGAGGAUCCCUUCAUUGCCAUUAAUUCUAAUUUUCAUUCCCUUAUCUGUCAUUACCAUUACUUUUAGCACAAAUCACACCGUCACACCGUUAAAAUGUGAAUAAUUUUUUUCGUUAUCCCGAUUUUACCCCUCCAAUCUUUCUCUUUCCCCGAAUCACUCCAUUCCAAACCUAGCUCGAGCUGCUCGCGGACGUCGGAACUGGAGGCGCGCGCGAAUCCGGCGAGCAGGCGAGCGCGGCCCCGGUCGAGCAGGCACGCGCGGCCCCGGACGAGCAGCAGGCGUGCGCGGCCCGAGGCGGCGGCCAAGCAGGCGCGCGGCCGUGGACCCAUGCGCGCGGGCCCCGAGCGGUGCCUGAGUGGGCGAGCAGGCGCACGCGUGGCUCGGAAGAGCACCCGCCGUGCCCGCCCCUACCUAUUUUGCAGCGCCCCCGUGGCAGGCACCCCUCCCCUGUCAGCGCUAUUGCAUGUCCGGCUCCAGCUCGGUCCGUUCUUGCCUGCUCCCUAUGCGUGCAGCAGGAGAUGAGGGAUUAGAAAAAUGCUCCAAGGUUAGUAUUGUCUUUUGACCUUCCACUUAACAGCAGCUUGACUGCUCUCUAACGGUAACGGCAGAUAAGGGAAUGGAAAUUAGAAUUGAUGGCAAUAAAAAGAAUCCCUAAUUUUAGAUGGCAACAAAGGGUUUGUUAUAGGUUUCAAUGGCACAUUUCUAAUUUUCUCAUAAGUCUUUGCCUUACCAAUGUUUGACUUCUUAAUCAGUUGUUUUAGAUUAUUUUAGUAGAUGCAAAUAUGAAGCUGUAACUUGCACUUCACUGUCGCUUUUCCGAGCACUGCUGCGUGCUUAAACUGCAGUAUAUAUAGCUCCCUCAUGUUGCUCAACGUGGAAAAGCACAAAGGUUGACUAUGCCAAGUUCUCUGUUUUUCAAAUCAAUUUACAUUCAACGACAAAAUUGUAAAUUAAAGUAGAAUGAUUCAGUACAUAUUGGUCGAACUAAACUGUAAGUCUGUAAUGGUAAAGACUAAUCAAAUAUAAAAUGUAUGACCUGCCUUUAAACUAGUUCACCCGUGUUUUGUUUAGAUUCACGAGCUCCUAAAAUGCAAAUUGAGCCCAUAAAUUAUUUAGGUCAAUCAUUAGAGGACAAAAGGCCACGACCUAGUCCAGCUUCCUACUAGUUGAACCACGACAUCAGAUCAUAGGUGGGCUUGGCUUGUUGUGGGCUCAACACAUAUAUGCAAAUCCACCAACUUUUCCUUACUGGGUCCAAACUACAAAUUGCCGACCGCAAUCGGGUGCCAAAAUUCCCGCACAAACCCAUGUAGGAUCCAACGUGGCAGUCAUCCACCUAUGCGGCUGACUCGGGUGGGGUCCAUGUGGACAAUGACUCACUCAAUUACUAUAAAUUUUUUUUCCUAUGUAAGACUUUGGAAUAAGGGAUUGAAUUCUACCAAUUCAUUUGAAAUUCCUAUGAAAUACGCUCUUCCAUGGAUAAUUUGGAGAAAAAUAACCAUGAGGUCCAACCUCAUACUUUUUUCUUUUGUAUCUUAGGAUUCAUGUGUUAUUCCUGUGUAGCAUCCAAAUAUAUAUUUUGCAACUUUCCUAUGUUCUAGAUUCUUGUAGCAUUUCUGACGGGGUCAUGGGUAACAAGUACCCUAAAGAGCAGCCCUCAGGGGCCUAAGCGGAGAUUAGUAAGGUGCCGUCGGGUGGCCCAACCCGGUGGAGUGCUGAAUGCAACCGGUACAGGCCCAACAAUGAAAAAAAGACCCCCGGCCAAGAAGUAGCCGGGCGAAGGCCACGUGGCGCCUUCCUGACCCCUCGCCCCGCGGCGUGGCCGGGAGGGAUGAGCCGGCCUCGACAGGGAGCCUCCGGGGCAGGGACACCUGGGGAAGGCGCGGCGGGGACUUAACUCCCUAAGAUAUGAUGGGACAUGUGCGUAUCCCUCCCACAACAGCCGGGUCAGGGGCGCCGCCCACGAUCCGGAAGACCGAGGAGCGCCCCCGGUCAGCCAGACCAUCAUGAUGUCGUGAUCGGCGCUUACUCUAACCACGCACUGUUUUUCUAGAUAUGAACGAGGGAAAUGUAGCAGUGAAAGUUUUUAAUGAGCACAACUAGUUCUUAUUAUACACAUAGUGUAGCCUAGUCGCACAUUCCUAUUAAUAAAGAAUGAUCGUGAAGAACAUUGCAUGUAUUUUUUUUACAGAAAUGUGCUUUUACCUUUAAAUUUCAUAGGUAAUGAAAUGUUUUGUUUCAUUUUGGGGUGACAACAUGAAAGGGAGGAGGCCCAUGCCCCCUAUGGUAGACGCAGUCCAUAGGUGUGCACAAAUUUUACCAUAUAAAUUAAAUAUUAGUCUCCUCAAUAAUUUACACCUUUUAGAUGUUUAGUGGCUUCAGUUUCAUUAGCAUAACCUUUUAUUUCGGCGAUCUACCUCAAAAGUUUUCGGUAGAUUUUUUUGUGAUGUGAUGUGAUGUGACCUAAUCAUUAAGACCUUACCAAUAUAAUUCCUAAUAUAAUUAAAAAAUAUAAGUGUUGAAGAAUAGGAAAAUACUAAUCAUGCAUGAAACACUACAACCAAUGUAUUGUGUCAAAAUCAGCCGAAUUGCUAUAACACUAGUACAGAACACGGUAUUAGUUCCGGUUGGGAAUUGAACUCAAGACCUGCUGCCUCGUGUAUAGUUUCCUUAACACCCUAUCUACACAGUACAUGUGACUCUAGAUGGGAUGCUUUCAUUUUAAAUUGACCCGUGAAGAACCCUUUAGUCUCAUUUGGUAACCCCAACUGGGACUAAAGAGUCCUUUAGUUUCGGUUGGAGCCUCCAACCGGAACUAAAAGGUGACUCUUUAGUCCUGGUCGGUGUUACCAACCGGUACUAACUUUUAAUCCCGGUUGGUGUCACCAUCCGAGACUAAAGAGGGACUAUCAAGGAUAGAUCCCCAGUUACCCGCAAGGAAGCUAUCCGCAAUGAAAACGAAGUCGGACUCCUACUGGGAUUCCUCUGUGAUCCUAAUAGGACCCUACCCUGUAACUCUACUAGGACUCCUACCUUAUAACCGACUAGUAACCCACCUCUGGGAUAUAAGGAGGGCAGGGAUACCUAGAUCGGUAGAGCAGCCAAUAUGCAAUUCAAUACCCAAGCACAGGGUGCAAUAUACAAUACCCCUAAACAGGAUGUAGGACAUUGCGCUACUCUGGCGGACUGAAUGUGUGUCUUGUAUGCUCACUUUUACCUUCAAGUUUCAGAUUCGGCGAUCCCUCACCAAACAAUCUCCUACAUUAGGGAAUCUCUAGGUAGGCUGGUGGUAAAAAUACCAGCAGUUGACGCUCACCGUGGGGCAGAUCGUAGAGAUGAUCGCACAAGCCUGAGGGACCUCUUCAUCAAGAUUAUCCACUCCACGCAGGAUCAAUUCAUCGAGUUUGAGAUCGAAUCUUUGAGCGAACAACUACAUCAACCUCGACUACUCAGCUCGAAUCCAGCUCGCGCCGCACAAUUGACACACCAGCGACUGCUUCAACUACUCAUCUCGACUAGAAACUAGUCGAGGAUGGGCCUCACACCGUCGACAACAAGUCGGGGACAAAUUCUGACUAGUUGGCUUCAUCAACAACCGCCAUGGCUUCAUCGACAAUCAUCCACGAAUCAAGCUAAGUCACUUAUACCUUUUCCGACUUGUUCUUCACAGGACCGGCUACUAUUUUGGGUACGUCUCUCGACUGGAAUUACCCUCGGGGGCUACACCAUGAUGGAGUACUUCUAAGGUUUGUUGACUAACAACCCACACGCUUGGUAAAUUGAGUUCAUAGGGUGCCGCCCACAUGCUUGGUACACCAAGUUUUGUCAGCUCGCAGCGGUUACACCCUACGGACAUGCGCGCCGCAACACGCGCUCUCGCUGACUACUUUAUGCCAACGAGCAUUCUCUUUGUCGCAAUGCCGAUUUCUUAUUUUUGCAUUCGUUGUCUUCCCUUAACAGUCGCUAAUCUACUCGGGUAGCACAUGCCUUAAUCGUGAAAUCUCGGCUCUUCUAUCACACCUAACGCCUCUAUGCGUACACGGGAUAAAGAUCUUAUACACGCUAUGAGCAACAGCUAAAACGAGACCAGGUGCUUAAACAUAACAGGUGGACUACUCGGGAGAUUUACAUGGCCUAAACAAGAGCAUGGCACAACAAAUUUAUUUUUAUACUGAAUAAAUUUCUGUAUAUUUGCAUUAUGCUACAUAAUGUAUGCAUUGUCUUUUUUCAGAUUGAGCUACGGCAACAACUCUAAAGUUCACUCGGCACAUCUACGAUGGCUUCACUAGCUACCAGGCUCGGGGGCUGGGCACCAAUAACUAGUCGUGGUUUCUACGGCUCGCCUAGCUCGUAAGCUUGGGGGCUGGACGCUGCAAAACCACUCGGAUGAUGACUCAUGUGAAGACUGAAGGCGAAAAAGGUAACCCUAGGUACUGCAUGGUUAAAUAACCAGUGGCGGCCUAAGGGUCCUUUGGGAUAAGAUCUAAUUUAAGUGGUAUUUUAACCAUCAAUUCAUAUUCUACAAAAUUCUACAACGUGCAUGCCACGUUCUUUUGGAUCUUUUUUCCAAAUUUGGGAUAUGGAUUCAAGGAUCGGGGGCUACAGGAUACGUGUCAUCAGCGACUUGUUUUUCAAAUCUAUUUGGAAGACAAAUGAAAGAAGAUUCAAGACUAAUUGAACACUCAACCUGAUUCCUCGAUUCAACCUAAAGCUCGGGGGCUACUUCAUCGCACCCCAUAGAGAAGAUAAUUUUUGAAGACUUAAAAUAUACUUGGGCAAGAGCACCUCGCAACCUCAAAAUAGACAGGAAAGUACACGAGAAGAUACAUUCUAGACGAAGUUCAGAAGAACUCGAAGAUAACUUUAGAAGUACUUGGAAGCCUGCACUACUCGGCUACGAAGAGCUCGGGGCCUUGUCAAGGAUAAAUCCCCAGGUACUCGCAAGAAAGCUACCCGCAGGGAUCAUGCUACAACUACUUUGACUUUGCGAGGACGCUCGGUGACCCACCAAUGACUACUUCAGCUACUCGUCUCGACUAUAAAACUCUGGAGGGAUACCUCCAAGGUGGUAGAAUGUAGGUGGGGUAUCGCUGAGAUCAGGAGCUCCAAGCCCACCGAGGGAUACCACCGAGCUGUCGGUGUUUAACCUCCAAGCCCACCGAGGGAUAACCCUGGUAGAUUGUAGGUGGGGUAUCACUGAGAUCAAGAACUCCAAGGUGCAAGGAACAUGAAACUUUAGACAGGUUCUGGCUGCAGUAUGCGUAAUACCCUACGUCCUGUUUGAUGGUUUGUAUUGCCUUAGAUGUGGAUUGUUGGUUGAUGCUUUGGAGAGGGUCCCUGCCCGCCUUUAUAUAGUCUGGGGGACAGGGUUACAUGGAAAUUUUAGCCCAAUACUAUCUUAAGAGUCCUAUCCGAGUACUAUUCGAGUAGUUUCCUUCUGUUUCGACUAGUUCUACUCUUGUACGAGUAGAUACAAUUGGUGUAGGGUGCGGGCAAUGUCACAUCCCUUAUCCUAGAAUAUGUACGCCAUGUACACCGUCCCGUGGCCCCGAGUAGGACAAGCCCCCGAGCAAUUCAUAGUCAAGUACUGUAGGCUUCCGAGUAUUUCUAAAGGCAUCUUCGAGUUCUCCCGAACUCCGUCUUGAAGGUGUUUUUCGAGUAGUUCCUUGACUGCAUCGAGUCUGUGAGGUGCUCAUGCCCCGAGUCAUUCCUGAGCCUUAGGUUGAAUCAAAAGAUUAGGCUGAGGGUCAAAGUAGUCUUGAAUCUUCUACUCUUAUCUUUCAAAAAUUUAAAAAAUAAGCCGUCGAUGACACAUGCCCUAGAUAUGAAAAAAAGGACAAAGAGUCAUGCAGCCCCGGAACGUUGAAUCCAAAUCCCAAGAUAUGGAAAAAAGGACAAAGAGUCGUGGCAUGCAUUGUGUAAAAAAUUAAGAAUUUGAUUUGAUGGUUAAAAUAGGCAAAUUGGUUCAGAAAUUGGAAAAACCUCUUUUUUUGGAAUGAGAUCCCUAAAAAAUGGUUAAACAAAUAACUUCCCCAAAGUAACCCUAAAUUACCGCUCAAAACAAAUCUUAUCCUGAGAAAAUCUCUUCAGCUUCCGCAUAGUGAUACGCCGAGUUGUUUCCUGCGCCCAGCCCCGAGUAUGGGAGCCAGACGAGCUGUCAAAAAUAUGCUGAGUGCCCUGUUGCGCCCAGCCCCGAGCACAUGGGCUAGACGAGCUGCCAAAGGUACGUCGAGUGCCUUGUCGUGCCCAACCCCCGACCAUGGGAUCUAGAUGAGCCACUGAAGGUACGCCGAGUAGUGUAGGUACCGGCUGAGUCAGAGGAGAUAUGCCACAUGGUCGGUGGCGCUAGCCCCUGAGCCUAGGGGUCGGCCGAGUCGCCGCUAGCACGCCGAGUGGUCUGUGCCGAUGAAGUGAUGUCCAAGUAAGGCAGCUCUCGGGAGCAUACCUCACCGAGCAGCAUGAUCCACGUCCGAUCCCCUACAAGGUAAACAUAAAAAUAUAUUGUAACUUAUAUACAAGAUAUUUAGUCAGGAGCGUAUCCCGGCAUUGUAAAAUGCAUGUAAAAUUUUUCGCGUCUUGCUCUUCCUAGAUCACAUAAUUUCUCCGAGUAGGUAGCCUACAUAGCCGUAGCCCAUAGCGCAGGGAGCAUGGCCGCAUGCACGCGUAGGAACAUAGGCGUAAAGAAGAGUUGAGGUCUCACGGAUUAAAGCGUGUGCUACCCGGGUAUUUUAGUGACCAUUAAGAGAAACCUAGAGCAGUCGGCGCUGCGCGAAAAAAGAGAACACUCGUGGAGCGCAUAAUAUACACUCGUUAGGUGUAGUCCCGACUACAAGGCCGAAGUUGCAUGAGUAAUCGGGAACGCAAUUAUGGUGUGGCCGUGGAGGCGUAUGGUUAAUAUCUAGAGAUAUAAAAAAUAUUAAAGCAUGACUUAGCUUGAUUCGUGGGCGAUUUGUCGAUGAAGAUGUAGCGCUCGUUGAUGGAGCCGCGAUGGUUUGUUGAUGAAGCCUGACUAGUCAGAGUCGAUUCUGACUAGUUAUUGACAGUGUGAGGCCCGCUCCCGACUAGUUUUGAAGUCGAGACGAGUAGUCGAAGAAGUCGUCGGUGGGUCAGUGAGCGUCUUCGCGAAGUCGAAGUAGUUGUAGCAUGAUCCUUGCUUGUAGCUUCCAUGUAGUAGUCGGAGCAAUCGUCUCCGAUCUUGAGCAGGCGAUUCAAGUCCUCUUCCAAUGCGGAGAGGGUCUCAAAUCCCAUGGCCUUCUGGUAAACAGUGGCCGUGUUGCAUAGCUCGAACGGUAAUCAGGUACGUAGAUCCUUAGACCGAAUCAGAUCCGAUCUGAGGAGACCUGGUGCGGCACAAGUUGAAAUCGCAUUGAAAACAGACUCCUUCUCGAUCUCCUUGGCGAGAUCAGGGAGCAGCGUCUCGUCGAGGUUAUCAAUGAACUCGUCAAGACUGCUAUGUUGGCUUGCCACAGAUGCCUCCGGCUUUAGUCAUCGAUGAGGCGCCGGCGAAAGCUCCACGAGCCGAAGAUGAAAGUUUUGCCCUCGUCGAGCAUCGCUGGUGAAGUUGAAAGAUGGCAUCGAGUUCAUCGGUGGAUACUCGAUGAACACCCCUACCUAGCACACCAGCUAUCGAUGUUUAACCUCCAAGCCCACCGAGGGAUAACCGAGGUGGUAGACUGUAAGUGGGGUGUCGCCGAGACCAGAAACUCGAAGGUGCAAGGAACACGAAAGUUUAGACAGGUUUGGGCUGCAGUAUGCGUAAUACUCUACAUCCUGUGUGGUGAUUUGUAUUGCCUUAGAUGUGGAUUGUUGGUUGAUGCUUUGGAGGAGUUACUACCCGCCCUUAUAUAGUCUGGGGGGACAGGGUUACAUGAAAAUCCUAACCCGAUACUAGCUUAAGAGUCCUACCCGAGUACUACUCGGGUAGUUUUCUUCUGCUCCGACUAGUCUUUCUCUGGUACGAGUAGUUACAAUUGGUGUAGGGUGUGGGCCAUGUCCCAUCCCUUAUUCUAGAAUAUGUACGCCAUGUUUGCAGCCCCAUGGUUCCGGGUCUGACAGGGACUUUUAGUCCCCGUUGGUGGCUCCAACCGGGACUAAAGGUCCCCCGCCCCUAGCCGUUGGAUCCGGGACUAAUGCUUUCAUCAAUUCCAGGACCAACCCCAGCCGGGGCUAAAGAGGUGGAUGAAAGGUCUAAGGUGGUCAACCAACGCAUCUUUAUCAAGCCUUUCUACUCUCCCAAUCCUAGCUUUUUUUUAUGGUUCAAUCAACAAUUAUUUAAGUGAUGCAACAUUUUUUCACUAUGAUAGGUUCAUUCCAACAAAUUUCUUUUCUUCACUGUUUAUCUUACCAACUCACAACAUUUUCUUACUCAACAUUUCUGUUGUCUAGUCUCAACUGUUCAUGGUUCAGCACAACCUCUUCUUUUUUUAUAAAAAGUUAAUUCCAAGUAUUUUCCAUUUUCAACAAAUUUUCAGACUCAAUAUUUUUGUUCUGCUUUAUCUUCAACAUUUUACUAGCAACAUUAUUUGAGUGAUGCAACAUAUAUUUUUCACUAUAGAUUAUAGAAGGUUCAUUCCAACUAUUUUCCUUUCUUCAACAUUUUUUCUUGCCAUCUCGCAAUAUUUCUUUACUUAAAAUUUAUAUUGUUCGGUCCCAACUUUUUGGUUCAGCCAAACUUUUUCUUUCUAAUAAAUAGUUCAUUCCAAGUAUUUUCCAUUUUCAACAAUUUGGCUUAUUGAACUUGCUAACUUUAUAUUCUUUUAUUCUACAUACUAAAGUAUUCGUUUAUUAAAUAUUUUAUUAUUUAUUUGCCAUUCAACCAACAAUCUUUUUAGCCAUGCCACACUUCUUCAACAAUUUUCUUACCACGCUGACCUAACAUUCUUCUCUGUACAUUAUAUGUUUCUUCGAGAUAUUCUUACUCAACAGUUUUUACUUGUCCAGUCCCAUCCUUUUCUUUUAUCAUUCGGAUAACAGUUCUUUUACUGAUGCAACAUUUUCUCCCAUACAAAAUGUUGAUUCGGUAUGUUCCCCCUUUUUCCUACAUUAUGUUGUCCAUCAUUAUUUUUGAAAUUCUAGUUCAGCAUUUUAAGCUAAGUUUUCAUUUGUAAAUAUACUAAGUUUAGUUAACCAAUAAAAUACUAGGGAAAUUCAAGUCAGAUAUGGAAAUAUAUAACAACUUAUAUAUUGAUCCAUGCUUUACAUAGAUGGCAAGUUAUUACACAUUUAUUCAUUAUUUUGCUAUUUUCAGGAAUAUGGAAGGUCCUUGACCAUCCGAAAAGAAAAUAAUGGGCUCAUUCCAAAAAAUUGGAUGACUUUUUAAUGAAUAAAAUUAACCUCUUGAUCUGUCAUAACUGUCCAUUUGCAUCUUCGUACUAUUACCAGCACAACUCUAAUAAUGGAUGGCAUGUAGUGACAAAAUUGAUAUGGGGAGUAUAUGAUGUGAUGAGAAGAAUUUGUUGAUGUAAUAUUGCAACAUGUUCAUUUAGCACUUUUUUGCAUCAACAAAUAAAUAAGACUUGCUUUUACAAUGGAAAAUAUGGCAUUUUGGCUACUGGCUUUGAGCACCCCAGCAUAAAUUGCUAAUUCUCGAUUGCAAACAAUUGAUGAGCCCACCAGGCAACAUAGAAAAAGGAAUCUGGCUGUCAAAGAAGAAUAAGUUAAAGAGUUCGGCAGCCUGCAGACUCAUUCACGAGAAGCCUAAAAGAAACAUAAAGGGCCCAACAAAAGAAGCCUGAGUGGGAAGGAAAGAAACGAGCCCACGAAAAAAAAGAAGCCUGCGACGGAUGAAUUUAAAAAGCCCGCACCAACUCGCAUUCGUCCCAAAAUAAAUACAACUCUCGCUUUCCGAGAAGUCAAACAACUCUUGUCUUUUUCGGAUGGAGGAAGUAGUAGUUUUGAUGCAAUGGAAGAGGUCGACCACUAGACAAUAGGAAGCCUCAAAUCAGCUAUGCCAAGGUUUAAAUGGAAAGAUACAAUGAAAUUUAUCGAUUUUAAUAAUUAAAUUUAGGGAGUUGCUGCCUAUCAUCCUAAUGAUUUCAUAUCUAGUUAUUAAUCACUUUUUUAUCCAAUAGAAUCUAGACACAUCAUCAAUAAAACAAAUAUGGAAAAGUGAUUGAUAACCACUAAUAUCACUCAAAAACACAAGGUAGGACACCAAUGGAAAACCAAGUGAUAAAAAAAGGAAAUUACUAAGAUUUCCUCAAACACGAGAAACAGAAAAUAGAGAACCACAUCUCCCAUGUUAUCCUGCCUGCACUCCGAACAACCCUUCUCCACACUCCACGAGCGAGUACACAACUAGGCGCUUGGCAGUGAAGAAGCUAUGAAAGGCAAUCGUUGGGAAACACCCUGCCAAAGGCAAAGUAAAGAUUGAACAAAAAUGCAAGGCUGGCAGAAUUAGAAGAAUAUCGAGCAGAAAAAAAGGUACUCACCUAUGAAAAACUUGAUCUCUUUGUAAUGAAUUUUCUUAAGAAACAUAUCUGAGCAAAAGGAGAUAUCCAGAUUUUCCACUUCAUCCAGCGUACAUCUCUGUGUUUUUGAUAUGCAAGCACUAAGAACUCUGAAAAUGAAAACUAACUAAAAAUGAAUUGGCAUACAGGGCUAGAACUAUCAUAUAGUAGUAGUGGCUUGUUUCUUGAAACAAAAAUUUCAAAAUAGAAAAUUAGAAUUGAAAUAUACAUUGGUUAACUGAACCAAUUUUGUGUUGAUCUAUUAACGGUCUGGUUCUUGAGUUGGCAGUCCAUGAUUUGUUAGUGACGAAACACACAUGAGAAAAAAUAAAAAGGAUGAGAAUAGUACGCUCACGUAUAUAUUGAUGGAAAAAAAUAAAAGUUUCAGUUUUAAAUUAAUCCGAAGAUAAAUCAUGACCAUGACGAAAAUUGCGUAAAGAAAACGAACAUAUGUAAACUUGCUGAUCAAGUGAUUUAAGAUAAAACAUUGCAGCAGUAAGAUCAACCCUAACCAGAUCAUACUAGGUAUGAAAGACAUAGUUAGGGACAGAAAACCGUACGUCUCUAGACGCACCGGAAUAACCGGGUAAAGAAGACGACGGCGACGAUCAGCACCUCCGCGCGCUUGACGACGCCGAGUCGCGCCCCACUAACGAGGAGGAAGACAAGCCGUGGCGACAAGGAUGUAGAGGAUGGUGAUGUGGAAGCGUUCGAGCAGUCACGCAGAGCGCUUCCCAAAAAUCUUAUUCGCCCUCUCCCGGUGCAGGAUCGCUGAGGACGAGGUUCCGGAGACCUGCUCUCCCGAUCGCCGGUGCACGCCGACGAACGGGAUGAAGUAGCGUACGCGGCGGCGCAGCAGGCAGGUCGAGGCGUGUUGUGCGUCUUCUGUUGUGUUCUGUUUCUAGCCGGCACCCGUGCGUAUUUAUAGAAAGGAACCGCUAGGGUUUUUAGCAUCCCAAAAACCAAGUCGAUUACGAGUCCCAAAAAUUCCGCGUGUGUAAUCCGUAAUAGAUUCAAAGUGGCAAAACAAAUCUGCAAAAGGAAGCCGCGUUCCCGCAACAAUUGGACCGGAUUUUGGUGGACCAUUCACGCGCACGUUGCGUGCGCGCGCCCUUCGCCUGGCGAGGCGAGGCGAGCGAGCGCGCGCGUGUGUUCUUCCUUCUUCCUCUCACCCACACUUGUAAGAGCAUGGAGUGCAUCCAACUAUUUAAGUUGGAUUUUCUCCACCUCCACUAGCAAGGUGGGACUAACUUGUUGCCAUGCACCUUUACACUAAUGGGCCUUUGAGAUUUUAUUGGAAUUAUUUGAAUUUAUAUGGUGAGCCUUUAGGGCCCAAAUAUUCCAAUAAUCCCCCACCAGAUCUCAAAGUCUCAUCAUGACUUUGCCUCAACCCACUGUUGUUUGAUAUACCAUUAUUUCAAUGGAGACUGUUAAGUUGAACUUCCAUCUAGAACAGCAAGUUACACUCAUUCACAACUUGAACAAUGGACUAAGCCUUGAAUUGCAAGUUUUGUACGUGUGAGUUUCACUUACAGUCAAACUGAUACUUGACCUCCAGUAGGCGACUUCGCGGUUGGAGCAUAUAGGUCAUACUCUCUUAUCUCUUCAUGAGCUUAAUAGAGAUCAUCUGAAUCUCACAGACUGCGACCGUCCAACAGUCGGGCUCGUAUAGGUGUAUUCUUUCAAGAACAUUCUGCAAGAUAACGUCUUUGCUAAUUAAAGCUAACAGAAUACAUUAAGGCCAAUGCCAACCUGCCAUGUAGUAAUCGAGAGUAUUGCAUCAUUCUCGAGUGAGUUAAAAGGUUACUCUCAUGCUAACCUCUAGCUUGUUCUUCCCUAAUCCUAAUUCACAGGAUCUCCGAUCAUAUAGGUUGGGUUACCACUAGGGAAUAGCUUAUACGGGUCUCAAACCCAUCUCCUUAGAUGCAUUGACUAUCACAUUGCGUGACAGCCCCUUGGUGAACGGAUCAGCCAGAUUUUUCUCAGUGUGGACAUAACCCACAGUAAUAACUCCGGAGUUUCUCAUUUUUCUGACUGAUUUUAACCAUCUCUUGAUAUGUCUUGAAGACUUUAUAUUAUCUUUUGAACUGUCUACCUUGACAAUCACCGUUUGAUUGUCACAGUCCAUCAAGAGCUCACGAAGCCAAUCGGCUUCCACUGUAGCUGUAUCUAGUGCUGUUAGUUCUGCCUCCAUAGUAGACCUCGUCAGGAUAUCUGUUUGCAUGAUCUCUAUGAAAUAGCAGCACCGCCAAGAGUGAAAAUGAAUCCACUAGUGGCAUACAACUCAUCUAGAUCCGAUAUCCAAUUAGCAUCACUGUAUCCUUCUAGUACUGCAGGAAAGCCGGAAUAAUGAAUCCCGUAUUCUAUAGUACCCACCAAGUAGCGCAUUAUGCGCUCAAGCGCACGCCAAUGAUCAUCUCCCAGAUUACUAGUAAACCGGCUCAACUUGUUUACAGCAAAAGAGAUGUCAGGCCUUAUUGCACUCGCAAGAUACAUGAGUGAGCCAAUCAUCUAUGAAUGUCUCAAUUGGUCUCUGCCAAUUCUUCUGUUCUUUCAAAGGAUCAAGCUCGGAUCAUAAGGAGUUGGAGUAGAUUUUCUAUCCUUAUAGCCAAAGCGAUUCAACAUUUUCUCCAUAUAAUGGGAUUGCCAAAGAGUAAUCCUAUUCUCUUCCUUGGUCAGCUUGAUGUUAAGAAUAACAUCAGCCUCACCAAGAUCUUUCAUCUCAAAGUUUUAACACAAGAAUGUCUUGACCUCAUUGAUUACAUCAAGACUAGUGCCAAAGAUCAGUAUGUCAUCGACAUACAAACACAAUAUAACUCCUUGGCCCUCACCAUAGCGGUAAUACACACAUCGAUCAGCCUUAUUGACACUAAAGCAUGCUGAUAUGAGUGUCAAGUUGAAUUUCUCAUGCCAUUGCUUAGGUGCUUGCUUCAGGCCAUACAAAGAUUUAUACAACUUGCACACCUUGUCCUCAUGACCCUCUACUACAAACCCAUCAGGCUAUGUCAUGUAGAUUUCAUCUUCCAGCUCUCCGUUGAGGAAAGAUGUCUUAGCAUCCAUCAGGCAGCCAGGGAGAGUAGAACACGAAUAGUGGUCAAUCUCGCAACAGGUGAGUAAGUAUCAAGGAAAUCUUCGCCUUCUUUCUAGGUGUAACCCUUAGCCACAAGAUGAGCCUUGCACUUAUCAAUAGUACCAUCAGGCUUAAGCUUCUUCUUGAACACCCACUUGCAACUCACAAGUUUGCAACCAUAUGGUCUUUCGACCAGCUCUCAAGUUCCAUUGGAGAGAAUGAAGUCCAUCUCGCUACGGACAGCUUCUUUCCAAUCAUCCGCAUCAGGAGAUGAGAAUGCCUCAGUGAUUAUUUUGGGAGAAUCAUCUAUGAGAUAAACAGUGAAAUCAUCAAGAAAAGACUUUGCAGUCUUUUGCCUUUUGCUCCUCCUAGGAGCAUCACUGUGAAUCUCCUCAUGAUUUGAUUCAAGUGUGUAUUCAUCAUGCUCAGAAAAUUUAACAGAUUCAGGAGUUGUAUUCAUUGUUUCAUUCAGAGGUAAUAAAGAUAUAACAUGCAAGUCUUUCAUAGGAAAAAUAUUCUUAAAAAAAGUAGCAUCACGAGACUCGAAUAGUGAAUUUACAUGCAUAUCAGGCACCUCAGAUUUAACUACUAGAAAUCUAUAAGCAAUGUUAAGAUGUGCAUAACCCAAAAAGAUACAAUCCACAGUUUUAGAUCCCAACUUGUGCUUCUUGUUGAUUGGCAUAUUCACCUUGGCCAAAUAACCCCAUGUGCGCAAGUAAGAGAGUGAAGGUCUUCUCCCAAUCCACUCCUCGUAAGGAGUCUUUUCCUUAUUCUUUAUGGGAACUUUAUUCAGGAUAUGACAUGCAGCCAAUACUGUCUCCCCACACCAUGCCUUAGAUAAUCCAGCGGUGUUUAAUAUGGCGUUAACCAAGUCAGACAAUGUGCGAUUCUUCCUUUCAGCAAUCCUGUUUGAUUGGUGUGAAUAGGGAGGCGUCCUUUCAUGAAUAAUGCCGUGUUCCGCACAGAAUAAGUCAAAAUCGUUAGAGAAAUAUUCACCUACUCGAUCGGACCUAAGUCGUCUGAUCUUUUUCUCAAGUUGGGUUUCUACUUCAGCCUUAUAGAUUUUAAAGCAGUUAAGAGUCUCAUCUUUCGUUUUCAACAAGUACAUAUAGUAAAAUCUAGUUGCAUCGUCAAUCAAGGUCAUGAAAUAUCUUUUUCCACUUUCUGUUAACACGCCAUUUAUCUCAUAGAUAUCUGAAUGGACGAGUUCUAGAGGUGCCAAAUGUCUCUCCUCUGCCACCUUGUGAGGUUUUCGAGGUUGCUUAGAUUGCACACAACUAUAACACUUAGAACCUUUGAGUAUAGAAAAAUUUGGAAUUAAACUCAUGGUGGAAAGUCGAAACAUAGAGCCAAAAUUCAGAUGACAUAAACGCGAGUGUCAAACAGAUGCAUCGCUCUCAUUUAUACCAUCAGAAAUUAAGUUCGCGGACUUAUUACAAUAAUCUGUAACUGAAAAAUGGAACAAGCCUCCGCACUCAUAGACUUUACCGAUAAAUUGUCCACACUUAGACACGGCAAAUUUAUUGAACUCAAUCACUACUUUAAACCAUCCCUACACAAAAGGGAGCCACUAACUAGAUUCUUGCCGAUAGUAGGGACAUGCUGCACGUUUUUCAGCUGCACGAUCUUUCCCAAGUAAGCUUCAGAUCGACCGUGCCAACACCACGAACAGUAGCAUGCAACCCAUUGCACAUAAUCAUGGUAGAAUCCCGAGCAGUCUGGUAAGAAGAAAAUAAGGUAGCAUCAGAACGCACAUGAACAUUUGCACCAGUAUCAAGCCACCAACUAAUACAUUGAAAUACUGAAAAAAUGAAGGUAAAGAAUUAUACCCACUGAUUUUUACUCCAGCCAUGGUGACCGUGUUCGCAGUCUUCUGCUCAGGUGAAGGCUUUCUUUCUUUGCGGUGUGGACCCUUCUUUGCCCAAUGAUCGGUAGAUCCACACACAAAACAGCCUUUACCUUCCUUGAAUUUCUUUUUCUUGAAAGUAGUGGUAGGCUGCCACUUGGUCUUCUUUCCCUUGUCCCUGCCUUUGCCGUGAGACUUUUGCACCAUGUUGGCACUAGUCUGGCCUUCAGCAGCCUUAGAUCGCCCAUCCUUGGCCCAAGCUUUUACCUCAACAUCAAGGGAUGCUAUUAGAUCAGACACUGAUAUCUCCAUCCUUUUAUGUUUGAGAGUAGUGGCGAAAUCCCUCCAUGAAGGAGGCAAUUUGGCAAUGAUGCCACCAGCGACAAACUUGUCGGGUAGGUUGAUCUUGAGGUGCUUAAGCUCCUUGGCCAUGCACUGUAUCUCAUGAGCCUGCUCGACUACAGAUUUUCUAUCGGUCAUCUUGUAGUCAUGGUACUGCUCCAUGAUGUACAACUCAGCGCCAGCAUCUGUGCCGUCAUAGUCAGCCUCCAGGGCGUCCCAUAACUUUUUAGCAUCUGUGUGAUGGAGGUACACAUCCUGUAGAUGAUCUACGAGUGUACCGAUCACAGCGCCCACAAAAAGUGUGUUGGCCUCAGUAAAAGCCUUCUCCUGCUCAGGAGUAAGAGGCCCCUCAGGUUUGCCCUUGGACACCCACAGCACGUUCAUGGCAGAGAGCCACAGAAUCACUCUCGUUUGCCAUCUCUUAAAGUGCUCGCCAGAGAACUUCUCGGGGCUCAGAGCAUCAACAAAUUCAGCCAUGAAACUGAAAUUCCUAUAAUAAGAUUUUUGGAUUGAUGGAAAAAAAUAAGAGUUUCAGUUUUAAAUUAAUCCGAAGAUAAAUCAUGACCAUGAUGAAAAUUGCGUACAGAAAAUGAACAUAUGUAAACAUGCUGAUCAAGUGAUUUAAGAUAAAAUAUUGCAACAGCAAGAUCAACCCUAACCAGAUCAUACUAGGUAUGAAAGAUAUAGCUAGGGACAGAAAACCGUACGUCUCUGGGCUCACCGGAAUAACCGGGUAAAGAAGACGACGGUGACGAUCAGCACCUCCGCGCGCUUGAUGACGCCAAGUCACGCCCCACUAACGAGGAGGAAGACGAGCCGUGGCGAUGAGGACGUAGAGGACGGCGAUGUGGAAGCGUUCGAGCAGUCGCGCAAAGCGCUUCCCAAAAACCUUAUUCGCACUUUCCUGGUACAGGAUCGCUGAGGAUGAGGUUCCGGAGACCUGCUCUCCCGAUCACCAGUGCACACAGACGAACGGGAUGAAGUAGCGUACAUGGCGGUGCAGCAGGCAGGUCGAGGCGUGUUGUGCGUGCGGCGGAGACGGGCGGUGUGGGGAGGGUGGCGAUCUAGACGGGAGGUCGUCUUGCGGAGCCUCCGCCGCCGGCGUUCCUCCGCCUCCCCUCGCCGCCUCCCACGCUCCUACAAAUCUUACGCAUCGGGUGGCGAAGCAGCUGGAGGACUUGGUGCCUGGGUCUUCGCAACCCGACGUCGGCGGCGGGGCGGGGGUACGGCGACGAAGAAGAAAGGUUGCAUGGGCCGCCGAUAGAGACGAAGCCGCGCGACGCGUCGAGAAGCUGGCCGAGGGACGGCCCGUGCUUGCGCCUUUUCACCCUAGAUGCCGGAUCCGACGACAGAGAGAAUUUUAGGUGACGUGGCCCAAUGAAAUCGCCCGGUUUGAGCCUAGGAUUCGUGUUUUGAGAAGAUUACAUGCAUUCUGCGGAGAAAGAAGAGAGAACCAAGAGGUAUGGGCCAACAAGUUGGGCCAGCUUAGCAUUAUAUGGAUCGAAUGAGAGAGAGAGGCCCACUAGACCAACCAAAAUCGCCAAUCACGGCGUUUGCACCGCGCGCGUGGGGAUCCCGCGCCAAAACGCUGGGCCAAGGCAAGGAACAAGACUGGAAGUUGCGUCUUCGGCCAUGAGCAGGGCGUGAUGGCGUGAAGCACCAGAAAUAUUUAGAAAGCAAAGCUAUUAAUAACUAAGCACAAGACCAGCAGCGAAAUGGUACGUGCUGUGUUUUGGACGCUUCCCGCAGAUGCAUGAUUGUUUGCUAUGAGAAUAUGAGAUCAAGUGCGUGCGCUGCUAACCACAUGCCGAAGUAGGAGCACUAUGUUGUCUCUAAUUCACCGGUGAGCACAAACUCCAUCUUGCAUAUUGCUGAAGCUAGCACAAGUGUGAUGUAUGCUUGGAGUUUGCAGCCUACUGUAGCUUACAGGAGUAAAUUUUAACCAAAUGUGAUAGCUUAAUUGAUCAAUACAAUUUGUUCUUCUAUGAAAAGCAAGAAAAAACCUGGUUCUUGUAUAUUAUCGUUAUCAUAUUAUAAUUGAAAAAGUUCAAUUUACUCCCUUCAAGUAUAGCCAAAGUAUGAAUAAACCCUUAAACUAUAACUUGGUUUAAUUUACCUCCUAAACUAUACUAUUUAGUUCAUUUUAUCCUAUAAUACAAUUUGCCUUUUUUUCUCCAUACACAAGUUGAGUUCUAAUUUUAAAUUUUGCAGGGUAGUAGUGGCCAUCACAAUGCACUUAAAAGAAUGUUAUAAUUUUUUCAUCGUUAUUUUUCAUAUAAUUUUGAACUCCAAUGAUUAAUUUAUUAUUAAAUAGCCUACCUAUCAAAAAAAUUAUGACGUAUUUUUUCUAACAUGUGUUAUGAUGUGUACUAUCAUCUUGUAAAGUUUUUACUUAAAAUUGCAUCUAUGCAUGGAGAAAUGAAAAAGACAAAGGGCGUGAUUGGUUACCUGGUUAUAGCCCAACCAGGUUCGCGCGAUGCGGGCUCCCGACGAUUGGUUACCUGGUUGGGCCUCCGAACCAGGCUCGCGCGAUGCAUACCUCCCCUCCCACCCAGGUCCCCGCGAUGCAGAAAUGAAACCCGUUUUCCCCGAACCUGGUGGCGGCGAUGCGAGGGCGGGCGGGCCGAGGCAGGCGGCGGUGGUCGCGGGUGUCCAGGCGCGCGCUCCCGCCAUGGGCUAGGGUUACCGCUCCCCCCCUUUCGCGCCAUUUCCAUCCUCGCGCCAUUUCCAUCCUCGCGCGUUCGCGCGUGCGGCAAGGGCUAGGGUUUGUGCGCCGUUCGCCUCCGCUAUAAGACACCCCCGACGCCGCCCCCGCGCGCUGCCAUUUCCGCCGCUUGAGCUCCAGGUGAAUCUCUCUGCUCUCAUCCUCUUCUCUCCCUAUGGUUGCCGAGAUCUGACUUGUUUCCUCCCUAUCCUCUCUGUAGCUGUGAUUGCUGGGCGAAUCUCUGUUCGUCGAGGCAAGUAUUCCCCCCUCAAUCGCCGAGAUGUGGCGUUCCCUCUUCGAUCUAUCCCCCCCCCCUCUGUAUCUAUCUUCCCCUCUCCUUCCUUCGAUUUGUGUAAGCUAAUCCCUGUUUUGGUUGCAGCAUCGCAGAUCUGUGCUCCCUGUCUUCCCCCUUUCGAUCUGUGUGUGUGCUCUCUGCCUGGUUGCUGCAAGGUGUCUGGUACCCCUUCCUCUGCAACUGUGAUUCUUUGUGCUAGCUACUUAUCUGAGCUAUGUGCAUGUGGCCGUGAUGUUUAGUUCUAUAUGCUUGUUUACUUUUGCUACAUAUCUGAGUUAUGUGCUUGUGGAUGUGAUGUUUAAUGCUAUAUGCUUGUUUCCUAUUGCUUCUUAUCUGAGCUAUGUCCCUGUGGCUGUGAUGUUUAGAGGUAUAUGCUUCUUUGCUACUACUUAACUGAGUUAUCUAUUGUGGCUAUCUUGUUUACUGUUACUUAUCUGAGCUCUAUUCCCUUUGAGUCUUGCCUAUGAUGACUUUGGGUUUGAUUAUUUACAGUCCUAUUUAACUGAGCUAUGUGCUAUGUGUCUGUGAUGUUUAGUGCAUAAACUGAGCCGUGUGCCCUUGCCUAUGAUGCCUAUGAUGAUGAGUGCUUUAGCUGAGCAGUGUGCUGUUGUCUAUGAUGUAGAGUUACUAUACUGUGCUAAGUGUUGUUACAUGUUAUUUGCUUAUAGAUGGAUAAUGGAGAAAUGAGGCGCAAGCUUAUCAUUCAGGCUGCUGCUUUAGUAGCUGCCAUUCAUGCAUUCAUGUUUAGUCGGUUCUUGUGUGGCCAACAGUCUCGCCCUAGUAUUAGUUAUGCACCUCUUAGUGCCAUGGACGAGGAGAGGAGGAGGAACUUGAACUUGAUUUAUAACUGCAAUGAUGUGGAGUGUGUAAACAUGCUUCGCAUGAGAAGAGCACCAUUUUUUCAGCUUUGUAACCUGCUUAGAGAGAGACACCUACUUAGGGAUAGCCUACAUAGUUGUGUAGAAGAACAAGUUGCAAUGUUUCUCCAUGUUGUGGGACAUAACCAGCGAUUUAGAGUCAUCCACCAAAAUUGGAGAAGGUCUGUAGAGACUGUUAGCAGAUAUUUUAAAGAGGUUUUGUAUGCAAUUGGGGAACUAAGAGAAGAGAUGAUUAAGCCUCCCACCAAUGCUACUCCACUUAAGAUCAGGAACAGCCAUAGGUGGUAUCCAUAUUUUAAGGUAUAUAACAUAUUUAUUUACAUAUAACAAAUCAAUGGUUGUUAUCUCAACUAAUCCAAACAACAACUGAGUUUGUAGGACUGUAUUGGGGCAAUAGAUGGCACCCAUAUCCUGGCUAAGGUGCCACAAAGAAUUCAAGCUGCAUUUAGGGGAAGAAAACAUCAAACAACUCAAAAUGUACUUGCUGCAGUUGAUUUCGAUUUAAAGUUCACCUAUGUCCUAGCUGGCUGGGAGGGGUCUGCACAUGAUGCCACCAUCCUUGCUGAUGCUCUAGAGAGGCAGGAUGGGUUAGUUGUCCCACAAGGUAUAAUAUGAAGUCAUAUUAAUUAAAAUGACACAACUAAUACAAUAGUACUAAUACUUAUAUUAUUUUUAGGUAAAUUCUAUCUAGUUGAUGCUGGUUAUGCAUGCCGCCCUGGAUUUCUUCCUCCCUUCAGAGGCACUAGGUACCAUCUCAAUGAAUAUGGUGGUAGAAACUAUCCAACCAAUGCAAGCGAAUUGUUCAACCUCAAGCAUUCAAGCUUAAGAGUCACAGUUGAGAGGGCUUUUGGGGCAAUAAAAAAUAGGUUUAGGAUCCUGGACAACAAACCCUUUCACCCCUUCAAGACACAAGUGAAAUUGGUGCUAGCAUGCUGCAUUUUACAUAAUUGGAUCCUGAACUAUGGUGUAGAUGAAGUGGUUCCCCUUGAGGAGGCUUGGGCUCCUAAUAGCAUUGGUUCCAAUGUUGGUGGUGUUCAAGUAGAAGAUAAUAGUGACUGGGCAUCUAUUAGGGAUGAAAUAGCUAAUCUCAUGUGGGCUAACAGGGGGCACUGUCAUAUAUGAAGACAUGGAUUUGUGUUGUAUGUGUACUGUAAUAACACUGCUAUGGUGUUUAUUAUUUGUAUCUUUUCUGAGGCAAUGGCACAUUGCUAUAAUGUUGUUUGUACUUUGUUCUGAGGCAAUGGCACACUGCCAUGAUGUUUCAUUUUUACUUGUUUUGAGGCAAUGGCACACUGCUAUGGUGUUUCUUUUUUACUUGUUCUGAGGCAAUUAGCACACUGCUAUGAUGUUGUUUCUUUUUACUUGUUCUGAGGUAAUUGGCAGACUGUUGUGAUGUCUUUUUUCUGUACAUCUUCUAAGCCACAUGCAGACUACUAUGAUGCUGGUUUUUUUACAUGAUUCUAGCCACAGGGACACUGCUGUGAUGUUUAUACAUGAUUUUGUAUAUGAUCUGAGCCACAUGCACACUGCUAUGAUGUUGUUUUUUACAAUAACUGAGGCAAUAUAUAUAUGCUAUGAUGUUGUUUUGUUUAUAAUAACUGAGGCAAUAGAAAUAUGCUAUGAUGUUGUUUUGUUUAUAAUAACUGAGGCAAUAGAUAUAUGCUAUGAUGUUGUUUUGUUUAUAAUAACUGAGGCAAUAGAUAUAUGCUAUGAUGUUUGUCUUAUAUACUGUUGUCAAAUAUUGGUACUAGGGCAUGGAUGUUCAAGAGGAAAGAGAGUUUAUGGAGCUGUAUGGUAGCUAUUCCAAUGCCCUAGUUGUUGCUAAUUCUGCUCCUAAUCCUUCUGGUGGUCCUGCCCCUCCUCCUGCUGUUGUUGCCCCUGCUGUUGCUGCUGUUGCCCCUCCUCCUCGUGCUGCCCCUCGAGCCAGGCAGCAAAGGAAUUCUAUGAGGUGGACUAGUGUCACAUCCUCCUUUAUCUUGCGCCGGUUCUGUGAACUCAUUUCCACUGGGGUUAGAACAGAUAAGGGGUUCAAGGAGGUUCACUUGAACAAAGUUGCUAGGGACCUUCAGGAGUUCACAGGGAACAAUGUAACCUCUACUCAAGUGUAUAACCACUUGCGCACAUGGAGGAAAAAAUGGAUGAAAGUGACCAAGCUGAGAGAGCUUAGUGGAGCUUUAUGGGAUGAGGAGACCUUCAUGAUUUCCUUGGAGGAUGAGCACUAUAAUGGUCAUGUAAAGGUGUUAGCCAUAGUGCAUAUCAUUUUCACCUUCUUCUCUUAAAUAUUAGCUAAUUUCUAAAAUUGCAUUGCAUUUUAGGCUCACCCUGAAGAUGCUGACCUUCUGAACAAGCCAAUAGAGAACUACCAGCAAAUGGAGAUCAUAUUUGACAAUGGCUGUGCCACAGGCAAGUUUGCCAUGGGUUCUAGCCAGCCUUUGGGUUCUCCAUCUGACUGGGCUGAGAGUUCUCAAAAAAUUGAUGAGCCUGCCAAAGAGUUUGAGGAGGUAGCUAAGCAGGAUGCUGGGGGCAGUAGCAGCAAGCACCAGGAGGCUAGUAGCAAGCAGCAAGAGCCUAAUGGCAGUGGAGUGGGCAGCAAGAGGAAGAGGGCAAUGCUCUCUGAUGAGGAUAUCACUGUCCUGUCUGGGAUGACAACUGCUGUGAACAAUGUGGCUGAUGCUAUCAGAGAAACAAAGACUGAAGUUGUCCCUGCUGACCUCUACUCUGCUGUGAUGUUUGUCCCUGGCUUCACUGAUGAAGCUCUGAUUGUGGCCUACUCCCAUCUGGCAGACAACAAUGCUCUUGGGGCUGCAUACCUGCUAAUGUCUGAUGCUCAUCGUGUGCUGUGGCUGAGGACCUUCUUAGCUAAGCACUACUACAACAACAACAACUAGUAUCUGAUAGUUUUCUUAUUGCUGGUUGAUCCUUUGUCCAGUAGGACCUCCUUUUGCUAACCUAUUUUGUGCAGAGGUACUAACCCUGCAUUCUUUUGUGCAGCUGGUCACAUCUUUCCAUUUCUUCUAUGUGGUUGAUGUGAUCCUGCUAUAACUAGAUAGAGACUCAUAUAUAUAGUAACAAGUCUCUAUCCUCUUACUAUGAUGUAGUGAAUGUAUUGGAUCAACCACUUUGAUGUUGGAGUCUAAUCUGAGCAUAUAUCUAUUGCCAAUGAUGUAUUGUUAUUCGAGUUAUGCUAUUGUAUUGAACUAUACCUAAACUGAGCAUCUAUCUAUUGCCAAUGAUGUUAUUAUUUUGUUGAUGCUACACAUUCUGAGGUGUAUAGCUAUUGCCAAUGAUGUUCUAUGAUGUACUUCAUACUUCUUUUCUUCUAUUUUCCUAUCUGUCACCUGCUAAUUGAUUCAUUCUUUGUCAUGUGAGGUUGCUGGAUCCUCACUCUCAACUGAGGCUGAUGGCAUCUGCUAUGAUGAUGAGUUUGCUAUUUUUGUUGCCCUACUAUGUAAAGGCAUGCUCUACUCUUGUGCUUACUUAUCUGUUGAUUGAAUCCUCACUGUAAAUUGAGGCUGAUGGCAUAAUGCUAUGAUGAUGGAUGCUUUUCUGUUGUGUUCUCUUGUCUUCACCCGUGGUCUGUUGUGUUUUGCUGGACAAUGCUUCUAUAUGUGGUCUGAUUGGUUACCUGGUUACUCAAUUUCACAGUUCCUAUUCCUAUUGAUUUUAACUCAAUAUGUUUAAGUCUGAGCACAUGCCAUCAGCCAAUGAUGCUUCUUUUAUACAUAUUGCUCCCCAGUGUGUGUAAUGGACAUUUUUUUUACUAAAUUUCUCAGAUUCAGCUUGUCAUUAAUUAACUGAUUUGGGCACCUAGUUAUUUCUUCUCAGUUAUUGUUGAUUUUAACUGAAUAUAACUAAGACCCAGCAUAUGCCAUCAGCCAAUGAUGCCUCUGUGAUACAAAUUGCUUCCAGUGUGUGUGCGCUAUGGUGGUAACCUCACCACUGCCUGAUUGUGAUCAUGGUGUUCAACCUUGUGUGCUUCGGGUGCUGGUAACCUCACCAUCACCUGGUUCUGGUGAUGGGAUUUACGUGCGAUGCAGGCAACCAAUCACCGUUCUUGCAUCUAGUUUUUUGAAUCUGGGAUGCAACCAGGUAACCAAUCAUCGUCUCUGCUCAUCCAGUUCGGUGGGAACCAGGCAACCAAUCAACCCAGGUUGCAUGCCUUAAACCUGGUUGAAAGGAACCUGGUUCCUUGGUGCCACCCAGGCUAGUGGCAACCAGGUAACCAAUCACGCCCAAAUUAUAUUAAGGGGUAAUUUGAACCAAAGGGUAUAGUUUGGGUGGUAAAAUGAACCAAACGAUAGUUUAGGGGAUUAACCAAACUUUGGCUAUAGUUGAAGGGAGUGAUUUGGACUUUUUCCUAUUAUAAUUAAGGGAAAAGUCCGGUUUACAACUCAAAUUAUCGCAAAAAUCCGAUUUUCAACCUUCAACUACAAAACCGGAUAACAUAAGCCAUCCAACUAUCAAAAAUAUGCAAAAUUGUCCCUUUGGGUGGUUUCAAAGAUGGUUUUCCAUUUUGUGAAAAUUAAAAAUAUAUAAUUUUAAACUAAAAAAUCAUAAGUAAUUCAUUUUAAACAUAAAAAAUGAAAUGGAUAUCAAAAACUUUCUAAAAAUGUAACUUAUCUAUUAACACUCUACUUGUCGGUUAUUCGGAUCCAAUUUUUUUAUGUUCAUAGUACUUGGUUGCUUGUAGUUAUGCCUAUUAUUUUUGAAUAAAUAAGUUUCAAAUAGAGAAAUAAUAGAUAUUUUACAUUUUUAGAAAAAUUUUGAUACUAGUUUCAUAUUUUUCUAAUUUAAAAUGGAUUAGUUUUGAUUUUUUUAGAUCUAAUUAGAAUUUUUUAAAUUUUUCUAAAAUAUAAAACCACCUUUGAAACCACCUAAAGAGCCAAAUUUGCACGGUUUCGAUAGUUGGAUGGCAUAUGUCACUUGAUUUUGUAGUUGAAGGUUGAAAAUCAGACUUUUGUGAUAGUUCGAGGGUGUAAACCGAACUUUUCCCUAUAAUUAAACAACUUAGUUGAAAACUCGAAAUGCACUAUAUACCUUGUUGGGGAUAUGCCUUUGGAAGCCAAAGGCUAGGAAUCCCCAUAUGUUUAAAAGAGGCUAAAUCAGAGGGUUAUGGACUUAUUUCCAAACUUCUAGGGUCUAUUUAUAAAGAUUGAUGACCUUUUUAUAAUAUCUAACCCCACUAAUGGACUAAACAUAAACAGACACUCCUCCUAAAGCCUGGGGCUUGGGGAAGAGGACUCUUGACCAUUUGUUCAUUUGCUCCCUUGUUCUCUCUUCCUUAUCUCUCUCCUAUUCGAUCGAGGUCCCAACCCCAACAUACCUAGCAUUGAUGUAUGAGUAUAACCAAAAGAAAAGCAUGUCACUUUCGCCUAACCUUGAAUUUCAUCUCGGCUGUAUCCUAACUUAUAGUAUUUAUUUUAUUUGUUUGUGUUGUACUGCCACCACAUUGCUUUGUUUCAUAUAGAUUUUGUUCUCCAUGCAUCCAUUCUCAUUUUUGCUAUGCUACUCCGCCUAAAUAACAUGGAAGGCACCAUUCAGUGUCGCCUCCCUAAUGCUGUGAUCUUGAGCUCCCCAUUUCAAGCGAUGUGCAGCAACAAUAUCUUGUUGUACGGUUUCACUUCCAUUUCCAGCUCUAUAGAUACUCACCGGCAAUCCUUGCCAAUGCCAGAGUUUUGGUUCCACCCUCAACAAUCUAUGAGCUAGAUGUUGCUCUAUCGUCCAGCUGAGUUCGCGAUCUCGAGCUAAGAGGCGGAGGCCUAAGCCUAGUGUAUGCGUGUAGCAAUGCAUAUCCUCCCAUACCAAUUCUUGUCUUCAUCGAUGCUAGUGGUCAUGUUGAAGACAAUAAGGGCAAAAGAGAGACGGAAAAUUAUAAGAACCCGCUAUUUAUGUGCCAUAUAUUUAAGAGGGUUGGUUCAAGAUAUAAAUUGUUAGUGCCAAAGCAUUUAUAGUGUGGUAGCUAAUUUUUUUUUCUCCAUGACAUUAAACAGCAUGAUUUUGUCCACGGGACAUCAUUUUGUUUGAAGUUGAUCCUAAGACACUGCAAAAUCGUGGUUUUGUUGGUCGAACACCAGAGGAGGGGCAAGACCAUUAUGCUCAGUUACACACAUCUUUAAAAUAUCUACAUACAUAAUAUAAUUAAAAUACUAUUAUAUUUGUAAACUGGUAUAUGGUAUUGUUUGGAAGAAGAAACCUCUAUCUUCUACCGACUAAAAACUCAAAACCCUUGAACUCUGACACAGCAGACCCUAUAGCAUCGCACUAUACCACCUGAUUUGGCGCAUCAUCACUACCCCAAGUAGGACUGCACCCCUCACACAAGCCAGCCGCCACCGUUACCUAGGCUAGGUAUUUUAACCAUCCCUGAAAUUCAUUUCCACCAAGAGUCGAACCCUAACACUAGAGGUGCUACUCAAGAAUCACCGAGUCACAGCCUCUAAGCUAUGAACCCGUUUGCAUAUAAUAUAAUCUAUAUCAUGAAAUUAGGCAAAAUGAUGGAAUGCUCUACUCCCCACUGCCCUUACGUGUAGUUUUUUCAUGCUUUGUAUGGAGAUUUUGUAAAAUGAAGAUAAGGACAUGAUGGUUUUUCCUUCCUCCUAUAGCCUACUAAUGAAAAGCAUGAUUUCGCUAUGUCCUCAGGCUAAUUUCCAACAAUCAGGCUAAUUUCCAACAAUCAGUGUCCUAUAGGCAAAGCAAUAUUCUUUUUGUGUACUGGACAUAAAUAUGCCCAAAUCAAACUAUGAUUUCAAAUAUGGACUUACUCCUGGGAUUGGAUUGACAUCCACGAUCCAAUCAGCGAUGUCCAACUAAAAUCCUACUGAUAUAACGUUCGCACCCAGCCCAAUCCUAAAUAUAUUAACUACUAUCCAAUCCAGUCCAAUCCACCACCACCAAAAUCCAUAUCCAUCCAACCGGUGUCCAUCCUAAAUAUAUAUACUAAUAGAAGUAUGUUGAGCGGCCUAGCUUGCUUCCGCUAUCAGCUUUUCAAACAAGCAAGGUCCACAGGCAGCCAAAGUGAAAGGUGUUCCAAGUUAUUAAAAAGUACUUCUAACCUACACAAGUGACUGGUAUUCUAGACCAUUAUAAAGGAAAAUAGUUUAGCAACAUCUCAGUACAAAAUACCCUCUCAUGGUAGACAUGUCCAGAAUAGUGCAUAGCAUAAGAAAUGCCAUGAGGCCAAAGAAUCUCUCAAGAAUACAAGCCAAACAUAAAUCAGUUAUAGAUUGAGCUAAACCUAACUAAAGAAGAAUAGCCUCUAAUCAUAAAUUAAACUUGUAGGUGGCAUAGACCAUUUCUGUCCACUUGCUAGGCUAAAAACCCAAGAAUGUUCUGCCAGGCUGAAUCCAAAACUUGCAAAAUCUUGAAAAGGAGCGGUAACUCAUCACUUAAUCCAUCACUAUCCCUGCACCAAAUUACAUGGAUGAGACUUAUAGAUUGAUAAUAAACAAAUACUUAUUAUUUAGAGAAUACUCAUCACAUGGAUAACAACCUAUCUAAAGAAGUAAACAUUAAGAAACGCAAGCAUUUUUUAUCAAACUCCAUUACUCAAGCUCCAGAAAUAUUUAGCUAGAUGGACUAGUAUUAAAUAGUACAAACACCAAAACACCAAAAUAGAUAACUAGUAUUCUUCAGAGUACUAAUCAAGAACAAGAGUAACAGUACAUGCAACUAAAAUGGUCCAGAUAUGACACAAAAAUUAGAUGACUAGUAUUCUUCAGAGUACUAACAAGCACUAUGUUUUCAAGACCUAUCAUUAACCAAGAGAAUAGCAACUGAAAUUCAAAUUUGCACAAGAAAAUAUGUUACCAUCGUCAUCUUCAUCAUCUAAAGAGUACCCUUUAAGCAAAUCUUUUGCAUAUAUUAGUGCUUCCACCGUCUCUGAACUUAGAGAACUACGGUAUUUGUUAAUUACCAUGCCUGCAGUACUGAAUAUUGAUUCAGAGGCAACAGUUAAUAAUGGAAUAGCCAAAAAGUCAGGAGCCAUCUUUGCAAAUACAGGAUAUUGAUCCUGGUUUCUUUUCCACCAUUUUAGCACGUCAAAUUCUUCACUCUCCCUUAAAGGAACCAAUGAAUCAUCUAGAUAAGUAUCAGGUUCCGACCUUCUUGAGCGAUGAGGUCUGUUUCUCUGCUUGAACAAAGCAAAUUCCAGCCCUAGCUUAUGUUUUCCAGACACCAAAGACAACGUACUUGCAGAACCACUGACUUCAGGAGAUGAUGAAAUGUUACUUUGGAACUCCUUUGCUGCAUGUUUUCGUAAUGAGAAUAAUAUGCUUUAAACCAGAUAAGAGCAUAGUUUGCUUUUCUAUCAGCUACUUCCUCUCCAUACAUUCUCAUGAGACGGUACUUCAAAAAGGUUAAUUUGUACCGUGGGUCCAGCAAAGAUGCUACCAAAAGGAUUUUGCUAGGUUCAACCCAGUAUUUAUCAAACUUUGACUUCAUAUCAUUACACAACACCUUCAAAAAAUUAUCACUUCUAUUUUUUUAUCAAGAAGCAGUUCCCUUAUCCCCCAAACCUCUUCAACAUACCUGUGAGCACUUGGAGUUUUAUCUAGAGUUUUUUGUCAUUAGAUGUGGCAUAUGUCAAAAGGCAUAUGUGUCCAAAGAGUUUCUCUUAGCUUUUUCACAGCUCUAUCAUUAGAUGUGGCAUUAUCUAGAGUAAAAGAAAAUGCUUUAUUGGACAGAUCCCACUCAUAAAGGCAGUCCAUUAUAGUACUAUGUAUUGCAGCCGCAUUAUGUAGGUGAGGAACUUGCUUAAAGUUGAUUGUAUGGUGGUGCAGAUUAAAAUCUCCAUCUAUAUAAUGUACAGUCAAAUAAAUAUAUCCAAGAUUUUGGACAGACGUCCACAUAUCCGAAGUGAAGCUAACACAAGAAUCUAUAUUGGAAAAACCACUAGCAAUCUUUUUUCUCUCUUCUCAAUACACUAACAUGCAAUCAUUCUUGAGUGUCUGCCUGUGUUGUCGGUCGAAACCCACCAGCGAGCAGCGACAGGCAACACGAGAAGUCGGGAGGCUUCCGGGACUGCUGGUGGGUCCCGGUCCCUCGGUCAACGGCCCAGAAGUCCGGCACACGCUCUGACUUGGUGAAGUGUUAGGCGUGCCACCUGACCUAUACCUGAUCACGAAGGUGUAGAAGUCGUUCAUCAGCUAUUUGCUGCAUGCGCAGCCAUAUCAAACAUUAGUCCGAGCUGUGAUCGGCUCUUACAACGACCCCGAGAUCAGCUAAAGAAGCCGAUGGAGUCACUGUACUAGGUCGGACCUUCGGGUACCUUCCAGAAUCGGCUACAAGAAAUCGAUUGCCACGUUGAACAGAUUGGAUCUAUUAACAUGUGAACUUUUGUACGAAUCCGAUAGAAAAGAUAAAAGCAUGCUCUGUAAUUGCCAAGCUAAUCCAAUUUGCGACGGUAAAAGCUUUCACCGCAUAACCGGAACAUCCUAUGCGUGGUUAAGCCUAACAAACAUGAAAGGUAACAAUACGCUAACCCGAAGAGAGGCCUAAAAACCAACUAACAAGUCGAUUCCCGGAACAAUCCCUCGUCAGGUUACCAUAAGGCACCAAACAUGCAACCGGAACAUUUAACCUGUUUGAAGGUCCUAAUCAUAUGGAUAUUAAACCAAUUCCUUGUAACACAAAGAACUACCAUAACAGAUUAGAUCUACUAAGCAAUAACAGAGCAAGGCGCUGCCCUUGCACCUGAGAUCACGUACAAGAGCAGCUGAACGAUUACGAACAGCAAGCAAAACAUGGAUUUACUAUUCAAAACCAAUGCAACAUCAUAAUCGUUUAAGAUAACUAGUGUUACUCGCCAUAAAAAACGCUUCAAUACGAGAAACACAAGAAUAAACAGAUAAAAGCAACGCUGCUCCGACCAUGCGGAACAUGAUCGGAGCAGCAUGUUGAUUACCUGGAAAGAGCCCUUGGGAAAGGGGUGGCGAUGCGCCGAGAGUUUGUUGUGAAUGAUUGAUUUAUUUAUUGAAUCUCACGAUACAUAUUUAUAGUCCGGAGACUUAAUAUUUUCUGCCUAACCCUAGCUGAUUAUGAUACAAUCUCUAACUUACUAUAUUUAAACUAUCCUUAGAUACACGGCCAUCCUGACUCUUGACACGUUCGCACAGAAGCCGAUUUGCAGACUAUUACCAUGCUUUCCUUCAGCCCAUGAUGCUCUCGGCCCAUCACUUGGCCCAGUCAAAUUAUGACGAUAACACAUGCCCCUUGGUUUUGGCAAUGAUAAUUCCGAAACCAUCGCCUCUUCGACUUCUCAGACUUGUGCACGCACAUACCGCUCCCAAUGCCAUUGGACGCGGCCCUUCGACUUCCAAGGCCUGUACACGCGCGCUGCCUUCCAAUACAAUCAGACGCGACCCUUCAACUUCUCUCUCAGGAAUCGCGAUAACACCGCUUCGCCUUCCAUCUCCGCCUUUAUAAACUGUCAUUGGCGGAUUUAUUUCUAUCCAUCUCCCCGUGCAUUAGCCACACCAGCACACUCUGCAUCCCCUGACAAUGGCUUCCUCUUCCUCUAUCUCUUCCAAUUCCCCUUCGUCUUCCAUAAUCUCCAUCACUUCUCCUGACUCUGAAACCUCCAGGGAGGCGACGCCGGAGUUCGAUCCAAUGGCUUCGUAUGAAGCUCUCGCUCCUCUGCAUUGGGAUGCAGAGGAGUGGGAUUUCAGCACUUGGUCAGAGGACGAUGAGCCCCUGACCGACGAUGAGGACCUCCAGAUUCUCCUUCAUGGGGAUCUGGACGAAGGCGGCGACGAAGAUUCCUAGGAUGAUGAUUUCUUCUCUUUCUCAGAAAAAGAUGCCAAGGACACUUCCACCGACGACGACUCAGCAGCAAGAGGAUUUCUGCAUGGUGGAUUGUCGACUUCAGAAGACGACGGGGACGCCAGCGACGACACUAGCGAUGAUGGUGACAGCAGCAACAGCACCGGCGGCGACGAUGGCAGCAGCGACGAUGACACCAGCGCGUCCCCCCCGUACAAACGCCGCAAGACCUUAGGGACUCACUGGUGGUAGUUCAUAGGGUCUUCCACCGUUAUGCGCAUAGCCGGUAGAUCGGCUUCUUUUGUAAUAAUUUCUUGUAAAUGAACCCUCUUGUUUCAGCGAGCCAGUGUUUAAAAAUCUAACCUUCUAAAGUCCGAUGGCAUCGCAUCGGCCUCUUUCCUUGAACUGCCCGAUCCAAUCUCAAACUUUUCUUUAUUCCGGAUCAAAAUUCCCAAGAACUCGAGUAGCCUUCAAAUGAUCUUGUCAAUAACAAGAGUACUCCGCAGUCGACUUCUUUGCUUGUUGUUAAAUCUCGAUCCCCAAUCAGGUCGAAAAAUAUGAGUACCCAGGAAACCCCGCAAACAAGUCGAACCUGUUCUUUUAAGAUCAAGAGACACCUGCAAUCAACCUCUCUGCUUUUAUCGAAACCCAGGAUUUGCAAGGGCCAAUUAUUGCUCCUAGAGUCGAUGGUUUAACAUCGACUGUUCAACCUUCAGCUCUGUGCAUGGACCGGCGCUGCUUUUUCUUUACAGAUCUGGCAUGCUCAUCUCAUUCCACCUUACAGCCUGAUGCAUUGCACCGGCUUCCAAAGUACCCGAUAGAUGCUGACCUGCAGGUCUAGUAUACCACGAGGUACCCGAUCAGAUCAACUCGAUGUACCGCAAAGUACUCGAUUAUAUCUUGCAGCCCAAGGUGUCAUAUCGGCUUUCCUCGCAAACACCCUGGUUGUAUUGGUCCAUAACCUGAUGCCUUACAUCGGCUUCAUUACUCAUCUUCCCACAUGCUCGGGAAAUAUUUCUUGAGAUGCUGACCAUUGACAGCCACCGAAAAUUUAACCCCAUCCAAUUCUUCGAGCAUGUAUGCAUUCCCUGGCAGAGCUUGAUCAACUCUAUAAGGCUCGUGCCAAUUCGGAGACCAUUUACCAUAUGUCGCAUCCUUAGUCCCUAAUGGUAACACCGCUUCCCACACUAAAUCCCCAACUUGGAAUUCCUUCGGUUUAACCUUCUUGUUGUACACGCGGGCUACCUUGGCCUUAUUUUCCUUGAUCUUUUCCAGCAACCAAAGCCUGAGUUCUGUAAUGUCUUCCACAUUGUCGCUCAUUAGUGCUGCAUAUUCUUCAGCAGUCAACACAAUCUGAAACUCUAUCCGACUUGAACCGGCCGUAAUUUCCCAUGGCAAUACGGCCUCCUGCCCAUAUACUAAAUGAUAUGGUGAAGUUCUUGUUGCCCCAUGGCAUGAAACACGAUAAGCCCAUAACGCUUCUGAUAAUACUUCACGCCAACGCCGUGGAUAUUCAUCAAUCUUCCUUUUGAUCAACUUGAUCAGGCUCUGAUUAGACGCUUCGGCUUGUCCGUUUGCUUGAGCGUAGUAUGGAGAUGACCUGAUUAAUUUGAUUCCCAUGUCGGCAGCAAACUUUUUGAAUUCAUCAAAUAUAAACACCGACCCUCCAUCUGUUGUAAUAGUCUGAGGAAUCUCAAACCUAUGAAUAACGUGUUCUUUGAUGAAAUUGAUGACGUCCCUCGACGUUACUGACUUCAUAGGAACAGCCUCUACCCAUUUUGUAAAAUAAUCUGUGAUGGCCAAAAUAAACUGAUGGCCUUUACUCGAUGGAGGAUUAAUCUUACCAAUCAUGUCCAUGCCCCAGCCCCUGAAUGGCCAAGGUUUGAUGAUAGGGUUCAUUGCUGACGCUGGUACUAUUUGUAUCUUUCCAAACCUCUGACAGGCCUGGCAUCCUUUAUAAUACUUGAAGCAAUCUUCCAUCAUAUCAGGCCAAUAAUAUCACGAGCGCUUGAUCAACCACUUCAUCUUGUGGGCUGAUUGAUGAGUACCACACGUAUCUUCAUGGACUUCAUGUAAAAGCCUAUUGGACUUAAUCGGCCCCAAGUAGUAGCCUCUCCAGAGUCCUGUAGAACAAGUCGUCCCAUAUCAGGACUUGCUUCAUGGCUCUGUAACGUAUCUUCUUAGGUGCCCCCCGAGCCAGAUCCUUCAAGUAAUUGAAGAUAUCGGCUCUCCAAUCCCCCUGAUCCAGCAGGUUUAUUGCUCCAUCCGCCGCGUCCUUGUAACCGGAAGCCAUCUGGUAAGAUUAUUGGCCUCAGAAUUUUGUACUCUUGGUAUCCAGUAGAAAUUUAUAUAUCUGAACUAGGCCAUUAGCUCCUGGCAUUGUCUCCAUAAGGGGAACAACAACUCGCUCUCACAUCGGUAUGUCUCCGUGAGCUGAGAGAUGACCAGUUUUGAAUCCCCGAAAACUUCUACUGCUUCUGCUCCAGCUUCGAGGAGUAACUCCAUACCUUUGUGCACCGCUUCAUACUCGGCUAGAUUAUUGGUGCCAGGUGUUGGCAAUCUGAUUGAAAAGGAACAUGUUGCCCCCCGAGGCGAGACGAGUAAGAUACCUAUGCCAGAACCAUCUCCACAGACCGACCCAUCAAAAUAUAUUGCCCAUGCGCGGAUGGAAAGCGCCGCUAUGCCUGAGCUGGUCCACUCUGCAACGAGGUCGGCCAGCGCCUGCCCUUUGACUGCUUUCGCAGGCUGGUACCGGAUAUCAAAUUCUGACAGAGCGAGCAUCCAUUUACCGAGUCGGCCUUUCAACACCGGGGUCGACAACAAAUGCUUGAUAACAUCUGAUUUGCAGAUGACAAUUGUCUCGGCAGAAAGCAGGAUGUGGCGGAGCUUCGUACAGGUAAAGAAUAGACAAAGGUAUAGUUUCUCAAUUUCAGGGUACCUUAUCUCUGCAUCUAGCAUCCUCCUGCUGAGAUAAAAAAAACUCUCUUCUUGCCAUCCUGCACUUGUAUGAUGACCGAAGCAAUGGAAGUAUCACCCACUGAUAGAUAAAUAUAGAAUGGCUUACCCUGCUGGGGUGGGACUAACACAGGCGGUUUGGAUAAAUAUUCUUUGAUUUCUUCAAACGCCUGUUGUUGCUCUGCCCCCUAGCGGAACUCGUCAUUGGCUUUAAGUUUCACCAACUCCAUGAAUGGCUCGAUUCUUCCUGACAGAUUGGAAAUGAAUCUCCUAACAAAAUUUAUCUUACCAGUGAGUUGUUGGAGCUCCUUCUUUGUAGUAGGUGGCACCAUCAUUUUUACAGCUUCUUGACUUUUUAGGCCGAUCUCAAUUCCUCGUUCAUGAACCAGAAAACCCAGAAACUGACCGGCUGAUACACCAAAAGCACACUUCUUUGGAUUCAUUCUAAGCCCGAACUUCCUAGUUCGUUCCAAAACUCGUUGUAGAUCUCUUAAAUGUCCCUCAGCCGAUGCAGAUUUCACCACCACGUCAUCAAUAUAGAUCUCCACCAGCUUGCUGAUCAAAUCAUGAAACAUAUAGUUCAUGGCCCGUUGAUACGUAGCACCAGCAUUUUUGAGCCCAAAAGUCAUGACCACAUACACAAAUAAUCCCACUGCACCUGAUACUCUGAAUGCAGUCUUAUGAAUAUCUUCUGGAGCUAUAAAAAUCUGGUUAUAACCAGCAUUGCCAUCCAUAAAACUCAACAUCUUAUGACCAGCAGCCGCAUUAAUCAAUGUUUCCGCAACUGGCAUCGGAUACUCAUCUUUUGGUGUGGCUCUGUUAAGAUCUCUGAAGUCUACACAGACUCUCCAUCGGCCGUCCUUCUUCUGUACAGGCACAAUACUGAAAAUCCAUUCAGCAUACCUGCAUGGCCUGAUGAAGCUUGCUGCCAUCAUCUUUUCGAGUUCUUUCUUGACUUCUUCUAGGACUUCGGCCUUCAUUUGCCGUGCUCGUUGCUGGAACGGCCAAAAUCCUGGCUUAAGAGGGAGUCGAUGCUCAACAAUACUUCUAUCCAACCCAGGCAUCUCUGUGUAAUCCCAGGCAAAACAGUCCAUAAAUUCUCUCAGCAGUAUUAUCAUCGCCUCUCGCAACUCUGGAUUUAACUUUUUGUUGAUAAAUGUUGGCCGUGGCUUAUCCCCAGGACCAAUAUCGACUUCUUCCAGCUCGUCAGUAGAUGUAAACCCGUAUCCUAGCUUCCCUUCAUCCAUCAAGUCGAUACUGCAAAUAAACAAAGAAUAUGAAGCAGAAGGAUUUGGCCGAUCGCAGGGAUCGGCCGACUUGUUCUUUGCAUUAAUGUGUAUUAUUUUACAAUCACAUGGCCGGCUGCUCGAGCAGGCCUCUUUGCGAUCAUUAUAACAAUGUAACAUGGAUGACAAAAACAACUUGAUUCUAUUUUUUGGAGGCCGAUCGCGGGGAUCGGCCUUUCCUGUUACUUUCCCAUCUACUCCAUAAGGCCAGUGGAUAAGACCAGCCUCACCCUGUUUUUUGUAGCUUCCACGCGGUCGCAGCCCUCCAAGCUAAUCCCUGAGAUCGGUUCCUGGUCCUCCGCGUCCCAGACACUCAUGGCAGCAUGUGAAACUUCAACAGAGUCGUCCGCGUGGACCACUUCUACUUCAUCUCCGUCCCAUUGAAUCAGACACUGGUGCAUUGUAGAAGGGAUACAGCAAUUGGCAUGGAUCCAAUCUCUCCCAAGCAGAACGGUGUAUGAGCCCUUGCUGUUGACCACAAAAAACGACGUAGGGACGGUUUUACCUCCUACCGUCAGAUCCACGCUGAGGACUCCUUGCGCCUCUGAAGUUUGUCCGUUGAAGUCACUUAGCGUGAUGUUGGUUUUGAUCAAGUCCCCAACAGAAUGCCCCAACUUGCACGGCACUGAAUACAGCAUUAUAUUAACCGCUGCUCCUGUAUCGACUAGCAUCCUGCUGACAGGCUGGCCGUUUAUGUACCCCUUGAGAUAUAAUGCCUUCAGGUGCCUGUAAUUCUUUUCUCGGGGCUUCUCGAAAAUGACUGGUCGUGGCCCCAAGUCAAGCUGAGCCACUGGCACCUCCUCAUGUCCUGGUGCAUGAAACUCUGCAGAGAGAACAAACACCAUGUGUGCAUCAGCCGAUGUCUUCACAUUGGCUUUCGACUUCUUGGGUCGCCAUACCUUCUUGGAAGAACUCUCUGCUUUUCGAGGGUUGUGGACCUUUUCCGCCAAAUCUGGCCGCACUUUCCUUAAUGUUUCCAAGUAUUGGACCUCGGCUUCUUCCAGGUUGCACAGCCGCUGUACCCUCCGCUUCUAGGACCGGUUGAGCCCAUCAGGACACCAGCGUGGUCGGUGAUACUUGUCCUCCUCAUCUUCUGAAUUUCCCACUGUAUGUGUCAACUUGUCUUGUUCAUGGCGGGGUUGCCCUGGUCCCAAAUGCUGAAAAACUGAAGCACUUCUUGUUCUGAGAAUUGCACUCUAGGCAAUCUUCAAGGUUGGGUAGUCUCUUCAUACCAGAAUCCCAACAGUAUUUGAAGAACGGGCAAUGCCAAUGAUCUCGUGCAUCCUCUCACUUCCUGAGGCGUUUCCCAGUGCAUCGCUCGUACUCUUCUUCUUCAGUUUCACGUUGGAGAUGCUGUUGAUACUGAUACUGGUAUUUUCUCAGAAGAUGAGAAGAAACCGGUCGUUGAUUCCGGACAUGCCUGACCUGUUGUUCGGUGAUAUAGUCUCUUUCUUCUUUUUGGGGCCGAUCGCGGGAAUCGGCCUCUUGCCUCCUUGUAUGCUGACGUGAUGCAUGUCCUGCCAUGUUAAUACCGAGCGUGAAAUCCAACUGACGACGCGUUGACCGGUCGUACCCUUCCACCAUGUUUACAUUCGGGAAUAGUUGAGUAUCGACCUUCAUGGCGUACUAUCCCAAGAUUAAUCGGCCUUACUCAAUGGCCGAUUGUAUCUGCCGCCGGAGUUCUUUGCAGUCAUUGGUACCGUGAGUGAAAGAGUUAUGCCACUUGCAGUAUGAUCUCCCCUGGAGCUCCUGAGCUGUUGGGAUCUUGAAACCUUCAGGGAACUUCAAUUGCUUUUCCUUCAAGAGUAAGUUGAAUAUUUGUUCGACUUUGCUUACAUCAAAAUCAAAAUCUUUCAGAGGGCCCUGUUGUUUCACCCACUUGCAGGGCACAGGCUUUGCCCCCCGUGCCCAUUCCACAACUGCAAUCUCUUGGUCAUCCUCAGAGUCUUCGGAGUCUUCAGCAUCAACCAUUACUACUUGACGUUUAAACUUGUCUUGGUAUAAUUCUAAGUGACGUUGCUCGUAUACUGUCAUUUUCUACACCAAAUGAGCCAAAGAGUUGAACUCCAACUGCAAAACCAAAUCUCUGAUCGGCUUUACCAAUCCCAAAGUUGCCAAUUCAACUGCCUCCUUCUCUGAAAUUCGAAUUGAGUAGCAUCAAUUCUUGACUUCCCUGAAAAGCUGUAUGUACUCCGCCACUGUUUCUCCCCGUUUCUGGCGGACCUGUGCCAAAUCAGCAAUCCCAGCUUCUGCAGCUUCUGAGUGAUAUUGUAUAUGGAACUGUUCCUCUAGCUGCUUCCAGGUGCGGAUAGAAUCAGGGUCCAAUGAUGUGUACCAUCCAAAAGCCGGCCCUGUGAGAGACUGCGAGAAGAACCUUACUCGCAAUGGAUCCGACAUCGAAAUCAUCCCCAGCUGCGCUAGAUAUCGGCUCACGUGUUCUAUGGAGCUGGAUCCUUCUGCUCCGCUGAAUUUGGUGAACUCAGGUAGCCGAUACUUGGGUGGCAGAGGAAUUAGGUCGUAGUCGCUUGGAUACGGCUUGGUGUAGCCGAUCGCUCGCCUUCUUGGGAGAAUGCCAAAUUGAUCUCUCAAAAUGGCACUAAUUUGAUCCACUGUAUGAACUCCUAGGGCCGAGUGCGUUCCUUCAUGACUUGGCCCUGUUGCAUAGGUAGCCAGCCAUGCCUGUUUAUCGGCAUCUACUGCAAAUGUUCCUCCAGUUGCUCUCUGCAUGGGUUGCGCCGGGUUACCACCAUCUGGUAUAUAUGCGCAAACAUAUCCAUGCGGAACCUCCUUGGGGGGUUCGUUGAAGAACUGGUGAUCAGCAGGGUCACCUCCCACCUUGUAUAUGACAUAUGCUGCAGAAUUAUGUUGCUCUGGGGCUGCAAAUGCAUACGGCACUAGUGGUCUGGAUUGAGAAGGCAACUCCCCUUUGUGACUCCCUAAAGCAGGUCCUAUUGGAGAGUACUGGUGUUUCAUAAUUUCCUGCACCACGCGCACCGCGACGCGCUCGAGGGUGUUCACCAAACUCUCAGAAUGCCGAUGUAAUGAGUGAGCCACCAUGUAGUUGACUUCCUGGCGGAGAGCUCGCGUACGUUCUUCCGUAGGGGUAGAUAGAUCCACUUCGUCGAGUGCCCCUUCAGAUGAAAAUCCCUUCCAUCUAAUGCCGUGGUGACGAGUUCUUUCAAACGAGCCGAUGAGAUCGGCUUCAAAAGCAGCUUUUAUUUCAUUAUACCUCUGCUUGUGAUCAUCGGACAACUCCUCAAAAGUAAUCGGGUUCUCGUCCGGCAUCUUGACAACAGAAGUCGAUGAAGCCGAAAAAGAUAAUGCAGCCGACUAUAGUCGAUGUAGUCGAAGUAGUCACUGGAGUAGUCGAUGUGACCGGUGAAGUCGAUGAAGUAGUCGAUGAGUCCCACCAGGCGUGCCAGAAUGUGUUGUCGGUCGAAACCCACCGGCGAGCAGCGACAGGCAACACGAGGAGCCGGGAGGCUUCCGGGACUGCUGGUGGGUCCCGGUCCCUCGGUCAACGGCCCAGAAGUCCAGCACACGCCCUGGCUUGGUGAAGUGUUAGGCAUGCCACCUAACCUAUACCUGAACAGGAAGGUGUAGAAGUCAUUCGUCAGCUAUUUUCUGCAUGCACAGCCAUAUCAAACAUUAGUCCGAGCCGUGAUCAGCUCUUACAACGACCCUGAGAUCAGCUAAAGAAGCUGAUGGAGUCAUUGUACUAGGUCGGACCUUCGGGUACCUUCCAGAAUCGGCUACAAGAAACCGAUUGCCACAUUGAACAGAUCGGAUCUAUUAACAUGUGAACGUUUUGUAUGAAUCCGAUAGAAAAGAUAAAAGCAUGCUCUGUAAUUGCCAAGCUAAUACAAUCUGCGAUGGUAAAAGCUUUCACCGCAUAACCGGAACAUCCUAUGCGUGGUUAAGCCUAAUGAACAUGAAAGGUAACAAUACGCUAACCCGAAGAGAGGCCUAAAAACCAACUAACAAGUCGAUUCCCAGAACAAUCCCUCGUCAGGUUACCAUAAGGCACCAAACAUGCAACCGGAACAUUUAAUCCGUUUGAAGGGCCUAAUCAUACGGAUGUUAAAUCAAUUCCUUAUAACACAAAGAACUAGUAUAACAGAUUAGAUUUACUAAGCAAUAACAGAGCAAGGCGCUGCCCUUGCACCUGAGAUCACGUACAAGAGCAGCUGAACGAUUACGAGCAGCAAGCAAAACAUGGAUUUACUAUUCAAAACCAAUGCAACAUCAUAAUCGUUUAAGAUAACUAGUGUUACUCGCCAUCAAAAACGCUUCAGUACGAGAAACACAAGGAUAAACAGAUAAAAGCAACGCUGCUUCGACCAUACGGAACAUGAUCGGAGCAGCAUGUCGAUUACCUGGAAAGAGCCCUUGGGAAAGGGGUGGCAAUGCGCCGAGAGUUUGUUGUGAAUGAUUGAUUUAUUUAUUGAAUCUCACGAUACAUAUUUAUAGUCCGGAGACUUGAUCUUUUCUAACUAACCCUAACUGAUUACGAUACAAUCUCUAACUUACUAUAUUUAAACUAUCCUUAGAUACACCGCCAUCCUGGCCCUUGACACGUUCGCACAGAAGCCGAUUUGCAGACUGUUACCAUGCUUUCCUUCAGCCCAUGAUGCUCUCGGCCCAUCCCUUGGCCCAGUCAAAUUAUGGCGAUAACAGCCUGCCAUGGACUUCAAGGCUUGGAUGGGCUGAUCUCAUCAUUCUCUUAAAAAAACCAUUUGAUAUCUUUCUAAAGGCAACAUUGGCAGUGAUCCAAAACUUAGUCAUAAAAUCUCUCACUAACUUAGGAUCCAGUACAAAAUUGCAAACAUCCACACUAGACACACUUUUUGGAAAAAUAGAAUUACGAUCAAGAUCUGGAGGAAGUUCUUUGCAGGAUGAUCUAAUAUGAUUCUAUAGGUGAGAUAUUCCAAUACCUUUGUGAUAAGCAAAUUUUGACCCGCAAUGAAUGCAUAUUGCCUUUCCUUCACUAGGCAACUCUUCAAAAUACUGCCAAACUGCAGAUCUCUUCCUACUGCGAUUGGAAUUUUAUGCAACUUCACCAGCACUUUCGGGAAGUAAUGCCACACUUUCGUUAUUAGACAUCCUCUCAGUUGACAUGUUCAUAAAACAACACAAAAAGUUCUAUCAUUUAAGCACUGAUCAUUUUUUAUGAAAGAGGCAAAGAGCUAUGGAGAAUAAUACUUGUAACAAUAUUUAGCCUUGUCCGUGCAGCUAUAAGAAGAUUGAGUUGUCACUGUACACAUUGAUCAUAUGUACUUCUAAAAAUCUAAAGGAACUAAUAACAGAACUUUAUACAUAUAUAAUUUACAAGUAACCCAAAGGAACGAGUAAAAGAUAUUGAAAGAGGGAAAUAAUCUAUCAAGAUAAGAAAGUAUUUCGACAUAAUUUUUAUUUUUCAGGCUAUGCUACUCAUCAAUAUAGGGAACGGGUAUAAUUUUUUAGUAGAGCAGUAUUGCAAUCCUAUCAAUACAAUGAAUAGGUACAAUUUGGCUUUCUCAUAUUACUUACAAUCCUAAAAUUACGCAUCAUGUAGUACCUAUUGGAUAAGGAAUCUGUGCACAACCAACAAACAAUGCAUACAUACAGAUCAAUAGGUGCUAUAAUUAACAAAAAAAUUGGUCAGUAGGGCUAGAGAAUUGAGAUGGCGUUGGGCAUGGAUACCUGAAUGGUGAUGCUAAGGUGCUUCAAAUCGAGGCCAAGGAUGCAAACUUUCAGAUCAAGGCUAUUAGGCUAUCAAGAACGGGGUUGUGGGUGCCGGCGACAGGCCCUUGCAUCAACAGCAUGGGCGCGCCGAUUGAAUUUGACGGACGUCGCACUGGAGCAGUGACAGCAUGGGGGAUGAGAUCGUGCGACGUGGUGGCACCGUUGAGGAAGCGCGGCGCCGACGAGGGCUAGCCCCCCACGGCGGCGAUGGGCACGGGGUGGAGCGAGGCCGGAGUGGAGCGAAAGGGAACGACCGUGGGGAACAGUGGCAAAGGAAAAGAGGAGCGAGGCUAGAGUCUGGAGCCAAGGCUGGAGGUGCUCUGCGUGGCGAGGGCAGGCGAGAGGCGCGGCGGCCGAGAGAGAGACACACGGCGGCGGCGGGAGAGAGAGAGACGGCAAUAGGGAGAGAGAAGAUGGUGGUGAGGGAUUCCUGAAUAGCGCUCCCCUCCUCAAGUCCAAUAAGGUUUGGAUUAUCCUCUAUUUUUUAUCCAAUAGAAUCCAAUCCUAUUUUCUGGAUAGCAAAUGGAUGUCUAUAUCCAACUAGAUCCAAAUUCAAUACAGUCCAUUUGCCAAAAUCCAAUUGGAUUUGGAUUUAGCCCAAUCCACUUCCAAGAAUGAAACAAGAUCCCCCCAAUGUAAACUUUCAUUUUACUAUUUUAUAGACUAGCUAUAGUAUUUAAUUGUGAGAUAUGUGAUUGGGCGUAACUGUAUGAAAUGAAACUCUAUAGCCUCCAAUGCAAGUUUCAACAAAUUUCAUAGUCUUGGAACCAGUGUAAACACAGUUUCAUCCUAAUGAAACUCCUUCCCUCCUGUUUCUUCAUAAUUACCUUGCCAUAUCAUCGCAAAUGCUGAUGUGACACUGUAUUUAAUGCGCAUGAAACCUCUAUAAAACUUGCACUUGGAUUAGCCUAAGUGCAUGAGUUCGUAUCAUAUGUGUACAUAUGCACAGACCUCUCCAAUAUAUUCCUGUGCAUCUCAUAUUUAAUUUUCUCUGAAAAUUUACACUAGUUAAAUUCACAAAAUGCACAUAUAUGUGUCGUGCACUAGAUGUGGCUUGUGCUGUAGUGCGCCAGAUACCUACCCCUUGAGACUUACUAGUGCACAAAGUACAGACUUACAGUAUCUAGCUGCAUAGUUAAAGUGACUACGACGUAUCUUAAAGAUGUUCAAUUUAAUUUUCUUGGCAUCCGUCAGAAGCCAAAGUCAGUACAGUCGUGUUUCCCAAGUCCUAGAAUAUGAUUGAAGUCAGUGUUGACUUCCUCAUCGUGUUCACUUUAGAAGCUACUGCCUAGUAACUACCAUAUAGGAGUACUAUACUAGUACCGGUGUGUGGAAUUGCAGUAGCAGAGUCCCACUGUUCUGCCCCUUCAGAAAUGGGAACGAGUUCAGACUGGCCGGUAGGCCGACAGGCUUCAUCAUCCUUUCGUCUAAAAACUAGUUGGCGGAUGCACAUACCUGUCAUCUGCAUAGACACUGCAUCGGAUCAACAAAUUCAGUUUAAAAUGAUGCUAAGGUUAUCCAUGCAUCGUACGUAACUCGCCUGCAGCUCUGUAGUCUGUACUGGCUCCCGCCGUCCCCCCUCCCAAUCCAACUUCAAACGAGCUCGACGCCAAGGGCAUUUCGAUCUGAACUAGAUUAUUUGCGCGAAUUAUUUGCAGGUAACAUGCCCAUAACUGCCAAGAUGCGAUUGCAAUUGUAUAAUGGUCUGCGCCCGCGAACCGACACCUUCCCUUCCUCCAUGAUUCGCGCGGUGGCCAUGUGACGCGACGGACCUCGCGACGAUGAGCCAGCCUCAGGCCUAUAGCUCCCUCCAACGCGGGCCAGGCGCACGUCGGGUGCAGCGACCAUCGACGACGCCGCGGCCGGCCGAUUGGUAGUUCCAUCGCCACCACUUUCCUGUCCUGUCCCGCCUAUAAAUACCCCCCGGCAAUGUCCUCCGCCUCACACCAUCCCAGCACAAACCAGACAGCAGCAGGUGGUGGUGCCAAGCAGCAGCUAGCUAGCUAGCUGUUCAUACAUACAGCCUAGCUGAAGCUCCUCCUUCCUGGCUGCUGCAAGCAUGGCCGCCGCGCUCUUCUCCUUCAGGGCCGCCGCGCUCGCCGCGCUCCUCCUCGCCGUGAUCGCCGCCUGCGGCGCCCGCGCCCAGCAGCAGCCCACCAACGCCUCCGACUCCCAGGAGAGAUCCUUGCUGUCCUACAGCGGCGGCUGGAUCCCGGCCAAGGCCACCUGGUACGGCGCGCCCACCGGCGCCGGCCCCGACGACAACGGUAAGGACGAACCCCCGCGUGCCAAGAUGCCUCUCCGUUUGUCCUGUGCAAAUUGCAAUGCGGCUCACCCCCAUGCCAUUGCCUGAUUGCCAUGCCUUGGUUCUUAAUCUUGCCAGGCGGCGCGUGCGGCUUCAAGCACACCAACCAGUACCCCUUCUCCUCCAUGACGUCCUGCGGCAACGAGCCCAUCUUCAAGGACGGCAAGGGCUGCGGCUCCUGCUACCAGGUACUACUGCGUACUGACCACCACGGCGCCCACCGAACAUGCCAGAUUAGCACAGUUGGUGCUGGCGCCCAGUCAUUUUAUUUGGUUGGUCAAAUUAAAGACGCCAGCAUGUAGCGUCCGUAGCUAGCGAGCGCCCCACAGAUUGCUCAUCUUGAUGAUGGGCAGCUAGGAGGAACGUGCAUCCGUUGACCCUGUCGCGCCUGGCUUUUACAGAUUCGGUGCCUUAAGAGCAACCACCCCGCCUGCUCCGGCGUGCCGCAGACUGUGGUCAUCACCGACAUGAACUACUACCCGGUGGCCAAGUACCACUUCGACCUCAGCGGCACGGCGUUCGGCUCCAUGGCCAACUACGGCCUCAACGACAAGCUCCGCCACGCCGGGAUCAUCGACAUGCAGUUCAGGAGGUCCGCCGCCUGCACCACCACCACCACCAUUUCUGACGCGCAUUUCACUCCUCGAUCUCUCGUUUUGUGAAAAUUAACCCGCCGAUCUCUCUCGGCCGUUGUCUC